RNAcentral lists this long non-coding RNA (89887 nucleotides) under Citrus maxima (pomelo). RNAcentral's name for it is "long non-coding RNA (CMAX_LNC001174)". The stretch from base 37577 to 37680 matches the Rfam family "Plant small nucleolar RNA R71". The record is from RNAcentral. Lineage: Eukaryota; Viridiplantae; Streptophyta; Magnoliopsida; Sapindales; Rutaceae.
GACAUUUAAGCAUCCAUAAACCGUCAGACAGAGGAAGGGCGUUCAGUGCAAAGAUUCUGUUGACCUAGGGUUGACUGCAUAAUGUCACUUGUUCGCAAUCUAUUAUUUAUUUCAUAUUUUGAAGAAUUUAAUGGGUAAUCCUAAUUGUUUGUUUUGGCAGGUAUGUGUUGUUAUCUCCUUCUAUCUAACAGUCGUACCUAAAUAGCAUAGUUCCAAAGAGGUAAAUUAUUGUCAUGCCUAGAUAAUUUGGCCAUUUCCUAAUUCAUAAGUCUACAUUAAUUUUGAUUUUGAGUUGACUGAUUUCUUUUCAAGGUCUGCUUCCUUAACGGAGUGACCAAUGUUUUUCAACUAAAUUUAUCAUAUGAUGCAGGAAACAGGGCAGGAUAUGAAAUGAGAAGCUCAUUGGUGGAAGUAUUGCCAGUAGCAGAACCCAAUGAAAAUGAAACUAUUUCAAGGCAGCAGUUGGCAGUUGCAAGUGAAUGGAGGCCCUUGACAAAAUUCUCAAGCGAUUGCAAUGCAAUUACGAUCAUCCUCAGCCUCAGGUAAUGUCUUUUAUUGGUACCCAACAAAAAUGCAAGGUCUGUGAGAAGACAGUUUGUCCAGUUGAGCAGUUAUCUACUGAUGGGGUUGUUUAUCACAAGUCUUGCUUCAAGUGCUCUCACUGCAAAGGCACACUCAAGCUAAGCAAUUACUCAUCCCUGGAAGGUGUUCUUUACUGUAAGCCUCACUUUGAGCAGCUUUUGAAGGAGUCGAGUAACUGCAACAAGAAUUUCCAAUUACCUGCAAAGUCAGCUGAGAAGUUAACUCCUGAGCUGAGAAGGUCGCCUAGCAAAGUUGCCAGCAUGUUCUCUGGGCCCAAUAAAAAUGUGCUUCUUGCAGUAAAACAGUGUGUCCGUGGGAGAAGGUAGCAGCGGAAAAUCAAGCCUCUCACAAGACAUGUUUCAAGUGCUCACAUGGUGGUUAUUCCAUUAGCCCGUCAAAUUACGCAGCCCUAGCAGGCAUCUUGUAUUGCAAACAUAAUUUCUCCCAAUUGUUCAAGGAAAAAGGCAGCUACAACCACCUUAUAUCAAAUCUGCUCCCAUGAAGCGUGCUGCAGUCUCUGUUCAAGAAGCUUGAACAUGUUAUGUUAUCUUCCAUAAAUCUUAUUUGGCGUGGGUUUUCUCUGGCUUGAGGGUGUGCUUUCUAUUUUGAUCCCUCUUGUUGUUUUUGCGGGGAACUACCAAACCUUCGGUUCCCUCUGCUUCUUUGGAUCAUCUUUGUUUGGACAAAUUUCAUGUAAUUAGAGAUACCGAUUUAUGGGAGGCAUAAUCCCAUGGUCGUAAAUUGACCAUUUUCUGGCAAGUUCUUUUUAAAAAGAUAUGAGCAGUUGUUUAAAAAAAAAAAAAUAGCUUGCCUUCAUCAUUGUAUGUUACCAAACUGCUAUGUAUAGCUGUUAACUAUGAGCAUCCGAAAAUAUGGUGCAUCGUGAUUCAUGUAGUGCAAUAUGGCUACCAACGCAUCCUAAAUGGAAUAUUACUCAGUUAGUCAGCAAAAUAAGACAACAUAACUGAUAUUAAAAAAAUAAAAACUACAUUAAUAAGUGGGCAAGAUCAUGCCAGUUUAACUUUUCGCGAGUCGCUGCUGGAGAUAAUCAAAUCGGGGCAGAGAAAAGGAGAAUGGAAUCAGAGGCUAAGAUUAAUAAGUGGGCUUCUGCUUGCUUUGCCCCUCUUUCUUAAACGAUUGGUAGACUGCUGCUUCCACCGAUUAACCGGGUCUUCAACCACUGCUUUUACUGCCUGCCAUCUUGUUGUUUGUCGAAGGGAUGAAUUCGAGUCGAAAAGAGAAAGCGCGCUGAAAAAGAUAAAUCACUAGUGGUUAACUGCUGACUCAGCCAAGUGUUGGCUUCACUUGAUUCACCGAUUGAGGUUAUUUUGUCUUCUAUCUAAUGCAGCGAAGAAGCUUUGCUGCUUAACAUGCUGCAAUGCAACUUUAUCCUUUGAAGUUCACACUUCAGGGCUGCGCACUUUAUGUAAUCCUAUGAGUAAAAAGAAUUUGUUUUCAAAUGUGAAAAAAGAAAAUGUAAGGUAGUAACUAAUAUAUUAUAGCAUCAAAGCAAGAUUUGAUAUGAAUUUAGUACAACAAAGAACAUCAAAUCUGUGAUUCCUUGUCUAAUGUCACCAUCGAGCAACAAAUUUAAAAGCCUACCUAUCAAAUACACGAGGCAAUAAACGGAGAAAAAGUUGAAUUACAAGAACAAGUUUACAAUUCUUGUCAAUGGUUAAUGAUUCGUGAACUGAGAUAGCAUUCAAGAAUCCAAUUUCAAUACAACAACGUAAAAGAUAAACAGAUGAUGAAUUUUAUGAGAUAAAGAAGGAGAUCGUGUUUUAUCGUAUCUCUAUUUUCUUUCUUUUUAAAUUUAAAAUAAGCUUUUCAACCGGUUUAUUAACCGGUUAUAAUAUUUUUUAAAAUAAUUAAAUAUUUUCAUUAUUAAAAAUAAUGUGUACCGUUGAUUACAUCUAACGGUACAUAUUUCUUACACUACUAAUACGGUAAAAAAAAAAAAAAGGGCAUCAUAAAGGGACCCUUAAAACAUUUUCAUUUGAAAUUAUUUGGUGUAGUCAAAAAGUUAAGAAAGAAAUAGUUGUCCCUUUGGUCAUUUCACAAAAAUGAAAGCCCCAUAUAACAUGGACUUGAAUGGAAACCCAAUUGUUUGUGUUUGAUUUCAAGCUUUAUCGGACCUUUGGACCUGGAUACUUUACUGCGGCCUCUAAGCGCUAUAAAUUUGUUUUUUGGGAUAAAAGGCGCUUCAAUGAAAAAGCACUUUAAAACUUUGGAUUUUGCCAAAACUUCAAAGCGGUUGGUCCAGUUACGGUGUUAUGCUAACGGGUUUAAAGGUUCCGAUCCAAUGAGUUAGGGUGGAAUAUGAAUAUAUAAAUUCCAUAGCAUGUAAGGACUAGGAUUUGUUUGUUCAUAUUAAGAAAAAAGAUCUAAAAAUUUGAUGAUCAGAAGAAAAUAGACUCUUCUCUGUCUGAAUAAGAAGAAAGCAUAAUGCGCCUCCAAUAGAGAGAAAAGGGACUUAAUUUCACUUGCGUCAAAUGUUCCUCAUUCUUUGAUGGAAGAAAAACUCUUAAUAGUCUAUUGUUUUUUUUUUUUUCAUUUUUAUUUAAGUUUCACAAUAUUUUAGUAGUUGAUCAAAUUAUUUAGAAUUAGACAUUUAAUCUAGGGACAAUGUGAACUUUUUAAAAAUCUAUCAGGUGAUUUCAUAAUUUUAUAAUUCAGUUGGGGUAAUUUCUCAAACUAUAAACAAAUUAUCGUGUUUUGUAAGUUGAGGUCCAAUGGCGUUUUGGCACAUCAUAUGAUAGACCACUAUAUUGAGUUGCUUUACAAAAGAUUAAUAUUUUUAAAAUUAUUAGGUAAGUUUAGGCUCAGUGGCACUUUAACUCAUGAUAUGAUAGUCCGGGUUUUCGAGGACCACUAUAUUGUAUUGAUUUAAAAAAAAAAUUAAUAUUUUUUAAUAUUAAUAUUCUAAAUUAUAUUCAGUUAAAAUAUUAAAUAUUAAAUACAUUCUUAAUAUUAAUAUUCUUAGAUGAAAUUCUUUUGCUGACUUAAGAAUAAAAUAUUAAAUAAUUUUAUUUUUCUUUUAUUGUGUAACGUGGACCCAAAAAAAAAAGGAAAUGAAUUUAAUAAAACCUUCAUUCCGCCAACAUGCAUGUUAAUUGUUUCCAAAUUCCAACCUCCGUACUCUCUUGAGGAGUUUCCCAUUCAUCAAUUAUUAUUUUUUAUAAUCCAUACCAUCCUGAUAUAAUUAAACACCAUUAAUAAUGUACCAGCCUUUAAAUAGUAAUUAAUUUAGUUCUGAGAAGGAAAAAAAAAACAAAAAAACUACUUUGACCAGAAAAAUUCCCCGUUCUAUUGCCUAUAUAUGAACUGAGCUGUGCAAUUGAUCAAUUUCAAAAACUUCCUCAGCUGACCAAUUUUGAGCAAUUACUACAUAACAUAAAACCAAAUGCUGGAUGAAUUGGCAUCUCUGAAAACCCCAGCUCACACGUACCGACAGAAAGAGACUCUAGAUGUAUUCAAACAUUAAAUAACUGCAUAUGCUCUUCAAAAGAUGGAAGGAACCAUGGAUUAAAAAGAAGCAACCAUCUAAACAAGAACUUAUAUUAAAAAGCAAAGGAAGUAACACAUUAAAUUGAGAAGUGUGAUCAUCACUAUGAAGCUUCUAUAAGUAAUUUAAGAAUAGUAAUAAAAAACUAUUCUAAUAUAAGUAAUAAAUAUGGGAGACAUCUUUGGCUAAUAUGUAAUAAUAAUCUCGAGCAGCAGACGGACUCUUAUUUGCUCCAAUUUGAAUGGUGGUGUUAAGCAAUUUAAAUGUGAAGCCACUCGAGGCUCUGAUUGUGACAGCGGAAGCUAUACAGGCACGGCAUCAGAACAAGAAGAAGGAGCCGAACAACAUAUUUCAGUUCUCAAGAGAAGAAUAGAUUCUCAAACAAACUUCAAUUUUGAGAAGAAGAAGAAGGAUUCAUUAUCAUGGCAAGCUCAAAAAUGCAUUGGUAGAUUUUUCUACGAAAUGGGUAUUGAUUUCAGUGUUGCUAAUUCUCCAAGCUUUCAAGACAUGAUAAAUGCUAGCCGUGGUAAGGAAAAGUGUGAGAUCCCCAGUUGUCAGGAUUUGAAGGGGUGGAUCCUUCAUGAAGAAGUGAUGGAAAUGCAAGAAUAUGUGAAGAGGAUAAGACAUUCGUGGGAAAGUACUGGGUGCAGCAUUUUGUUGGAUGGAUGGACUGAUGAAAAUGGUCGAAACUUGGUCAGUUUUAUUGUGGAUUGUCCUCAGGGACCUAUUUAUCUGCGAUCAUCAGAUAUUUCAGCCUUCGUUAGUAAUGUUGAUGCCCUGCAGUUAUUAUUGGAUGGAGUCAUUGAGGAGGUUGGAGUGAAUAAUGUUGUUCAAAUUGUUGCAUGUUCUACAUCAGGUUGGAUGGGGGAUGUGGGCAAGCAGUUUAUGGAAAGGCGAAGGACAGUGUUUUGGACUGUAAGUGUGUUUGAUUGCAUUGCUCUGAUGCUUGAGAAGAUUGGUACGAUUGAUUUUGCUAGGGAGAUAUUAGAAAAGGCCAAGACCAUUACAAAGUUCAUUCAUGGCCACACAACGGUCUUGAAACUCUUUGGAGAUUUUACUGGCAAGCGGAACCUUAUCAAGCCCUCUAAGUUGAGAUCAGCAAUGCCUUUCUUGACUUUAGAAAAUAUUGUGGCGGAAAAGAAAAACCUUAAGGCCAUGUUUGCCUCAUUUGAGUGGAAUAGAACUAAAUGGGCUUCAAGAACAGAGGGGAAGAGGAUAGUUAAUUUAGUGGAGGAUCGUUCUUUUUGGAGCACAGCCAGGAUGGUCCUAAAGGCAACUAUACCCCUUGUGCGUGUUCUGUGUUUGAUCAAUGGGGCUUAUAAACCACAAGUGGGUUACAUCUAUGAAACCAUGGAUCAAGCAAAGGAGACAAUUAAAGAGGAAUUUAAGAACAAGAAAACCCAAUAUUGGCCAAUUUGGGAAAUUAUUGAUGACAAAACGCUAUUUCCGCAUAUUAUUAUUAUCAGAUUGUGUCUAAUGUCAGAUAUUGCCGACCACCUACAAUGCCACACAGAGAACCGCUACAAAUUCCUGUAACUUCCUUCCUGUACUAAAAUUAAAGGAGUACCCCAUCCUCUGCAGUAAAUACAUAGUCCUACUUACGGUUCCUUGUUACUUCCUUUGCUUUUUCAUCUGCAGUAAAUAAGAUAAAGGUGUCUCCCACAGUUGAAGACGGACCCUUGUUGCCAAAGAAUAGUAAUAAAAAAUAAACCACUUUCAUCUUGUACUGAAGUCUAUACUUAAGCUUCUAUAAGUAAUUUAAAAAAGCAUUUACCAUUUUAAACAUCAUAAUGAUACAAUUAUCUUAGUUUUAUCAGUAUAUAAGAAUUACUUAUAGAAUAGUAAUAUAUGUUUAUAUUUAAAUUAGUACAAUUUUAUAUUGAUAAUAAUAAUAAUUUUCAAUUGAAAGUGAAACCUUUAGACAUUUACCUAAUGAAGUUAGUUAAUCGGGAGGGUUGGAAAAAAAAAAAGUUGACGCAAGUCAAUACACAAUAAUUAAUUAAAUCCGGAGUGACUAAAACAGAGCCACUACUUUUUCAAAAAUAUCUGCAUUCAUCACUUUCUCCAGCAGCUAGUCAGCUACACACGAAUCAAUUUCUCUCCUCGUUUGUUGUCAUCCAAAAUUGUUCACCAAUACCAUGGCUGAUGCAAUCGUUUCCACUAUCUUGGAGCAGCUGAUUUCCUUCGCUGCUGAAGAGAUAAAACAACAGGUGAUCGAAGUUACACCCCUCAUAUUACAAAUACUUCCAAUGAUUUUAAUUGGUUUUGUUUUUAUCAAAAACAUUAUAUAUUUUUGCUUUUUUUUAUUUAUCUGAUAAUUUUAUAUUUUGAAAUUUGAAUUGAAUUUAAUUAAAAGGUGAUGUAGUGACCACUUAUUUUUAUUUUAUUUCAUUUAUAUUCUCAAUAACUACUCAUAUUUUGGUAACUUACUAUAACUUCCAUAUCUAAGAAAUGAUCCAAACCCACAAUUUUAAUGAUAAGAUUGGUUGAAUUAAAUAUCACUUGGCCCACAUGAUUUGUUUUAAUUAUUUUAUAUUUUCAUUCAACCAAUGAAUUAGUGCCACGUCAGUUUGUACAAAAUAAGUUUGUACAAUAGUUUGUGGUUGUAUCAUUACUCUUUAGUAAAGAGUAAUGAUAUAGCCACAAACUCUUGUACAAACUUAUUUUGUACAAACUUAUGUGGCAUGAUAAGAUUGGUUGAAUUAAAUAUCACUUGGCCCACAUGAUUUGUUUUAAUUAUUUUAUAUUUUCAUUCAACCAAUGAAUUAGUGCCACGUCAGUUUGUACAAAAUAAGUUUGUACAAUAGUUUGUGGCUGUAUCAUUACUCUUUAGUAAAACCUCAACUCAUCACUGAAUCCCAUAGCUAUUACUUAGACUCUAUGAAAAAUUUCAUAGUUUUCUUACAUUCUUUCAGUUUGGUAAGUGAUUUCAUAUAAUUUCUUUUCAAGUUAAAUUUUAAUUUGGUUUCUGAUAUAGUCUCUUUGCCGAAUUGUAUCUUUUAUGAUUCUUGGAUUUUGGGCUCCAACUUUUUAGGAUUUGAUAGUCACAUUUUAUGCCAUGCUCAGAUUGAUUUUCAUGAUUUUUAGUACCCGUUAAGUGACGUACAAUUUGACAAAAGUUUGAAAGGAAAUAUGUUUCAGAAUUCUGUUUUAAUUGACCUUUUAGUGGAAAUAGGAUGCUUAUAACUUAAUGUGGAUGGUUCGUAAAAUCAUGAAAUUUGGAUAGGAUUCACUAGCAAUAUGUACAAGACUCUCCAUAAAGUUUCAUAAUUUUUCAUUCGGUCUGGGGUGGUACAGGUGAAACUUGUGGUUGGUGUUGAAAAAGAAGUGAAAAGCCUUACCAGCCAUCUUCAAGCCAUUCAAGUUGUGCUCGAUGAUGCAGAGGAAAAGCAAGUGAAGGAAAAAGCUGUUAGUCUUUGGCUGGGUAGGCUCAAGUAUGCAUCCUACAACAUUGAAGAUGUGUUGGAUGAGUGGAUAACAACAAGACGCAAAUUGCAAAUUGAGGGUGGCGUUGAUGAAAAUGCUCUUGUUGUUCCUCAUAAGAAAAAGAAGGUAUGUCUCUGCUUUCCCAGCUCUUGUUUUGGAUUCAAACAAGAAGAAUUUGGUUUCAAACAAGUCUUUCUCCGCCAUGACAUUGCCGACAAGAUCAAAGAAAUCAAUGAAGAGCUCCAUGAUAUUGCCGCUCAAAAAGACAUGUUUGAUCUUGUUAAGAGUGGCAAUAAAAGUAGUGAAAGACCAAGGCGUGUACAGAGUACCUCCUUGAUUGAUGAGGAAGAGAUUUGUGGCAGAGUUGGUGAGAGGAAUGAACUCUUAAGCAAGCUGUUGUGUGAGGGUAGCGAGCAACAAAAAGGCCUUCAUAUCAUCUCAAUCGUUGGUAUGGGAGGCAUAGGGAAAACAACUCUUGCACAACUAGCUUGUAAUCAUGACGAGGUGAAGAGAAAGUUCGACAAAAUUCUGUGGGUGUGUGUAUCAGAAACUUUUGAGGAGUUUAGGGUUGCCAAAGCGAUCGUUGAAGUUUUGGAUGGUCGUGAAUCUCAUUUAGCUGAAUUCCAUUCUCUUCUUCAACAUAUUUAUGAAUCCAUUGCAGGGAAGAGCUUUCUUCUUGUCUUAGAUGACGUGUGGGAUGGAAAUUACUUGAAAUGGGAACCAUUCUACCGUUGUCUAAAGAAUGGUCUCCAUGGAAGUAAAAUUUUAGUUACCACACGUAAAGGGUCAGUUGCAUCCAUGAUGGGAUCCAUAGAUAUUAUCUCCGUUAAGGAGUUAGCUGAAGAGGAAUGUUGGUUGUUGUUUAACAAGAUAGCAUUUUUUGAUCGGUCCAUCGAGGAACGUGAAAAAUUAGAACAAAUUGGGCAAAGAAUUGGAGGCAAGUGCAAAGGUUUACCUCUUGCAGCAAAGACAAUAGGGAGUCUCAUGUGUUCUAAACAAACUGAAGAAGAGUGGAAAAGAAUUUUAAAUAGUGAUUUAUGGAAAGUAGAAGAGAUUGAGAAAGAUGUUUUGUCCUCUUUAUUGUUGAGUUAUAAUGAUUUGCCAUCUAGAGUAAAAAGAUGUUUUUCAUAUUGUGAUGUCUUUCCAAAAGACUACAAUAUAGAAAAAGACAAACUAAUCACGUUAUGGAUGGCUCAAGGUUAUCUUAGUGCAGAAGAAGAUGAAGAGAUGGAGACAGUAGGUGAAGAGUAGUUUGGCAUCUUAGCUUCUCGCUCAUUUUUUCAAGAGUUUAAGAAAAGUUAUGAUAAUCGGAUUAUAGAGUGUAAGAUGCAUGAUAUGGUACAUGAUUUUGCCCGAUUUGUAAGUCAAAAUGAAUGUUUUUCGAUGGCAAUUAAUGGUAGUGAAGAACCAAACGCCACAAACUCUCUUGAUGAGAAGGUCCGUCAUUUAAUGUUAAUCUUUAGUAUAGAGGCUUCAUUACCUGUUUCCACUUGUAGAGUUAAAAGAAUUCGUAGCCUCUUAAUUAACGAUAGUAGAUCUGAUCAUUCAUUAUUAAAUGGUGAGAUCUUAGAAGAAUUAUUUAGGGAAUUGACAAGUUUAAGGGCAUUAGAUUUUUGCAAAUCGUAUAACGCAAGUUGGUCUUCGACUCUGGAGAUUCCGAGAAACAUAGAAAAGCUGGUACAUUUAAGAUACCUUAAUUUGUCUUAUCAGGGAAUAAAGAAACUACCGGAGACAUUAUGCGAGUUGUAUAAUCUAGAAAAGUUAGAUAUUAGUUAUUGUUAUAAGCUAGAAGAAUUACCUGAAGGGAUUGGGAAGUUAAUAAACAUGAAGCAUUUACGAAAUAGAGGUACUAGUUCUUUAAGGUACAUGCCAGUAGGGAUUGGGAGAUUAACGGGUCUUAGGACCUUGGGUGAGUUCCACGUGAGUGCAGGAGGAGGUGUUGAUGGUAGGAAAGCAUGUAGGCUUGAAUCUCUUAAAAACUUGGAACACCUUCAAGUAUGUGGUAUAUGUAGACUGGGUGAUGUAUCAGAUGUGGGCGAGGCUAAGCGAUUAGAACUUGACAAAAAGAAAUACCUCUUCAGUUUGACCCUUGAGUUUGAUAAGACGUAAAGAGGAGGAGAAAGGAGGAAGAACGAGGACGAUCAACUUCUUCUUGAAGCCUUGCGACCACCCCUGGAUUUAAAGGAAUUAGAGAUACGGUACUACCGAGGCAACACUGUUUUCUUCCAUGUUGGAAUUGGAGGAGUGGGAUUAUGGGAUUACAAGAACGGGAAACACCGUCAUCAACAUCAUGCCACGUCUUUCUUCCUUGGAAAUUGUUGCCUGCCCCAACUUAAAGGCGCUGCCCGACCACAUUCAUCAAACGACAACAUUGAAGGAAUUGCGCAUUGUGCAUUGUGGGCUUCUGGAAGAACGUUACCGCACGGGGGAAGGAGAAGAGUGGCCUAAGAUAUCACACAUUCCCAGCAUAGAUAUUGAUUAAGAAGGAGAAGAGUGACCUAAGAUAUCUCACAUUCCCAACCUUGAGAUUUGGCCUUGACAAGUAAUUCCUUCUCUCACUCUGAUUUGCUUUGUUGUUCUUUUUAAUCUAAUCAAGAAGCAUAAAUAGCAUUUUGAAUUAAACUCUAUAUCAGAAAUCUGCAAUACAUAUUUACUAAUAUUCUGAUUUUCAUAUCUUAUGAAUGUACGAUUCUAAUUUGCGAUAUUUAACGUUGCUGUAAAAUAUUAUUAAUGCAAUAUGAGAAAUUCUUUUGCAGGACAAGUGACCUACGUUUAGUUUGGCUUUGGAGUUGAGUAAUAACCUUUCGAGGUCGCCACUAUAAAAACGCGAAGCUCCAUUUGCCACAGAUUACAUGUAUUGCCAUCAUUGACAAUUUUCUGGAUAAGUGAUGAAGGGUGAGAAUGGUGCUAGAAUAUUGAAUAAAGCUGUCGUGACUGAACUUACGUUGAUGUCAAAAGGGGUAAAUUAUUGGCAUGCCUAGCUAAUUUGACCAAUACCUGAUUCAUAAGCCUACAUCAAUUUUGAUUUUGAGUUGAGUGAUUAAUUUUGAAGGUUUGCUUACUUAACUGGUAACCAAUUUCUUUUAACUAAAUGUAUCAUAUGAUGCAGGAAGCAGGGCAGGAUAUGAAAUGAGAAGCUUAUUAGUGGAAGGAUUAUCAGAAACAGAACCCAAAGAAAAUGAAAACAUUUCAAGGCAGCAGUUGGCAGUUGGCCGUGAAUGGAGCCCCUUGAAAAAAUUCCCAACCCAUUGCACUGCAAUUACGAUCGUGAGUAUGAUUGCACUGCAAUUUCGAAGCUUCUUCUCCUGCAUUUUUGUUAUUUGCUAUCAUCCUCUGCUUCAGGUGAUUUCUUCUCCUGCUCUGUCGUUGUUUGUAUCUCAAUCAAAUUCUAUAACUGGAAUAUGCAAAAGUUUCGAAUUUUUAUUUCUAUCUGCUUGCAUUGAUAACAUCGCGGCAUAUGCACUAGUUAAAGAUCAAACAGAAACAGAGCUCAGGAAAAAGUUUCUUCUGCCAUCAUAUUUGAAAAUUCAUGUAAAAUGUAGACAGUAAUCAGCAAAAAGGUGAUUCGCAAUUUGAUUUUUUUUAUGAAAUUAAUUGUUAGGUUGGAGUUGCCAAUUAACAAUUUUAACCCCCUUUGACUUUGAAGGAAUUAGAGAUAUGGUCAUACAGAGGCAACACUGUUUCUGCAAGUAGUCCUCUCUUUUCUUUUUAUUAUAUUUUAUUUAGUUAUUAUUUAUUAUUUAUUUUUUGGUUUACUCUGCUUCUUCUUUUUACGUUUCUCAAAUUUUGAAUUUCAUUGCUUUUGAACAUACGACAGUCUGUUAUGUGGCGACCCUGGUUCUUAAUUAAGGUUGUGAAAUAUUAUUGUAAAAGAUGAUUUAUUCAAUUUGAGUAAUUCGUUUGCUUUGAUAAUGAUAGUAAUUUUUUAUUUUGACAAUUUGCAAGGUGAGAAUGGUGCUGAUUGGUGAUUCAGGAUAUGGUUCAAACACCAUUGAAUAAAGCUAUGGACAUGGUGGCUCAACUUAGCUAGAUUGCUAUCAAAAUUGGUAAGUUGGCUUGUCAAUGUACCGAUGCUUUUGUUUUCUCUCAACCCUAAUUACCUUAACUUCAUUUAGUUUGGCUUUGGAGUUGAGUAAUAACUUAUUGUUCAAAUGUUAUUUCCUUAUUGUUCUAAUUCAUCAAAUGUUAUUUCCUUGUUGUUCCAUUGAUAUAUUGGUUGCAUAUCAAGCAGAAACAGAAUCCAAAGAAAAUGAAACCAUUUCCAGGCAGCAGUUGGCAGUGAAUUCAUGCAAAUGUUGAUGCCAUUCAUAGAUGUUGAAGACAAUGUUGAGCCAAAGGCGAUAAAUCAUUAAUGCAUAAUUCCCAAAACCUCUAUCCUUCUCUCAUUGUAAUUUGAUUUGAAAUGAAUAAUUGCUAGGUAAUUGAAGCCAAUGUUGUUAAAGACCGUGUUGAGCUACCCAAGCUAAGAAGUUAGUUGCCAAAAAAUGCAGGGGAUCAAAAGAAGCAUUGCAUUUGAAAAGGCAUGAGAUUCUGGUGGCUACAUGUCAACUCAUAUAUGUUUGAAUAAGUUUGAUGGUUCAAGAUUGUUAGCUUCUGUUUAAAUUUGUGCUACUGCAGUGCUACAAUGCUGCUACUGGGAAAUUUGAAUCCCAUAUUAGACUUUCCUCACAUCAGAAGCUGUGGAUCUUCGGACAUCAGGUUUUUUCACAGUUCUGAAACACUCAGGAUUAAACUCUAUUAAAGUGUUGUAGUUAUCUUGUUGUCAGAAUUCCCAUAUUAUUAUCUUUUUCAUGUAAAAUUAUCUUGUUGUCUUCGCCCAUGAAUCUAAGCUAAAAUUUGAACCAAUUGUUUGCUAUUAUAAAUUUCGUUGUUAAAUGUUAAUUGUGAUGUUGGUGUUGAGUUUCUUUUAAAGUCAGAGAAGCCUGACGAUUGAGUUCCAUGGGAUUCUGAGAAGCAGUAAUAUUUUGAACAAGUGAAGGUUCUUCGUUUUUAAUUACGUUCUGCACUUUUACAGUAUGUGCAGAUGUCUAAGAGGCAGGAUUUUAAUUUCUGUAAUGCUAAAUUUCGCAAAACAAUAAAUAAAUAAAUGCAUGACAGUGACUUCAAGAAUUUAGAUUAUUGAAUUUGGUCAUUUUAAAAUUGUUGGAAUAUUGAACUUAAGUAAUUUUGAUAAACCAGAGCUCAGAAAUGUAGAAUAUAAAUAUUGGAGAUUUGGACUUCAAUCAUUAGAUUUGAAGCUAAAGAGGUAAGCCAUUAAUUACAUCAAAGGAUUUGGAAAAUGGAGGGAUUGGAAAAAGGAAACUUUUUCAUAAACUACAAGCAUUGGGCAGUUUCAUUUGUCCGAUUCAAGAGGAACGUCACAGAAAGGGGUAAAGAAAAGAGUAGCCUAAGAUAUUUAAGACAAUGUUGAGCCAAAGGAAACAUAAAUCCCAACCAUUGCAUGCGAACAUGAUCACAAUAAGGUCAAGAACCUACCAAACCAUUUUUUUGAGAAUUUUCAAUUGAAAGUGAAACCUUUGGACAUUUACCUAGUAAAGUUAGUUAAACGAGAGAAAUAAAGGGGAAAAGAAAAGUUGACUCAAGUCAAUACAGAAUAAUUAGUUCAAUCUGGAGUAACUAAAACAGAGCCACUAUAUUUUCAAAAAUAUCUGCAUUCAUCACCUUCUCCUACAGCUAGUGAGCUAAACACGAAUCAUUUCCUUUUAGCAUUUUUGCAGCAUCAACUUCUCUCCUCGUUUGUCAUCCAAAAUUAUUCACCAAUACCAUGGCUGAUGCAAUCGUUUCCCUUCUCUUGGAGCAGCUGAUUAUCUUUGCUGCUGAAGAGUCGAAACAACAGGGGAAGCUGGUGAGUGUUGGAUGAGUGGAUCACAGCAUGCGCCAAAUCGCAAAUUGAUCAAUGCUCUUGUUGCUCCUUAUCUGAAGAAGAAGGUGCAAAUUGAGAGCUGCAUUGCACUGUCAUAACAUUUAUUGUAAUUUCAUUUGGAGAUUUUAUGGAUAAUGAUUUGGUAGACUUUAUAUGCCGUCUUCUUUCUUUUUGCAGUGAUAUGUUUGUAUUCAAUGUGCUUGUGCUUAUUCUGUGGUUUUUAAAGUAGGUGUUUUUAUGAUAAACUAGGUCUUGUGUAUUGUAUGUACUAUCUAGAGAAGAAUAUUGACUGGUUGCAGUCGAAAUUGGAACCACUUUUGAAAGGUAAGAAGAGGCCAUUUUCCUUCAUUCUAAUGCCAAUAAUGCUGUCAUGAGACUCAUAAAAAAUGUUAAAACAUUAAUGUUUUUGGUAUUUUGCAGAUCAUUAUCUUCUGUUUGAUUUUCCUGGCCAAGUUGAAUUAUUUUUUCUUCAUUCCAAUGCCAAGAAUGUUAUCAUGAGACUCAUAAAGAAGUUAAAUCUCAGGGUAUUGUUACAUCUUGCAUCUAUGAAGGGACUCAAAGAGUUGACAUGAAUUCAUCUUUGUUAUUUUGAUGCCAGAAUUGUGCAAUUCUCAGUUGGUUCCUUUCACAUGCAGUUGACUGCAGUGCAUCUAGUUGAUGCGCAUCUUUGCAGUGACACUGGAAAGUAUGUUAGUGCUUUGCUUCUCUCGUUGUCUACGAUGCUACAUCUGGAACUUCCCCACGUCAAUGUCUUGUCUAAGAUCGACUUGAUUGAGAAUUAUGGAAAGCUAGGUGUGGUUUUAAGUGUCUCCCUCCUACUUGUUUGUUUAGUUUGAAAUAUCAGAUAUUAUCACGAGCUCCUAUCUGCUACGUUUCCUCACCAAUCAAUUACUUUGGGUAUGUUGCAGCUUUUAAUCUCGAGUACUAUACGGAUGUGCAAGAUUUGUCAUAUUUACAGCAUGCUCUGGGUCAGGACCCUCGUUCUGCUAAGUACAGGUUUGAAUUCUAGCUGAAUCAAUGAUGCAAAUUAUGUCCAUUGCUAUUUUUGACUGUCGUUUCUAUCAUUUUCAAUUGUUACCUCCCCUUGCCAUCUACUGCCACACUGCAAUGCCUACACAAAUGUUAUGAAAUUUGUCAAUGGCAAUGCCAUCCUGUUUGUCCAGAGACAGCUCUUAGAUGCAAGUGAACAAUUUUUGGCUUUGGCCGUUGUACAGCCUUAGAUUUCAACUUGCCAUAUCUUGUCUCGGAAGUCAAAAGAAAGCGUAUAUGUUAGCCAAAUUUUAUUUGAAUUUAUUGAGUAACAAUGAAUGGUUCGGAAAAACAGUUCCUCUUUUGUUUUGAUCAGACUCAAUGAAUAAGUGUUUAAAAUGUGCCUGUCCUAGAAAUAUAGAUGUGUGGUUUCGCAAAAUUUUCUUGAUCUUAAGAAAGAGUUAUCUUGAAAAGAAGAUAACAUGGAGAAUUCAGCAACUAUACAGUCAUAUUGCGUCUGUCAACUUGGGUCAGAUGGUGUCGUUUGGAUGGAGAUGUUAGGUCCCAGAUGGUAUGCUUGUUAUCAAAUUCCAGUCUAAUUCAUUCAUGCUUUGAUGACAUAUGCGGUGCAGCUUCUUAUCUAAGACCUGCAUAUGUUCAGUCAUCAUUCAGUUCUGUAUUUGGCUGUCAUUCUUUCAAUGAAUUCAAACCACUUUCUGAAUACUUGCAAAUUCAUCCAGUGUUGUCAUUGAGAUUCCAAUAUGUAAAGGAGCAAUAGUUGCCCUUGAUAGUAUGCUUAUUGAUUGCCUCUUGCCUCACUCAGCCUAAGGAGUCUGGUUGUAUGGUGUUCUUGUAAUUUCAUUUGGAGAUAAGUAAUAUCUGUUGUUCAAAUGUAUUUUAUAUACAAGCAGUUAAUAAUUCUGCUUGCAGAAAGCUUACAAAGGAGCUGUGUGAUGUAAUAGAAGACUACAGUCUGGUCAAUUUUUCAACCUUAGAUAUUCAGGUCAUCAGUUUCUCUUGAAUUCUUUCUUGAGUUUCUUUGAAUUAUUUGUGAAUAAGAUCUUAGUUGGCUGCUCCUCUUCAGGAUAAGGAAAGUUUGGCAAAACUCGUGAAGCUGAUAGAUAAAAGCAAUGGGUACAUCUUUGCUGGCAUGGAUGCCAGGGCAGUUGAAUUCAGCAAGAUUGCCGUUCGCGAUGUGGAUUGGGAUUAUUACAGGUAUCCUUCUUUUCACCUAUUUUCAAUCUUGUGAUUCUCAUAUUCAUAAAACUUUCAUGGUUCAUUGUAUGCAUCUGCAUCUUCUAAUUUGUACGUUUGAGAGACUAAUUUUGCUGUUAGGUAGGCGUCAAAUUUGAUUCAUGCGUUUUUCAUAAAUUUACCAAAAUCAUGGAAACUUCUUUUUCCCAGAUAUUGUAUCCACACUUUUCCCAUGUAAUUCAGUCAGACAAGUUCUGCUUAACAAAGAUAUCUACAGUAGCUGAAGUGCAGGAAAAGUACAUUAAGGAUGAUGACGAUGUUAACUAAAAUGGGACACGAAGAUAUGUGGUGUGCAAACCGUAAGCAUGCCUCUUACUUUUGUGCAUGUUUACUUGCUUGUGAUUCAUGUUUGUUAAUCUAUUAUGCUCUUUUGUUGGGUUUAUAAAGUUUUCAAUCAAUCAAACAUUUGACUGAUUCAGACAGGACAAGCGGGGAAGAGGUGGUUUUAAUCAAACCACUACUAAUUAUGAUGUAUCUCGGACCUUUGUACAAUAUCAAGCGAUUUUUUUAGUUGAAUCAGCUGGUGUACACAAAUGUCGUUUAUUGAUUUUUCUCUAGUAUAGUUCGUAAUUUUGGUAACACAUCUACUCUAGUAUCGUUUGUAAUUACAAGAAACAAAGUAAUGAAAUUUAUCACUGCAUUCAUAGUUAUGCUUAAGCUCAAAGAUCACUGUGAAUAUCAUUUUGGGGCCUCUAUUUGUUCUAUAACAUGAUGUUGACACGUGUCAAAUUUUGAAGCUUGUGAUUAAAAUACUAUUCACAUAUAUAUUUUAAGUACCACUAAUAAUUAAAUAUAUUAAUAAAUAUGGGCAAUGGGGAUAAAAUAAAAUGGUUUUAUUUUUUGAAUUACUCAACUGCUUCAAACUUCUAAGAAGUAGAUUUACGAUGAGUGGAAUCUUAAAUUGAGUACGAGUUAGGGAUAACUUAUAAAAUUGGGAUACAAGCUUCAAAGAAAGUGUAUUACUAUUCAUAUGUAGAUUUCGAAUUAAGAAGAUAUGCCAGCUAAUUGUAUAAGAAUGUAAAAAUUGAUCACAGGCAUAAUCGCAAAUGAUGAAAUGAGCUACCUUGAUCAAAAGGUCAAGAACCUACCUUACUUCUCUUAGGGAUAAGUUGCAUCAACCGUUGUGAUAUUGAUAUUUAUCUUGAGCCAGUAAAAGUGAAAGCUUCCCAAUUGAAGGAAAGUGAAGAGAAGAUUCUAUGCUCUAAUUAUUAUUAUUAUUAUUAUUUGUUAGAAUGAAGUGCGAAGUGAGCACAUCAUGCAAGCUCAGCAGAUGUGAUAAGGUGACUUGUAACUCAGCUGGCACAAGAGACAAAGUGUAGUGGAGAAAAGUUUCCCAAUUGAUGGAAAGUGAAGGGAAGAUUCUAUGCUCUAAUUAUUAUUAUUUGACAAUGAAUUGGCAAAUAAAAACAAAAUAGCAGGCCUGUAAAGUAAUGAAGUGGAGACAAUGACCAUGUGAUUGAUUGGUAAAUAAAAACAAAAGAGCAAGCCUGUAAAGUAAUAUAAAUUAUAGUGUAUAUUCAAGUUAAAGUAAUGGAAACAGUGUGCAUCCACAAAAAAUUCUUUUAUCUCUCGUUGUCUUAUUCUUUUCUUUAUUUACGUUUUCCAGAAGUAAAGCCAUACAUGUGAUGAAGCAUAGAUAAGAAAGCUAUCGCCCGAAAUUCAUUUUGCACAAACACUUCAAUAUCCUUUUGAUCACUUUUGCAAACAUCAAUUUGUCUCCUAUUGUAUUCACCAUGGCUGAUGCAAUCGUUUCCACUAUCUUGGAGCAGCUGAUUUCCUUCGCUGCUGAAGAGAUAAAACAACAGGUGAUCGAAGUUACACCCCUCCUAUUACAAAUACUUCCAAUGAUUUUAAUUGGUUUUGUUUUUAUCAAAAACAUUAUAUAUUUUUGCUUUAUUUUAUUUAUCUGAUAGUUUUAUAUUUUGAAAUUUGAAUUGAAAUCAUGAAAUUUGGAUAGGAUUCACUAGAAAUAUGUACAAGACUCUCCAUAAAGUUUCAUAAUUUUCAUUCGGUAUGGGGUGGUGCAGGUGAAACUUGUGGUUGGUGUUGAAGAAGAAGUGAAAAGCCUUACCAGCCACCUUGAAGCCAUUCAAGUUGUGCUCGAUGAUGCAGAGGAAAAGCAAGUGAAGGAAAAAGCUGUUAGUCUUUGGCUGGGUAGGCUCAAGUAUGCAUCCUACGACAUUGAAGAUGUGUUGGAUGAGUGGAUCACAGCAAGACGCAAAUUGCAAAUUGAGGAUGGCGUUGAUGAAAAUGCUCUUGUUGUUCCUCAUAAGAAAAAGAAGGUAUGUCUCUGCUUUCCCGGCUCUUGUUUUGGAUUCAAACAAGAAGAAUUUGGUUUCAAACAAGUCUUUUUCCGUCAUGACAUUGCCAACAAGAUCAAAGAAAUGAAUGAAGAGCUACAUGAUAUUGCCACUCAGAAAGACAUGUUUAAUCUUGUUAAGAGUGGCAAUAAAAGUAGUGAAAGACCAAGGCGUGUACAGAGUACCUCCUUGAUUGAUGAGGAAGAGAUUUGUGGUAGAGUUGGUGAGAAGAAUGAACUCUUAAGCAAGCUGUUGUGUGAGAGUAGCGAGCAACAAAAAGGCCUCCAUAUCAUCUCAAUUGUUGGUAUGGGAGGCAUAGGGAAAACUACUCUUGCACAACUAGCUUGUAAUCAUGACGAGGUGAAGAGAAAGUUUGACAAAAUUCUGUGGGUGUGUGUAUCAGAAACUUUUGAGGAGUUUAGGGUAGCCAAAGCGAUCGUUGAAGCUUUGGAUGGUCGUGAAUCUCAUUUAGGUGAAUUCCAAUCUCUUCUUAAACAUAUUUAUGAAUCAAUUGCAGGGAAGAGCUUUCUUCUUGUCUUAGAUGACGUGUGGGAUGGAAAUUACUUGAAAUGGGAACCAUUCUACCGUUGUCUAAAGAAUGGUCUCCAUGGAAGUAAAAUUUUAGUUACUACACGUAAAGGGUCAGCCGCAUCCAUGAUGGGAUCCACAGAUAUUAUCUCCGUUAAGGAGUUAGCUGAAGAAGAAUGUUGGUUGUUGUUUAACAAGAUAGCAUUUUUUGAUCGGUCCAUCGAGGAACGUGAAAAAUUAGAACAAAUUGGGCAAAGAAUUGCAGGCAAGUGCAAAGGUUUACCUCUUGCAGCAAAGACAAUCGGGAGUCUCAUGCGUUCUAAACAAACUGAAGAAGAGUGGAAAAGAAUUUUAAAUAGUGAUUUAUGGAAAGUAGAAGAGAUUGAGAAAGAUGUUUUGUCCUCUUUAUUGUUGAGUUAUAAUGAUUUGCCAUCUAGAGUAAAAAGAUGUUUUUCAUAUUGUGCUGUCUUUCCAAAAGACUACGAUAUAAAAAAAGACAAACUAAUCACAUUAUGGAUGGCUCAAGGUUAUCUUAGUGUAGAACAAGACGAAGAGAUAGAGACAAUAGGUGAAGAGUAUUUUGGCAUCUUAGCUUCUCGCUCGUUUUUUCAAGAGUUUAAGAAAAGUUAUGAUAAUCGGAUUAUAGCGUGUAAGAUGCAUGAUAUGGUACAUGAUUUUGCCCGAUUUGUAAGUCAAAAUGAAUGUUUUUCGAUGGAAAUUAACGGUAGUGAGGAACCAAACGCCACAAACUCUCUUGAUGAGAAGGUCCGUCAUUUAAUGUUAAUCUUUAGUAAAGGGGCUUCAUUACCUGCUUCCACUCGUAGAGUUAAAAGAAUGCGUACCCUCUUAAUUAACUAUAGUAGAUCUGAAUCAUCUGAUCAUUCAUUAUUAAAUGGUGAGAUCCUAGAAGAAUUAUUUAGGGAAUUGAAAAGUUUAAGGGCAUUAGAUUUUGGCGGAUCGUACGACACACAUUUUUCUUUGACUCUGGAGAUUCCAAGAAACAUAGAAAAGCUGGUACAUUUAAGAUACCUUAAUUUGUCUCUUCAGAAAAUAGUGGAGCUACCGGAGACAUUAUGCGAGUUGUAUAAUCUAGAAAAGUUAGAUAUUAGUUAUUGUUAUAAGCUAGAAGAAUUACCUGAAGGGAUUGGGAAGUUAAUAAACAUGAAGCAUUUACUAAAUAAAAAUACUAGUUCUUUAACGUACAUGCCAGUAGGGAUUGGGAGAUUAACGGGUCUUAGGACCUUGGGUGAGUUCCACGUGAGUGCAGGAGGAGGUGUUGAUGGUAGGAAAGCAUGUAGGCUUGAAUCUCUUAAAAACUUGGAACGCCUUCAAGUAUGUGGUAUACGUAGACUGGGUGAUGUAUCAGAUGUGGGCGAGGCUAAGCGAUUAGAACUUGACAAAAAGAAAUACCUCUCUUGUUUGACCCUUGAGUUUGAUAAGAAGGAAAGAGGAGGAGAAAGGAGGAAGAACGAGGACGAUCAACUUCUUCUUGAAGCUCUACAACCACCUCUGGAUUUAAAGGAAUUAGAGAUAUGGUACUACCGAGGCAACACUGCUUUCCCUAGCUGGAUGACGUCAUUAACCAACUUAAAAAGUUUAGAUCUCUCUUUGUGCGAAAAUUGCGAGCAGCUGCCUCCUUUGGGAAAAUUGCAGUCCCUUGAAAAUCUCCACAUAUGGCGCAUGGCGAGUGUGAAGAGAGUGGGUGAUGAAUUUUUGGGGAUAGAAAGUGAUCAUCAUGACUCAUCUUCUUCUUCAUCAGUUAUUAUUGCCUUCCCCAAAUUGAAAUCACUUUCAAUUAACGAAAUGGAGGAAUUAGAGGAGUGGGAUUAUGGGAUUACAAGAACGGGAAACACCGUCAUCGACAUCAUGCCACGUCUUUCAUCCUUAACAAUAAUUCUUAGCCACAAAUUAAAGGCACUGCCCGACUACAUUCAUCAAACGACAACAUUGAAGGAAUUGCACAUUUUGGGGUGUGACCUUCUGGAAGAACGUUACCGCAAGGGGGAAGGAGAAGACUGGCCUAAGAUAUCUCACAUUCCCAACUUCGAGAUUUGGCGUUGACAAGUAAUUUCUUCUCUCACUCUGAUUUGAAUCAAACUCUAUAUCAGAAAUCUGCAAUACUUACUUUCUAAUAUUCUGAUUUUCAUAUCCUAUGAAUAUACGAUUUUUAAUUUGUGAGAUGGGUAACGUUACUGUAAAAGAUUAUUAAUGCAAUAUGAGUAAUUCUUUUGCAGAACAAGUGACCUACAUUUAGUUUGGCUUUGGAGUUGAAUAAUAACCUUUCAAGGUCCCGACAACCAAAAAACGAAGCUUAAUUUGCCACAGAUGGCACGUAUUGCCAUUAUUGACAAUUUUCUGCACAAGCUUAGGUUGAUGUCAAAACAGGUAAAUUACUGGCAUGCCUGACUAUUUUGACCAUUACAUGAUUCAUAAGUUUACAUUAAUUUUGAUUUUGAGUUGAGUGAUUAAUUUUCUAGGUUUGCUUACUUUAACUGGGUGACCAAUUUCUUGUAACUAAAUGUAUGAUGUGAUGCAGGAAGCAGGGCAGGGCAUGAAGAGAGAAGCUUAUUAGAGGAAGGAUUGCCAGUAACAGAAUCCAAAGAAAAAAGAAACCAUUUCGAGGCAGCAGUUGGCAGUUGGCAGUGAAUGGAGCCCCUUGAAAAAUUCCCCAAGCCGUUGCACUGCAAUUACGAUCAUCCUCGGCCUCAGGUAAUUUCUUCUCCUGCAUUUUUGUUAUUUGCUAUCAAGUGACUAUUUUAAGUAUGAUUGCAUUAAGCUGCUGCUGGGAAAUUUGAGGUUUUGAUGACUGCCCAUGCUAUUGUCAGAAGCUGCGGUUCUUUUCAUCAGCCUGAACCUGGACCUGCCGCUAUGGAUAACUCAGGUUUUUUUUUUUUAAUCAACAGCCAUCUUUUCCACUGUUUAGAAACUCUUAAGAUUAAACUUUAGUAAAGUUGUUUUAGUUAUCCAUGUAAUCAGGCUGAGGAUACUUAGCUGCCUAUUUAGGCAAAUGUUAGAAUUUAGUUUGUUUGCUGGGAACUGGUGUGGACUGGCAAAGGAUGAUGAGAUAGUUUUUUGAGUGAGUAAAUUUUGGGAGCUUGAGUGUAUUGGGAUUUGCAAUUACAAUCAUCGUCUGCCUCAGGUGAUUUCUUCUCCUGCUCUGUCAUUGUUUGUUCUCUAAUUCAAAAGCAUAAAAUAUUUCAAUCAAUUUUUAUGCCAGGAAUAUGCAAAAGUUUCUAAUAUUUUAUUUCCAUCUGUUACAAGAUCAAACUGAAGCAGAACUCAAACAAAAGUAUGCUACUUCUUGCGGAAAUCUUGCCUUUGUUCAGAUUAUGAAACCAUUUCCAGGCAGCAAAUUCAUCCAAAAGUUUGAAUAAGUUUCAUGGUUGGACACUGUUGCCUUCUUUUUCUUCUGGGGUGCAUUUAGGUGCUAUCAAGUGACAGCUGUAAGUAUGAUUGCACUAAGCUGCUGCUGGGAAAUUUGAGGUUUUGAUGGCUGCCCAUGUUAUUUUCAAGAAACUAUUGAUGUAAGAAGCUGUGGUUCUUUUCAUCAGCUUGAACCUGAAACUGUCGCUAUGGAUAACUCAGGUUUUUGUUAUCAACUAUAUCAUCUUUUUCACUAUUUUGAAACUCUUAAGAUUAAACUUUAGUAAAGUUGUUUCAGCUAUUCAAAUGAAAAACUCAUUGAUUUGAGACUGACUUCAUUAUUGUUUCUAAUUACAAUGCUAACGAUCCAGAUAAAAUAAUAUUUAAUCGGCGAAGGUGUCCCUUGGAAGUACAUCCUUCUUUUUCUUUUAUUAUAUAAAUUCUUGCAAUGAGCUUAGUGAAGCUGUUGUGCUAAUCAUGCCACUGCAUAAUUUGGCCCCUAAUGUGGGUACUCUGUUACAUUGUUCUGCAAAUUCUCCAGAAGUUAAAAUCAAUAAAUUUUCUAUUAGCUCUAGUGCUUUGACCUAAAUGCCAUUCUAUAUUUUGAUUACAAUGUUUUAACCUUUAAAUUAACUACCCCUAGAUGUUGGAUUUUCUAGAACUUCAAAAUGAUUAAUGGAGAAAGAUCCCAUUAUCGUUAUUGCUAUAAGAAAUUGAUUUAUGCAUCCAAAGAUACAUUAUAUAUUUCUGUGUCUCUAUUUGUAGAUGACAUUUAAGCAUCCAUAAACCGUCAGACAGAGGAAGGGGGUUCAGUGCAAAGAUUCUGUUGACCUAGGGUUGACUGCAUAAUGUCACUUGUUCGCAAUCUAUUAUUUAUUUUAUAUUUUGAAGAAUUUAAUGGGUAAUCCUAAUUGUUUGUUUUGGCAGGUAUGUGUUGUUAUCUCCUUCUAUCUAACAGUCGUACCUAAAUAGCAUAGUUUCAUCUGCGUUACCAUGUGAUGUACAUAAUUUCACAUUUGCCUCAGAUUAAGCUUAAUUUCCCACAGAAUAGAGCUGUCGCGACUGGACUUUUUGAUGUCCAAAGAGGUAAAUUAUUGGCAUGCCUAGAUAAUUUGGCCAUUUCCUAAUUCAUAAGUCUACAUUAAUUUUGAUUUUGAGUUGACUGAUUUCUUUUCAAGGUCUGCUUCCUUAACGGAGUGACCAAUGUUUUUCAACUAAAUUUAUCAUAUGAUGCAGGAAGCAGGGCAGGAUAUGAAAUGAGAAGCUCAUUGGUGGAAGUAUUGCCAGUAGCAGAACCCAAUGAAAAUGAAACUAUUUCAAGGCAGCAGUCGGCAGUUGCAAGUGAAUGGAGGCCCUUGACAAAAUUCUCAAGCGAUUGCAAUGCAAUUACGAUCAUCCUCAGCCUCAGGUAAUGUCUUUUAUUGGUACCCAACAAAAAUGCAAGGUCUGUGAGAAGACAGUUUGUCCAGUUGAGCAGUUAUCUACUGAUGGGGUUGUUUAUCACAAGUCUUGCUUCAAGUGCUCUCACUGCAAAGGCACACUCAAGCUAAGCAAUUACUCAUCCCUGGAAGGUGUUCUUUACUGUAAGCCUCACUUUGAGCAGCUUUUGAAGGAGUCGAGUAACUUCAACAAGAAUUUCCAAUUACCUGCAAAGUCAGCUGAGAAGUUAACUCCUGAGCUGAGAAGGUCGCCUAGCAAAGUUGCCAGCAUGUUCUCUGGGCCCAAUAAAAAUGUGCUUCUUGCAGUAAAACAGUGUGUCCGUGGGAGAAGGUAGCAGCGGAAAACCAAGCCUCUCACAAGACAUGUUUCAAGUGCUCACAUGGUGGUUAUUCCAUUAGCCCGUCAAAUUACGCAGCCCUAGAAGGCAUCUUGUAUUGCAAACAUAAUUUCUCCCAAUUGUUCAAGGAAAAAGGCAGCUACAACCACCUUAUAUCAAAUCUGCUUCCAUGAAGCGUGCUGCAGUCUCUGUUCAAGAAGCUUGAACAUGUUAUGUUAUCUUCCAUAAAUCUUAUUUGGCGUGGGUUUUCUCUGGCUUGAGGGUGUGCUGCUUUCUAUUUUGAUCCCUCUUGUUUUUUUUGCGGGGAACUACCAAACCUUCGGUUCCCUCUGCUUCUUUGGAUCAUCUUUGUUGGGACAAAUUUCAUGUAAUUAGAGAUACUGAUUUAUGGGAGGCAUAAUCCCAUGGUCGUAAAUUGACCAUUUUCUGGCAAUGUUCUUUUUAAAAAGAGAUGAGCAGUUGUUUAACAAAAAAAAUAUUCGGCCUUCAUCAUUGUAUGUUACCAAACUGCUAUGUAUAGCUGCUAACUAUGAGCAUCCGAAAAUAUGGUGCAUCGUGAUUCAUGUAGUGCAAUAUGGCUACCAACGCAUCCUAAAUGGAGUAUUACUCAGUUAGUCAGCAAAAUAAGACAACAUAACAGAUAUUAAAAAAAAAACUACAUUAAUAAGUGGGCAAGAUCAUGCCAGUUUAACUUUUCGCGCGUCGCUGCUGGAGAUAAUCAAAUCGGGGCAGAGAAAAGGAGAAUGGAAUCAGAGGCUAAGAUUAAUAAGUGGGCUUCUGCUUGCUUUGCGCCUCUUUCUUAAACGAUUGGUAGACUGCUGCUUCCACCGAUUAACCGGGACUUCAACCACUGCUUUUACUGCCUGCCAUCUUGUUGUUUGUCGAAGGGAUGAAUUCAAGUCGAAAAGAGAAAGCGCGCUGAAAAAGAUAAAUCACUAGUGGUUAACUGCUGACUCAGCCAAGUGUUGGCUUCACUUGAUUCACCGAUUGAGGUUAUUUUGUCUUCUAUCUAAUGCAGCGAAGAAGCUUUGCUGCUUAACAUGCUGCAAUGCAACUUUAUCCUUUGAAGUUCACACUCCAGGGCUGCGCACUUUAUGUAAUCCUAUGAGUAAAAAGAAUUUGUUUUCAAAUGUGAAAAAAGAAAAUGUAAGGUAGUAACUAAAUAUAUUAUAGCAUCAAAGCAAGAUUUGAUAUGAAUUUAGUACAACAAAGAACAUCAAAUCUGUGAUUCCUUGUCUAAUGUCACCAUCGAGCAACAAAUUUAAAAGCCUACCUAUCAAAUACACGAGGCAAUAAACGGAGAAAAAGUUGAAUUACAAGAACAAGUUUACAAUUCUUGUCAAUGGUUAAUGAUUUGUGAACUGCAUAGCAUUCAAGAAUCCAAUUUCAAUACAACAACCUAAAAGAUAAACAGAUGAUGAAUUUUAUGAGAUAAAGAAGGAGAUCGUGUUUUAUCGUAUCUCUAUUUUCUUUCUUUUUAAAUUUAAAAUAAGCUUUUCAACCGGUUUGGUAACUGGUUAUAAUAUUUUUUAAAAUAAUUAAAUAUUUUCAUUAUUAAAAAUAAUGUGUACCGUUGAUUACAUCUAACGGUACAUAUUUCUUACACUACUAAUACCGUAAAAAAAAAAAGGCAUCAUAGAAGGACCCUUAAAACAUUUUCAUUUGAAAUUAUUUGGUGUAGUCAAAAAGUUAAGAAAGAAAUAGUUGUCCCUUUGGUCAUUUCACAAAAAUGAAAGCCCCAUAUAACAUGGACUUGAAUGGAAGCCCAAUUGUUUGUGUUUGAUUUCAAGCUUUAUCGGACCUUUGGACCUGGAUACUUUACUGCGGCCUCUAAGCCCUAUAAAUUUUUUUUUGGGAUAAAAGGUGCUUCAAUGAAAAAGCACUUUAAAACUUUGGAUUUUGCCAAAACUUCAAAGCGGUUGGUCCAGUUACGGUGUGUUAUGCUAACGGGUUUAAAGGUUCCGAUCCAAUGAGUUAGGGUGGAAUAUGAAUAUAUAAAUUCCAUAGCAUGUAAGGACUAGGAUUUGUUUGUUCAUAUCAAGAAAAAAAAUCUGAAAAUUUGAUGAUCAGAAGAUAAAAACACUUAAACACGUUUAUUACAGAGAAACAAACGACAACAUGAUACUAGUAGUAGUUAUUCUUUUCAUCCGAUAUAUUACAUGGUAAUAUCACUACUCGUUCCACUGGUUUCAUAUACACCAUCGAUCAGCAACAUGAUAAUUUUGUGUCAGUUCAUUUUGUUUGUAGGAAAGAGCAGUGUAUUUAUAAUAAAAAGAUUUUAAAAUAUAAAUUGCAUAUUUGUUUAUUACUGUUGUUUGGUCUAAUUUCUUAUGUAGAAUUGCUUGUCAUUCUUUGGACGUUAUUGGUUAUAUUUUUGUCAGACUUGGCGUAUAUAUUCACAUACAUUUUAUUUUGUCAUUUUUUAGAACAUUUUUACACGCCAUAUUAUCACUACUCUUCUCUGUCUGAAUAAGAAGAAAGCAUCAACGGAGGUGUAUUACCACUGUUUCUUACUCAGUUAUCAUCAACGGAGUACCAAGAGGCUUGAUUUUUCCUGAAAGAGGACUUAGGCAAGGGUGUCCACUCUCCCCAUACCUGUUCCUUUUAUGUGCUGAGGUCUUUUCCAGCUUGCUGUCCCAGGCAGAAAGAAAUUAGCAAAUUAAGGGCUUGAGAUUCACUAAAGAUGUUACUAUCUCCCAUCUCCUCUUUGCGAAUGAUAGUCUAAUUUUCACAAGAGCUGCAGUGGCUAAUUGCAAGCAUCUAAAAGGUCUAUUUGAUACUUAUGCGAAGGCAUCGGGGCAUAUUUUUAACUUUGAAAAGUCAUCUAUGUUUUUCAGUGGUAAAAUUUUUUAGGGGCAGAUUUCAGCGAUCAAGAGUAUCUUCAAGCUUAAGGUGGUUCCUGUUGUGCAAAUUUUAAUGAACUCGCAAGCGCACGAAUCUAUUGUAGUAUAGAUCAAUGGUGACGAGUGUCGAUCCCACGAGGAGGUGGAUUUUAAUUAUAUGUAGAAUUAAUUUUGUAAAUGGGUGGUUGGAAUUGUAGUGGAAAUGAUUUGGAAUAUGCUAAAACUUAAAUUAAAAUGGCGAGAAUAAAUUAUGAAAUUGGAAUUGCAAUGGCGAGAAUAAAUUGAAGUGAAAUCUAUUGAAAUAACGUACUUGGGUAUCCGGAUCCGUAUCAACAUGCAUCAUGGGCUAAAUAAUCCGUAUUAAUGCCAAUUAAAUCAUGAGGGGGGAAUCCACACCUCAUGAACCACGCUCUAAUCAAUAUGGUGCUAAGGGCUUAUCGUGCCAAAUAAUAAUAACCUUAUACUAGAGAGCCGGUGUAACCAAGGCGGUAUCUAGACAAGAUUACUAUUAUUUGUCGACGAAAAGUCAAAACAUCCACAAAAACUAGAGGGGAAGAGAAAAUAAAUUUACCAAAUUAAGCCCAUGAAAAUAAUCCUGUGUGAUGCAUGCACCGUACGCGAAAUUUUUCGUCCACUGAUAUGCUGCCACGUCACCAUCAACAGUACAUAAGAAUUUUAGUCCAACAGGAUCGUGACACCUCAUCAGUCAAUGCCACAUCAUCGGUCAAUGCCACGUCAUCGAUCCGUCUAUGUGAACAGUGUCGUGAACAGUAACGUAGACAGUACCGUAUACGUGAAUAGUACCGUACAUGUGAAUAGUGCCAUUUUUCCUUUUAUGCUCCUCCUAAGGUUUUCGACCGUCCUGAGUUCAAAAGUGAUGUCCGUUUUGCUGUCUGAUCUCUCCUUUAUUGUGAAAUGACUAUAAUGCCCCUAAAAUACAUAAAAUACUUAAUUAAAAUAACACACACGUAAUUACAUCACAAAAAGGUUAAAUACAUAAAAGUAAGGGUUGUUAGUAAGACUUGAAAUGUAAAAUGAUGGUUUUCUCCUUUAUAAAUAUGCAUUUUCUAAUACUCAACACACCCCCCAACCAGCUUAUUGCUAGUCCCUAGUAAAUAAAGCGAAAACAAAAUUCAAAUUCAAAAUAUUUUUUUAGAAACACUCGUGUUUAUUCAAUCAGAUUAAUGAUAGCAAUCAAAUAAAAGUAUAAGCAUUAUCUCCAGUCUAAAGCAAUAUCACACCCAUAUCAACCAUCCACAUGAAUCGGCCCAGUAGACUUUGUUAUAGCUACUUUCAAGAAUGACAUGUUAAACCCCAAAAUCUCACUGGAAGUAGUGACACUCUCACAAAGAAAUUAAAACCCAAUAAACAUAGUCACUCCAAUGAAUAGUAAUUGAGAGAGAAAAUAAUAAAGAAAUGAUAUCACAUGCUCUCACCAAGAUGAAAUAAAUAUGCCCUCAGCUUAGAAAUAAUACGAUCUCAAGUCAAAUAAAAUGUUAGUCAACCCACUUUAUUUAUCUUCUUUUUUUUUUUAUUAUUAUGCAUCACUACAUCUUUUUAGCCCAUAUAACUAGCUUCUACUUCAAACUAUAGUUCCCUAAAAUCAAGAAGGACUUUUAUUAGGACGUAACGUAGGCUAGGGAUAUGGCUAACAAAGAAAGGAAAUAAGGAAAACAAAGUGUAUGUUUGAGAAAAAUGCAGAAAUAUAUAUAUAUAUAUAUAUAUAUUUUUUUUUUUUUUUGAAGUUGCAAGGUGGAUUUCACCUAUUAUUGUUAUUUUAUUCUUUUGAAACAACAACUUUUGUUUUUUUGUUUUUUUUUUAUUUUUUGUUUUUUUUUUUGCUUUUAUUUGGCAUAACUUCACUGAACAACAUAAUUAUUUACAUUUUCUCAAACAUAAAUAGGUGAUGGAACUUAUAAGACAUCGAGUAAUACUCCAAAUCGGAGUGAGUCAAGAUGAUAAGUUGACAAAGAAAAGGUUUUAUUUAUUUAUUUUUUUUUAAAGGCUCAAAAGGGGUAACUAUGGAUAUUUAAUAAAAGGGAUGGCUAGAAAGGCUCAAACGGAUCAAAGAUGGCCUUUCCAUCGUCUUUUAGGGCUCUAAAUAAUUAUCCAUAUCUACUAGUUAGAUGGGCCUCCCAAUGUAGCAACACACAUUUUUUUUUUUUUUUUUUAAUUUUACCAUUUUUUUUAAAGGGUUAACUCAAAAGAAAUCUAGAGAUCGUGUAUAAAAUAAUAAACUGCUAAGCUGUAUAGAAAAUGGGCAAAAGGGUUACUCUCCAAGAAAAUGAUAGGCUCAACAACUCACUUGACACUUAUUUAUGACAUGUUCAUUCCUUCAAGCAACUCAUAUUUGUCUCCGACAUCAACAUGUAAAGUAGCAAACAUAGCGUAACAUCACUUAAGACCAAAGAUAAUACAAAUACUAAAAUUUGAAAUUAAUCAUGUCAUCCAAUGUUAAAACAAAUAACACAAAUUUUUUUUUUUUUAAACAACAUUCUACCCCCCAACCUAUUCUAAACAUGAAAAGAAAAUAUGCAUGCAGAAAUGUGAAAAUGAUGUAGAAAAAUUAAUUAGAAAAAGAUUUUUUUUUUUUAAAACUAAGAAGAUGCGUUUCUAGAGGCACUACACUCCAUAUUCAGCCAUCUUCGACUCAAAAGUUGGAAAAUGUAUAUUUAUAGAGGAGAAAAUAAAAAGAAGAAGAAAAAUGAAGUAGAAAAAUUAAUUAGAAAAAGAAUUUUUUUUUUCGAACAAUGAAGAUGCGUUUCUAGAGUAACUACACUCCAUAUUCAGCCAUCUUCAACACAAAAAGUUAGCAACAGUUAGUUUCUACAACAAAAAAUUAGUAAAAACUUAACCAAGAUUCCACAAUUGUCGACUAUUCCCUCCCCCCAACCAGAACGAAACAUUGUCCUCAAUGUUUGAAAGGAAAGAAGUAGAGUUUAGAAGACAUCACCUGGGUGGUGCAACACAGAAGAAUAUAUUUACAGGCGGAGAGUUAAAUCUAAUUUGUACUUCUUACUGCGGCUACUGUUACCAUCAUUAGUUGGUCGCUCCAACACAAAGGUCCAGGGGUCUGGCUCCGGUUUAUAAGCUUGUAACAUAUCAAGUAGCUCAUUAGCAGUGUGAGCACAAAUAAAGAGUUUUUUCACAUUAGAAUGCGAUAAAGUCAUCAUAAAAGUUAUUGACAUUUAACAAACCAAUAGGUUUCUGGUGGAUGUGCAGAUGGGCCCAAGAUGCUAGUGUCAUAAAUGCUUCUAGUGUUGCAAGAUCUCCUGGAAGGAAAAUAAAAGCAUCAGCAUGAUUAAGCAUUUCAGUUAUUCUUUCUUGCAUACCUGAGACGACUAACUCUUCUCCAGUUGAUGAGUCAGACGAACUGCCCAAUGGUUUUAGGACUCUUGGGAUGAUGCCUAACACUUGACUUCCUCUGAUAAAAGCUGCUUCUGAGACCAUUUUUGAUAACCCUCGGUUACCUCCUCCAUACACCAAGUGUAAUUUUCUCGCUGCUAUGCUUCGACCAAGAUCUAUGGCUGCCUCCACAAACUCUUUAUGUUUGCCACAGGUAAAUCCAGAAAGCACACAAAUGUUCUUGAAUUGUCUAAUGGGAGUAGCUGCCAUUGUGAUACUUCUCAAAAACAAUUUGUGAGUGCUUGACAAAAGAUAAAUCACAUUUAAGAAUCUUGGUGACAGUGGAUCACAACUGUGAAUGAGGUAACAUGUCAGUGUCAAAUAACGCGUAAAGCACGUGGCUCGCGAGUCAAAAAGGAAACAAUAAAAAAAAGAAAAAGCAAACAGUAACAAAAUUAUUAAAGACAAAAAUAAAACAACAGUGAAAUGAAAUAAAAUAACAGUAAAGUAAAAGGAUAUUUACACGUAGUUGCGACUGUGGCUCACAUCUUCCUCUGGUUUUACGUCCAGAAACGGCUUGAACGCCCUCUAUGGGUCGAGGAUAGGCUUCCUAUCCAGUUUUCUUAUAAACUGGCAAACAGGGUCGUUUAUAGUCAGAUUCCCGAGACUAUAUCGUGCAUGCUCUUUCUGGAAUAAUGGCCAUAACUGGAGAACCGCUCCUUGCACAUAUCCACUAGGAUGCGUUUCAAGAGACAAAAGGAUAUCAUCCAAUGACUCCUUAUUCAAGCCAUCCCUAAUGAAUUGAAUCUUAUAUUCCCUGUUAUCAGACACCAUUCCUAAAGAACAUGGGUUUCUAUCGCAACUCAUUCUGGCACACUUAUGACAAGCAACAGAAAUUCUUCGAGCUCGUCGUUUUCUUCCAUAAUUUCCUUUACCACAACCAGGCAUGAAUGCAAUAAAUUUUGGAGGAAACUCACCUGCCGAUCGUACUUUAGCCUCGAUUAACCAACGGAUGUCAGCAGGUAUGUUAUUCCUCAUGAGUAAUCGCAUGCGUUCGGAUCGAGCUUUAUAGAUCGUAAGGAGGGCAUUCUGAGGAAGUGAAGGGAAUCGCUUGUGAAGCUUCGCUAGAAUCUCGUUUCUGUUCAUACUUUCACCUCAGAAUGUCAGUUAUUAUGGGAAACUGAAGUAACCGACUUGAUUGUCACGGAGUACCGUUAUCCGCCACUUCACCGGGGUAACAAACUAAAGCACAUAAACAGAAAAACAAAUCAAAACACACAAAGAAAAUUAAAAUCGUCCUCUUAUUGAAUUUACCUCAAGCUCCAACUGGAUGUCGUAAACACUUCUCUCAAUGUCUCUGAGUUGGCGUUCUAAACCCUCAACAUAGGCUACUAACUCUGGUGGUUGUAGAGCCCAAAUGCGUUGUGUUUUACAAAAUUGAAUCUGCCUUUUGAGAUGAGUUUUGAUACGUUGAAGUGGUUUAAGAAUGUUCAGGAGGAACGGUCUAAGUAUGAGACUCAUGAUUAAAAAUGAUAAGAGAAAACUUAAUGGUAAAAUAAACACACUUAUGCAAAAACAAUUUCAAUUAGCAAAAGAAUAAUAAUAAAAAGAAAGAAAGAAAAAUCAAAUCAACGAAAAGAAAAAAAAUCAAUUCAAAUUUGGUGGGUCACUCAAAUUUAUUUCGGUGUCUUCUCUAUGUGGUUGGUACUCAAGAUAUGGCUUUAAUCUUUGACCAUUAACUUUAAACGUGACACCGUUCUUUGGGUCCUUAAUUUCAAUUGCCCCAUGUGGAAAAACAGUAUGAACAAUAAAGGGACCAGACCAUCGAGAGCGUAACUUACCUGGGAAUAGGUGCAAGCGAGAAUUGAAUAAAAGCACUUUCUGACCUGGAGUGAAAGAUUUUCUCAUAAUGUGCUUGUCAUGAAAGACUUUCAUUCGUUGCUUGUAAAUUUUGGCAUUUUCGUAUGCAUCAUUGCGAAUUUCUUCAAGUUCUGCCAGCUGUAAUAUUCUUUCUGAGCUGGCUUGUUGCAUGUCAAAAUUGAAUUUCUUGAUGGCCCAAUACGCACGAUGCUCGAGUUCCACAGGUAGGUGGCAAGCUUUUCCAUACACUAGCCUGUAGGGUGACAUCCCAAUCGGGGUCUUGAAAGCCGUUCUAUAUGCCCAUAAUGCAUCAUCAAGUCUUAAUGACCAAUCUUUCCUGUCUGGCCUCACCGUUUUUUCUAAUAUGUGCUUUAUUUCUCGAUUGGAUAUCUCAACUUGGCCACUGGUUUGCGGAUGAUACGGGGUCGCCACUUUGUGUGUGAUUGAAUACUUUGUCAAAAGAGCCUUGAAUGCUUUGUUACAAAAGUGGGCACCACCAUCACUGAUUAUCGCUCGAGGGAAUCCAAAGCGUGAAACAAUGUUGCUUUUCAAAAAUCCUAUCACCACUUUGUGAUCAUUGGUUCUGCAUGGAAUUGCUUCCACCCAUUUCGAUACGUAGUCAACACCAACCAAUAUGUAUUGAUGGCCAAAAGAAGGGGGAAAGGGUCCCAUGAAGUCGAUACCCCAUACGUCAAAAAUCUCAACCACUAAAAUUGGAUUUAGUGGCAUCAUGUUCCUUCGUGUAAUGCUCCUCAUUCGUUGACACCUAUCACAUGAAGAACAAAAAGUGUAAGCAUCUCGAAAUAUAGUUGGCCAAUAAAAACCACAUUGUAAAACUUUAGUCACGGUUUUCUUAGCACUGAAGUGGCCUCCACAAGCUUGUUCAUGGCAGAAUGAAAGGAUAUUCUGAAUUUCACUUUCUGGGACACAUCGUCUAACAAUUUGGUCUGCACAAUACUUGAACAAAUACGGGUCAUUGUUGAGUGUUAGAAAAUGCAUAUUUAUAAAGGAGAAAACUGUCAUUUUAUGUUUCAAGUCUUACUAACAACCCUUACUUUUAUGUAUUUAACCUUCUUGUAAUGUAAUUACGUGUGUGUUAUUUUAAUUAAGUAUUUUAUGUAUUUUAGGGGCAUUAUAGUCAUUUCACAAUAAAGGAGAGAUCAGACGGCAAAACGGACAUCACUUUUGAACUCAGGACGGUCGAAAACCUUAGGAGGAGCAUAAAAGGAAAAAUGGCACUAUUCACAUAUACGGUAGUAUUCACGUAUACGGUACUGUCUACGUUACUGUUCACGACACUGUUCACAUAGACGGAUCGAUGACGUGGCAUUGACCGAUGAUGUGGCAUUGACUGAUGAGGUGUCACGAUCCUGUUGGACUAAAAUUCUAAUGUACUGUUGAUGGUGACGUGGCAGCAUAUCAGUGGACGAAAAAUCUCGCGUACGGUGCAUGCAUCACACAUGAUUAUUUUCAACCAAACCGCGUUACUGUUCAUCCGGGUCAAACCGUGUUACUGUUCAUCCGCGUGGUCAAACCGUGGACUGUUGACUGAUGACGUGGCGCAAUCCUGAGCGUCCAAACUGUUUUUAAUCCGAUGGCCAUGAUUUACUCCAUGUAUCUAUAAAAAGGGGGCCUCCCCCCCAUAAUUUGAUAUCUCUGAAUCCAUUUUUGGGAUCCAUUUUCUGUAAUUCCUUCUCCAUCUUGUAUUUUCUUUGUAUUUUAAUAAAUUCCCUUUUUGCCCCUAGUUCAAUUAUGAGUAGCUAAUUUCUUUUCAAGCUUGGGUUGAAGGUGAAGUCUCAACAUGUGUCAUGGGCUUUAUUUGGUAAAUUUAUUUUCUUUUCCCCUCUAGUUUUUGUGGAUGAUUUGACUUAUCGUCGAUAAAUAAUAAUGAUCUUGUCUAGAUACCGCCUUGGUUACACCGGCUCUCUAGUAUAAGGUUAUUAUUAUUUGGCACGAUAAGCCCUUAGCACCAUAUUGAUUAGAGCGUGGUUCAUGAGGUGUGGAUUCCCCCCUCAUGAUUUAAUUGGCAUUAAUAUGGAUUAUUUAGCCCAUGAUGCAUGUUGAUACGGAUCCAGAUACCCAAGUACGUCAUUUCAAUAGAUUUCGCUUCAACUUAUUCUCGCCAUUGCAAUUCCAAUUUUAGAAUUUAUUAUCGCAAUUUCAAUUCCAAUUUUAGGAUAAUUUAAAUCACUUCCACCACAAUUCCAACCACCCAUUUUGCAAAAUUAAUUCUAUACACAAUUAAAAUCCACCUCCUCGUGGGAUCGACACUCGUCACCAUUGAUCUACACUACAAUAGAUUCGUGCGCUUGCGAGUUCAUUAAAAUUUGCACAACAGUCAUCCCAAAAGAAAUUCUUUAUUUCUACAAAGAAUUUAGCCUUGUCUUGCUUGGUCCAAUGCUCUGGAAAUUUACCUGUAACAAGAUAAUUAACUAUAUCAGCAUACCAAGGUAAUACUUCCACAUUCAUCAAUUGUUCAUCUGGAAAUGACUCAUUCAAUAUUAAUGGCUCUGUAAUUGUGUCAAAAUGGAGACGAGAGAGGUGGUCCGCCACAACAUUCUCUGUGCCUUUCUUAUCUUUGAAUUCCAAGUCAAACUCCUGCAAAAGUAACACCCAACGAAUUAGUCUAGCUUUUGCAUCUUUCUUUGUGAGAAGAUAUUUAAGAGCAGCAUAAUCUGUGAAUACAAUUAUUUUACAACCAAUGAGAUAAGAUCGAAAUUUUUCUAAUGCAAACACUACUGCUAGCAUUUCUUUUUCAGUAGUUGAAUAAUUCAACUGUGCAUCAUUGAAUGUCAUACUAGCAUAGUAAAUAACAUGGGGAAUUCGAUCAACUCUUUGUCCUAAUACUGCUCCUACGGCAUAAUCAGAUGCAUCACACAUUAGCUCAAAUGGUAAGCUCCAGUUUGGGGCCUGAAUGAUGGGUGAUGAUGUCAACAACUGUUUUAAUUUUUCAAAUGCAACAAGACAUGAAUCAUUAAAGACAAAAGGUACAUCCUUAGCAAGUAGAUUGCAUAAGGGUCUAGAAACUUUGCUAAAAUCUUUAAUGAAACAUCUAUAAAAACCAGCAUGCCUAAGGAAAGAUCUUACUUCUCUGAUUGUUUUGGGUGGAGGAAGAUUAGAAAUGAGAUCCACCUUGGCUUUGUCAACCUCAAUACCUUUGCUCGAAAUGAUGUGACCGAGAACAAUACCUUGUUUUACCAUAAAAUGGCACUUCUCCCAAUUUAAGACUAAGCUCUUCGCGGUACAUCUCUGCAGAACUAGCGUUAGAUGAUGUAAACAUUGAUCAAACGAGUCACCAAAGAUAGAAAAAUCAUCCAUAAAGACUUCAAGGAAUCGUUCAACCAUAUCAGAAAAAAUGCUCAACAUGCAUCGUUGAAAUGUAGCAGGUGCAUUACAUAAUCCAAAUGGCAUUCUCCUAUAUGCAAAAGUGCCAAAAGGGCAAGUAAAAGUAGUUUUCUCUUGAUCUUUUGGUGCUAUGGGAAUCUGAUUAUAUCCUGAGUAGCCAUCUAGAAAGCAAUAAAAUUCAUGGCCUGCUAAUCUAUCAAGCAUUUGAUCAAUAAAUGGUAAAGGAAAAUGGUCUUUACGUGUGACAGAAUUCAACUUUCUAUAAUCAAUGCAUACACGCCAUCCUGUAGUUACUCUAGUUGGUAUCAAUUCAUUAUCAGCAUUGGUAACUACUGUGACUCCUGACUUUUUGGGGACAACUUGUACAGGACUGACCCAUGAACUAUCAGAAAUUGGGUAAAUGAUACCUGCGUCUAAUAGCUUAAGGACUUCUGUUCUAACAACUUCUUUCAUAUUAGGAUUUAACCGACGUUGCAUUUCCCUAGUAGAUUUAGCAUUUUCAUCAAGGUGAAUGUAAUGCAUGCAGUCUACUGGAUUUAUACCUUUUAUGUUCGCUAUGGUCCAUCUUAAUGCUCCUUUGUGCUAUUUAAAACAUCCAACAACUUACCUUUUUGUUCGUCAUUUAGGGAUGAUGAGAUGAUUACCGGCAGAGUACUUUCUUCUCCCAAAAACGCAUAUUCCAAUGUGUUGGGUAAUGGUUUGAGCUCGAGUUUCGGUGGUGAUUCUGAUGAUGGGAUGAGUUUCUUCUCUGAUGGUGCUAGUUGUUCAACUCUUGACUUCCAUUUAUUAGUGUCCAUGGAUGGUGCUGAGUCAAGUAGGGCGUUGACCUCAUCAACUGAUCUGUCAAUAUCAAAAUCCAAACCAAAGUGAGUUAAACAUGUUUAUAAAGGAUCAUCACUAAGGUUUGAAAGAAAAGUAUUAUCAACUAUUGUUUCUAUUAAAUCCACAUCAACAAUUCCAUCAUCUGCACUGUGAGGUUGUUUGGCAAUGUUGAAGAUGUUCAGCUCCAUAGUCAUGCUGCCGAAGGACAACUGCAUAUUUCCAGUCCUGCAUUGAAUGUGAGCAUCCGCAGUUGCCAAGAAAGGUCGACCUAGAAUAAUAGGGAUGUGCUUCCUUGAAUCCUGUAUUGGUUGAGUGUCAAUUACAAUGAAAUCAACAGGAAAAUAAAACUUGUCUACCUGGAUAAGCACGUCCUCCACAAUACCACGAGGUAUUUUCGUGGACCGAUCUGCAAGCUGUAACACCACUGGAGUUGGGUGUAAUUCUCCCAGUCCAAGUUUCACGAAUACAGAGUAAGACAAAAGAUUUACACUAGCUCCUAAAUCCAACAAAGCAUUCUCAAUUGUGUGGUUCCCUAUACUACAUGAGAUAGUGGGGGAGCCUGGGUCUUUGCAUUUUAAAGGAAUUUUAUGUUGGAGUAUAGAACUAACAUUUACUGUUAAAAAUGCCUUCUUUUGAACAUGCAUAUUUCUCUUUUUAGUACAAAGGUCUUUAAGAAACUUGGCAUAAGAUGGAACUUGCUUUAUAGCAUCAAGUAAAGGGAUGUUAACACUUACCUGUUUGAAGAUUUCGAGAAUCUCACCUGUGGAUUUUCCCUUCUUUCCUUUCGCUAACCUCUGAGGAAAUGGAGCUUUGGGAACGUAUUCUCGUGGGUUGGUUUCUUCUUUUUCCUCCGGUGGUGAGUCCUCAACAUUCACAGGUACAAUUUGAUUUUCUUUUGUCACCGGCAUCUCCACUUUGUUGUCGACUUCCUUUCCUUUUCGCAAGGUCAUGACUGCUUUGACCUCUCCAUGCUGUUGUGGUGAACUGGUACUUGCUUCAUGUACUCCUUUAGGAUUAGGCACUGGUUGACUUGGAAAUUUACUUUUCUCAACAGUAAUUGCCAAGGUCUGAACUGAAGAAGCAAGUUGUCCCACCAUCUUCUCGAGGCUUGAAACUGAUUGGGCUUGUGAGUUGAAGCCCGCUCUCAACUCAUUUCGUAGUCCAUCAAUAGUGCGGUUCUGUUGCUCAAUCGUAGAGUGAGUAACAUUCUUGAGAUUUUGGAAUGAAUCCUCCCAUGGUCUGGGUUGAGAGUAGUUCUUGUUCUGAUUGUAUGGUCUGAAUGGUGGCUGAGAGGCUUGAGGAUUUUGAGGAAUUUGUUGCAUUGGUGGAGCUGGAGCUGCUGGUCCAUUCUGUUGGAAUCCUUGAGACCAUGAAAAAUUGGGGUGGUCUCUCCAUCCAGGGUUAUAUGUGUUGGAGUAUGGGUUGUAAUUAGAUGGCUUUCUCAUUACACCUAUGGCAUUGGCUUGAUCUGGAUAUGAGUCAGGGUCACGUGAUUCUGUUGAUUUAGCAGUCGAUAACGAUGUUAUUUGUCGAGCAAGACCUUCAACCAUCUCCUUGACUUCUUUGAUUCCCGAAGUUGACUCGCCAAUGUGAACCUCAUUCACUCCUUUAAUCCUUCUAGUAUUCCUGAGUGAUCGACUCCGUUGUUGGGAAUUGUCCGCUUGUCGCUGGAAAAACUCCCAAAUUUCUGAUGCACUUUUUGACAUUAGCUCUCCUCCACUUGUUGCCAUUAGCCAUUCUUGCACAUUCGGCAAUAAUCCCUUCAAAAAGUAUUGGUAUUGGUGCCAUUUCUCGUACCCAUGAUGUGGACACUUCAAGAGUAGUCCAUUGAAUCGCUCCCAAGUUUCGAAAAACUGCUCGUCCUCUCUUUGUGUAAACUCUGAGAUUUCCCUGCGAAUAGAAUUGGUUUUAUGCACUGGGAAAUAUUUAUUUAGAAAUUUUGUAACCAUUUGUUCCCAUGAUGCAAUGCUAUUAGCAGGCAAAGUAUUUAACCAUGAACGAGCUCUAUCCUUUAAAGAAAAUGGGAAUAAUCUAAGUUUAACAUCAUCGUCUGAAAAAUUUUCAUAUUUAAAAGUUUGACAAAUGGCAUGAAAAUCAUUCAGAUGAUUAUAUGGGUCCUCAUUUUCUAGGCCAUAGAAUGUGGGGAGACAAUUUAGCACACUAGGUUUUAAUUCAAAACUCCUAGCAGCUACAUUUGGGUAUCUUAUGCAUGAUGUGCUCAAAUUAGCUAAGGGACUAAAAUAAUCCUUAAAUGGCCUCUCCUGUGGUGCUUGUAAAUCCAUUUUAUUUUUAAAUUGUUUGUGUGUGCGAAGUGUUUUUUCUAAUUCAAGGUCUAUAGGUUCAAGAUUUGGUAAUAAUGACCUACGACCAUGCAUGCAAAACAAAUAAAAUAAAAAUAAAGAUGGGAAUAAAACGAAUAAAAAUAAAGAAAAAUGAGAAAUUACGAUACUAACCUUAUUGCGCUGUUACAACUUUUCUAUAAAAACACACUAAAACAAAUACGUGAAAUAAAUUAACUAAAAAUAAAUUAAUUAAAAAAAAUUACAAAGAAAAAUAACUUAAAAAUUAAAUUGCAGAAUUGUAAAGAAUAGAGAAAGAAAAGAAAUUAUUACCUCUAAUUGCAGAUUCACUUUUUUUUUUCUCUUUUUUUUUAUAAAAAAAUACAAGAAAACAAAUAAAAGAAAUUAUUCACAAAAAUUAAUUCUAUGAAUUAAAAUUACUUACCUCCCCGGCAACGGCGCCAAAAACUUGUUGUGCAAAUUUUAAUGAACUCGCAAGCGCACGAAUCUAUUGUAGUAUAGAUCAAUGGUGACGAGUGUCGAUCCCACGAGGAGGUGGAUUUUAAUUAUAUGUAGAAUUAAUUUUGUAAAUGGGUGGUUGGAAUUGUGGUGGAAAUGAUUUGGAAUAUGCUAAAACUUAAAUUAAAAUGGCGAGAAUAAAUUCUGAAAUUGGAAUUGCAAUGGCGAGAAUAAAUUGAAGUGAAAUCUAUUGAAAUAACGUACUUGGGUAUCCGGAUCCGUAUCAACAUGCAUCAUGGGCUAAAUAAUCCGUAUUAAUGCCAAUUAAAUCAUGAGGGGAGAAUCCACAUCUCAUGAACCACGCUCUAAUCAAUAUGGUGCUAAGGGCUUAUCGUGCCAAAUAAUAAUAACCUUAUACUAGAGAGCCGGUGUAACCAAGACGGUAUCUAGACAAGAUUACUAUUAUUUGUUGACGAGAAGUCAAAACAUCCACAAAAACUAGAGGGGAAGAGAAAAUAAAUUUACCAAAUUAAGCCCAUGACACAUGUUGAGACUUCACCUUCAACCCAAGCUUGAAAGAAAAUUAGCCACUCAUAAUUGAACUAGGGGCAAAAUGGGAAUUUAUUAAAAUACAAAGAAAAUACAAGAUGGAGAAGGAAUUACAGAAAAUGGAUCUCAAAAAUGGAUUCAGAGCUAUCAAAUUAGGGGGGGGAGGCCCCCUUUUUAUAGAUACAUGGAGUAAAUCAUGGCCAUCGGAUUAAAAACAGUUUGGACGCUCAGGAUUGCCCCACGUCAUCAGUCAACAGUCCACGGUUUGACCACGCGGAUGAACAGUAACACAGUUUGACCCGGAUAAACAGUAACACGGUUUGGUUGAAAAUAAUCCUGUGUGAUGCAUGCACCGUACGCGAGAUUUUUCGUCCACUGAUAUGCUGCCACGUCACCAUCAACAGUACAUAAGAAUUUUAGUCCAACAGGAUCGUGACACCUCAUCAGUCAAUGCCACAUCAUCGGUCAAUGCCACGUCAUCGAUCCGUCUAUGUGAACAGUGUCGUGAACAGUAACGUAGACAGUACCGUAUACGUGAAUAGUACCGUACAUGUGAAUAGUGCCAUUUUUCCUUUUAUGCUCCUCCUAAGGUUUUCGACCGUCCUGAGUUCAAAAGUGAUGUCCGUUUUGCUGUCUGAUCUCUCCUUUAUUGUGAAAUGACUAUAAUGCCCCUAAAAUACAUAAAAUACUUAAUUAAAAUAACACACACGUAAUUACAUCACAAAAAGGUUAAAUACAUAAAAGUAAGGGUUGUUAGUAAGACUUGAAAUGUAAAAUGAUGGUUUUCUCCUUUAUAAAUAUGCAUUUUCUAAUACUCAACAGUUCCCAAAUAUGAAAGAUGCUUAGGCCUCCCAUCCAUGAUAGGCCGGAAGAAGAUGAGUUUUUUCAAGGAUGUCAAAUUAAAGGUUUUAAGAAAAAUUUCCAACUGGCACCAUAAAAUGUUCUCUAGUGGUGGAAAGGAAGUUCUUUUUAAAGCAGUCGCUCAAGCCAUCCCAGCAUAUGCCAUGAGCGUUUUCAAGCUCCUGAAGGGGCUAUGUGAAGACAUCCAAAGAGUUAUAGCCAAAUUUUGGUGGGGUUCGAAUCAAGAUAAGCAAGCAAUACACUGGUCGAGAUGGGAAAAAUUAAGUUGUGCAAAGAGUAGAUGGGGGCUGGGAUUCAGAGAUUUUACCAGCUUCAAUCAAGCAAUGGUGGCUAAACAAGGUUGGAGGCUGCUUCAGUUCCCGGAUUCCCUGGUAUCCAAGUUACUGCAGGCCAAAUACUACAGGAACUCCUCAUUCUUGAAUGCAAAGGAAGGUUCUAAUCCUUCUUUUAUCUGGAAAAGCAUCCUUUGGGGUAGGCUAGUUAUAAAAAAAAGGGCAAGAUGGCGAAUUGGGAAUGAGAGCAAUAUUCGGGUGUACAAAGACAAUUGGCUGCCAAGAUUGGAUACUUUCAAACCGAUAUCCCCUCCAACAUUGCCCAUGGAAACAACAGUGGCCAAGUUGAUAACUGAGGACAGCCACUGGAAUGAAGCUAAGCUAAAGCACCACUUUUUCGAGGAGGACACAGAAGCAAUACUCAAAAUUUCCCUCCCCCCAAGCCAUAAAGAGGAUUCCUUACUAUGGCAUUUUGACAAAAGAGAGGCAUACACUGUAAAAAGUGGCUACCAGGUGGCUCUCAAGCUUAAAUUCCCAAAUCAGGCCAGCAGCUCAGCCAGCCCCCCCCCCAAGAUGGAAUAAUCUGUGGUCUCUUAACUGGCCUGAAAAAAUCAAAAUCUUCAUGUGGAGAGCAUCCAAAAACCUUUUUCCAACAGCUGAAAACUUGUGGAAAAGAAAAUGUCUCCAAGAUCCAAUUUGCAAAAGAUGCUGCAGAAGUGUAGAAACCACUUACCAUGCUCUGCUAGAGUGUAAAGCAACGAAGAAGAUCUGGAAUCAUGCUCCUCUCCAGCUGAUAAGAAGCUACGCAGAACUAAUCGUGUAGCCAAACCCAACAGCAAGUACAUGGAAUAUGCAUGGGCACGUCAUUAGCCAUGCAACGUUUGAGAUGAUGAUCUGGAGCUGACUUCUUCAAAUUAACCGUUGCUUAUUUGGAGGAGAUCUUUCAUGCAAGUAUUUGUUUUGGUAUAUUUUGGAAUAAUAGUCAGGUUGUUGAGAUGUUGUUAACGACUUGAUUUAGUUAGCUUUGUUCAAGCCUUGUUUCACGGCUAAGGAAAUUAGUUUUGUAUUAGACUAUAAAUAAGCUCUUUUAUUCAAUAAGAAGAUCAUCAGAUUUUUAUUCCAAAAACAUUAUUUGUGGUAGUUCUCGCCCAAAGAAGAACAAGCAAUUUACUUUGUCAAUUCUGCUAGUUUUGACUGGGACCUCUAUUAGUGGUAUCAGAGCUAGGUUAGGAUGGCAACCAACAAAGAGCGUAUCGAGCGAAUAGAAACAGAGGUCGGAGAUAUACAAGACAAGAUGCAACAGUUGGAGUUGGGGAUCAAUGACAAAUUGGCACACAUUGAGGCAACAUUAAGCAAGCUUGCGGACUCAAUCAAUACUUCAAGAGGGUUGCCAAGUAUCAACAACAAUACUGCAUCUUCACGACUGGGCCGAGAAGUCAGUACAGGAGGGCCUCAACAUUUCCAAUCCAAGGUAGCAAAACUAGAAUUCCCUCACUAUUCGGGCGACGACCCCACCGAAUGGUUCAAUCGUGCAAGUUAGUUCUUCGAAUAACAGGAAUCAACAGACGAUCAGAAAGUGGUUCUAGCGUCAUUCCACUUGGAGGGGGAAGCAAAUCAGUGGUGGCAGUGGCUUCGAAGGUCUUAUCAAGAUGAAGGCAAAGUCGUGACUUGGGAGGUGUUUAUGGAGGAGUUAUGGGCAAGGUUUGGACCGACAGACUGUGAAGAUUUCAACGAGGCUCUCUCACGGGUUAAACAAACCGGUACUCUCCGUGACUACCAGAAGGAAUUUGAACGACUCGGAAACCGUGUUCAAGGCUGGACACAGAAGGCACUUGUUGGAACAUUCAUGGGAGGGCUUAAACCAGAGAUAUCUGAAGAAAUUCGGCUGUUUCGACCGAGGACUCUUAAGGAAGCAAUAAGCUUGGCAAGAAUGAGAGAUGAGCAACUGACCCGACAACGGAGACUGUUGAGAUCACCAAUCCUCACUCGUUCACCAACGGCUCAAGUCACCAACCAACGUGCUUCACCAACAGUACCCUUUAAGAGACUUUCUUGGGAGGAGAUGCAAAAACGCAGGUCACAAGGAUUAUGUUUUAACUGUAAUGAAAAAUUCUCUGCAGGUCAUAAGUGCAUAAAGGCGCAAUUGUUAAUCUUAGAAGCAGAUGAUAACGAAGAGUCCACGGAAACAACGCAACAUGAGUAUGAGACGGAAGAGCACGACAAACCUAAAAUAACAUUCUAUGCUUUGGCGGGUUAGGCUGCUCCUCAGACAAUGCGAGUGAAAGCUAAGAUUGGGCCACACGAGAUUAUUGUACUAGUGGACAGCGGCUCAACGCACAAUUUUAUCAACUCGCGUUUGGCUAAUAUGCUUCAGCUCCCAGUUCAACCGACAUCAGCAUUUCCAGUAAAAGUGGCCAAUGGAGAGAAAGUUAUUUGCCAGGGGAAACAUGACAAGGUACAUGUUUUAAUUCAGGACAUCCCUUUUGAACUUACUCUCUACUCAUUGCCGAUUACAGGACUCGACGUGGUGCUUGGUGUCCAAUGGCUUGAAAGCUUAGGGUCGGUGGUUUGUAAUUGGAAACAAUUAACAAUGGACUUCGAUUGGGAUAAUGCUAAGCGAAGGUUGCAAGGGCUGGAUCCACAAACAAUUCAAGCUACAACAUUAUCUGAAGUUGCCAAAGAUAUGAAACAAGGGCACAACGUGUUUGCUAUAUGUCUCUAUUUAAACAAUGAGGAAUCAUAUACAGUAGCACCGGCCAGCAUGAGGAGUUUGCUAGAGGAAUAUUCCGAGCUGUUCGUGGAACCCAAACAACUCCCACCAACACGGGAAAUCGACCACCAAAUCACUCUUAAAGAAGGAACAGAACCAAUUAAUGUGAGACCCUACCGGUACGCUUAUUUCCAAAAAGCGGAGAUUGAGAGACAAGUGAACGAAAUGCUGUCUUCCGGGCUCAUUCGACCAAGCACCAGCCCCUUCUCAUCACCGGUACUCCUAGUAAAAAAAAAGAUGGCAGUUGGAGGUUUUGUACUGACUACAGAGCACUCAACAAGGCCACAGUAAAAGACAGAUUUCCAAUACCAACAGUAGAAGACAUGUUAGAUGAAUUGCACGGUGCAACAUUCUUCACCAAACUAGACCUCAGAGCCGGCUACCAUCAGGUACGGCUAAACUCAUCAGAUAUACAUAAGACGGCUUUUCGCACACACAAUGGCCAUUAUGAAUAUCUGGUCAUGCCAUUCGGCUUAUGCAAUGCUCCCUCUACUUUUCAAGCAAUUAUGAAUGCUAUUUUUCGGCCCCAUCUUCGGAAAUUUAUAUUGGUAUUUUUUAACGACAUCUUGAUUUAUAGUCCCACGUGGGAAUGUCAUUUGAAACACGUUAGACAGACCUUGGAAAUUCUUAAACAACAUCAAUUUUUUGUCAAGGCUAGCAAGUGCAAUUUUGGCCAGCAAGAACUUGAAUAUUUGGGACACAUCGUCACUUGCCAUGGUGUGAAGGUGGAUGAACAGAAAAUUGCAGCAAUGGUGUCAUGGCCAAAGCCACGGAAUAUUACAGAGCUAAGGGGAUUUUUAGGCCUAACAGGGUAUUAUCGCAAGUUCGUUCGUGGGUAUGGCCUGUUAGCCCGGGCCCUAACCAAUCUUCUUAAGAAAGGACAAUUCGGGUGGAAUACUGAAGCUGCAACAGCAUUUGAGCAAUUGAAACUUGCCAUGACUCAAACUCCAGUACUUUCUAUGCCUAAUUUUAACGAUGUUUUUGUUAUUGAAACUGAUGCGUCCGGUGAUGGCAUAGGAGCAGUACUGCAGCAAAACGGAAAACCAAUAGCUUACAUGAGUCGAGCGUUGGGUAUAACAAAAAAGACUUGGUCGACAUAUGCGAAAGAGAUGUUGGCAGUGGUAGAGGCGGUCAGAUUUUGGAGGCCUUAUUUACUGGGACAACGAUUUGUGAUACAAACAGAUCAAAAAAGCUUAAAAUAUCUCUUGGAGCAGAAGAUAGCAACUCCUGAUCAACAGCAAUGGAUGGUCAAACUCAUGGGUUACGAUUACGAAAUCCGAUACCGCCCCGGCAAGGAAAACGCUGCUGCCGAUGCACUCUCUAGAAGAACUGACAGCCCAACUCUUAAUCAUCUUUUUGUACCGCAGGUGUCACUAUGGGGAGAAAUUAAAAAGGCUAUGCAUGAAGAUGAUUAUCUAAAGAAGAUUGCACAGCAAGUUGAGACUCAACCCGACGGCCCUUACACGGCAAAAAACGGCCUCAUAUUCUUCAAAGGCAGGGUAAUAGUUCCGCGAAAGAUGCGUGACUUAUUAUUAUUUGAGGCCCACAAUACGAAAAUAGGAGGGCAUUCCGGAGUCCUUCGCACUUACAAACGCUUAGCGCAGCAAUUUUAUUGGCCCUCAAUGUUUCAAUCUGUUCAUGAUUAUGUAAGUAAGUGUGUUGUUUGCCAGAAGACGAAGAGUGAAACGCUACAACCAGCAGGGCUUCUUCAACCGUUGCCUGUUCCUUGCCAAGUGUGGGAGGAUAUUUCUUUAGAUUUUAUUGAAGGGCUGCCUAAUUCACAAGGAAGAGAUACAAUAUUUGUGAUAGUCGACAGGCUCAGUAAAUAUGCAUUCUUCCUUUCCUUAUCUCACCCAUUUACCGCUAAAUCUGUUGCUGAAAGAUUUGUUGACGGAGUGGUAAAACUACACGGCAUGCCCAAGAGUAUUGUAAGUGAUCGGGAUCCAAUAUUUAUUAGCAAAUUUUGGAGUGAAUUUUUUACACUGUCAGGCACACAAUUAACGAUGAGUUCAGCCUAUCAUCCGCAAACGGACGGCCAAACAGAGGUUGUUAACAGAUGUCUGGAGCAAUAUUUACGCUGCUUUGUCCACCAGUGGCCACGCAAGUGGAACAUGUAUCUGUCGUGGGCUGAGUUUUGGUACAAUACCACUUUUCAUGUAUCCACCGGAAUGACCCCUUUUCAAGCUCUCUAUGGCCGGCCUCCACCUUCUGUCCCCAUGGAUUCGAUCGGGUCUUCACCGGUUCACGAAGUCGAUCACGCCUUACAGACCAGAGAUGAGUUAUUGCGGCAACUAAAAUCUAACCUUGCUGCAGCGGCUAAUCGAAUGAAACAAACGGCCGACAAGAAAAGGAGGGAUGUCGAAUUCAAAGAAGGAGACAUGGUGUACUUGCGCUUGCAUCCGUACCGGCAAUCUUCAGUUUUUAAACGUGCACAUCAAAAAUUAUGCAACAGGUAUUUUGGACCAUAUCAAAUAAUUCAAAAAGUGGGGCCUGUCGCUUUUAAGCUCCAGUUGCCAGAAGGUGCCAAGGUCCAUUCUACAUUUCAUGUUUCAGUACUAAAAAAAGCAGUGGGAGAUUCGACAGAGAGCAGCACGGAGUUACCUCCUAUAGAUGAUGAAGGUGUGCUGGUUUUGGAGCCUAAAUCAGUUCUGGACACUCGGUGGCUUAAAAGAGGUGGUACUGUUAUUGAGCAAAGUCUGAUUCACUGGAACAAUCAACCAAUGGAAGAGGCCACUUGGGAAGAUACUGUCGUCAUUAAGCAGCGGUUUCCUUCGCUGACCCUUGAGGACAAGGGUCCUCUUUCAUGGGGGAGUGAUGAUAAGAAGCUACGCAGAACUAAUCGUGUAGCCAAACCCAACAGCAAGUACAUGGAAUAUGCAUGGGCACGUCAUUAGCCAUGCAACGUUUGAGAUGAUGAUCUGGAGCUGACUUCUUCAAAUUAACCGUUGCUUAUUUGGAGGAGAUCUUUCAUGCAAGUAUUUGUUUUGGUAUAUUUUGGAAUAAUAGUCAGGUUGUUGAGAUGUUGUUAACGACUUGAUUUAGUUAGCUUUGUUCAAGCCUUGUUUCACGGCUAAGGAAAUUAGUUUUGUAUUAGACUAUAAAUAAGCUCUUUUAUUCAAUAAGAAGAUCAUCAGAUUUUUAUUCCAAAAACAUUAUUUGUGGUAGUUCUCGCCCAAAGAAGAACAAGCAAUUUACUUUGUCAAUUCUGCUAGUUUUGACUGGGACCUCUAUUACCAGCCCAAUUUUCAGAAUUCUCCAAACCAGAGCAUCCUCAGCAUCAUCCAAAAUAUGCCCUCCAAUAUGCGGAAGUCUAAUUUCGAUCUCUUGAUCUCUCUAUGUUGGGUGGCUUGGUAUGCUCGAAACAAGUUUAUUUUCGAAGGUAAGAAGAUAGACCCAAGGCUCUCUGUAGCUAAAGCUGAAGCAGUGAUUGAUGCUUUCCAAAGAGCUAGGAAGCCUGGAGCCACUCAUAUCCAUAACAGCAGCAAAGUACCUCAGCAUAAGUGGAAUCCCCCUCCGAAGAAUGUUGUCAAGGUUAACGUGGAUGCAGCCAUCAACAGCAAGAGUCAAAUGGCAGGCUUAGGAGCUGUAAUUAGAGACUCAAAGAACAAAUUUGUAGCUGCAGGCAUCAUGCAAACUGGUUUGAAGGAGCAUGUCAACUAUGCAGAAGCUGAAGCCAUUGUAUAGGGUUUAAAGCUAGCUAGAAGGGCAGCUCUUUCCACUUUGAUCAUAGAGUCAGAUUGCCUAGAAGUGGUUGAGUUAGUAAACAACAUAAAGAGCAACAAAACAGGACAAUGGUGGAUAAUUGAAGAGAUCCAGAACUAAAAAAGUGAGUUUUGUAAUGUAAUUAUCAAUCAUAUCCCUAGAACCUAUAAUGUUUGUGCUCAUUCCCUAACAAAACUUACUGUGGGAGCAAAUACGCCUGCUGUCUGGUUAGACCAUAUUCCAACAGAGGUGAUGAAUGUUCUGAUUUAGUGUUGUUUUUAAUGGAAAGGAUUACUUUCUUCAAAAAAAAAAAAAGAAUAAGAAGAAAGCAUAAUGCGACCCUCCAACAGCUUAAUCUAUGGAAUUAUCGUGUUUUGUAAGUUAGGGUCCAAUGGCGUUUUGGCACAUCAUAUGAUAGACCACUAUAUUGCGUUGCUUUACAAAAGAUUAAUAUUUUUAAAAUUAUUAGGUAAGUUUAGGCUCAGUGGCACUUUAACUCAUGAUAUGAUAGUCCAGGUUUUCGAGGACCACUAUAUUGUAUUGAUUUAAAAAAAAAUUAAUAUUUUUUAAUAUUAAUAUUCUAAAUUAUAUUCAGUUAAAAUAUUAAAUAUUAAAUACAUUCUUAAUAUUAAUAUUCUUAGACGAAAUUCUUUUGCUGGCUUAAGAAUAAAAUAUUAAAUAAUUUUAUUUUUCUUUUAUUGUGUAACGUGGACCCAAAAAAAAAAAGGAAAUGAAUUUAAUAAAACCUUCAUUCCGCCACCAUCCAUGUUAAUUGUUUCCAAAUUCCAACCUCCGUACUCUCUUGAGGAGUUUCCCAUUCAUCAAUUAUUAUUUUUUAUAAUCCAUACCAUCCUGAUAUAAUUAAACACCAUUAAUAAUGUACCAGCCUUUAAAUAGUAAUUAAUUUAUUUAUCUAAUUCACCAAAUGUUUUUUCCGGUACAUAUCUCCAUUGGUAUCAAGAAGAAGCAGAACCCAAACAAAUGUUUCUUGCAUCUUCAUAUUUGUGCAAAUUCAUCCUUUCAUUGAGAAUAACCAUUUCCAGGCAGCAGUUGGCAAUCAAUUCAUGCGCACGUCGAUGCUAUUCAUAGAUAUUAAAGACAAUGAUGAACCAAAGGUGAUAAAUCAUAAAUGCAUAAUUACCAAACCUCCAUCCUUCUCUCAUUAUGAUUUGAUUUUAAAUGAAUUAUUGCUUGGUAACAUUAUUUCCAACCAUUGCAAGCCCUUUUUUUUUUUUGGGAGAAAUUUCAAUUGAAAGUGAAACCUUUAGACAUUUACCUAAUGAAGUUAGUUAAUCGGGAGGGUGGAAAAAAAAAAGGUUGACGCAAGUCAAUACACAAUAAUUAAUUAAAUCCGGAGUGACUAAAACAGAGCCACGACUUUUUCAAAAAUAUCUGCAUUCAUCACUUUCUCCUCGUUUGUUGUCAUCCAAAAUUAUUCACCAAUACCAUGGCUGAUGCAAUCGUUUCCACUAUCUUGGAGCAGCUGAUUUCCUUCGCUGCUGAAGAGAUAAAACAACAGGUGAUCGAAGUUACACCCCUCAUAUUACAAAUACUUCCAAUGAUUUUAAUUGGUUUUGUUUUUAUCAAAAACAUUAUAUAUUUUUGCUUUAUUUUAUUUAUCUGGUAAUUUUAGAUUUUGAAAUUUGAAUUGAAUUUAAUUAAAAGGUCAUGUAGUAACCACUUAUUUUUAUUUUAUUUCAUUUAUAUUCUCAAUAACUAACCAUAUUUUGGUAACUUAAUAUAACUCUCGUACAUAAGAAAUGAUCAAAACCCACAAUUUUAACUCUGUAUAAAUAUUCAACGUUGAGUCAUUAAUUCUCAACUCAGCACUGAAUCCCAAAGCUAUUACUUAGACUCUAUGAAAAAAUUCAUAGUUUUCUUACAUUCUUUGAGUUUGGUAAGUGAUUUCGUAUAAUUUCUUUUCAAGUUAAAUUUUAAUUUGGUUUAUGAUAUAGUCUCUGUGCCGAAUUGUAUCUUUUAUGAUUCUUGGAUUUUGGGCUCCAACUUUUUAGGAUUUGAUAGUCAUAUUUUAUGCCAUGCUCAGAUUGAUUUUCAUGAUUUUUAGUAGCCGUUAAGUGACUUACAAUUUGACGAAAGUUUGAAAGGAAAAAUGUUUCAGGAUUAUGUUUUAAUUGACCUUUUAGUAGAAAUAGGAUGCUUAUAACUUAAUGUGGAUGGUUCGUAAAAUCAUGAAAUUUGGAUAGGAUUCACUAGAAAUAUGUACAAGACUCUCCAUAAAGUUUCAUAAUUUUUCAUUCGGUAUGGGGUGGCACAGGUGAAACUUGUGUUUGGUGUUGAAAAAGAAGUGAAAAGCCUUACCAGCCACCUUCAAGCCAUUCAAGUUGUGCUCGAUGAUGCAGAGGAAAAGCAAGUGAAGGACAAAGCUGUUAGUCUUUGGCUGGGUAGGCUCAAGUACGCAUCCUACGACAUUGAAGAUGUGUUGGAUGAGUGGAUCACAGCAAGACGCAAAUUGCAAAUUGAGGGUGGCGUUGAUGAAAAUGCUCUUGUUGUUCCUCAUAAGAAAAAGAAGGUAUGUCUCUGCUUUCCCAGCUCUUGUUUUGGAUUCAAACAAGAAGAAUUUGGUUUCAAACAAGUCUUUCUCCGUCAUGACAUUGCCGACAAGAUCAAAGAAAUCAAUGAAGAGCUACAUGAUAUUGCCGCUCAAAAAGACAUGUUUGAUCUUGUUAAGAGUGGCAAUAAAAGUAGUGAAAGACCAAGGCGUGUACAGAGUACCUCCUUGAUUGAUGAGGAAGAGAUUUGUGGUAGAGUUGGUGAGAGGAAUGAACUCAUAAGCAAGCUGUUGCGUGAGAGUAGCGAGCAACAAAAAGGCCUCCAUAUCAUCUCAAUUGUUGGUAUGGGAGGCAUAGGGAAAACUACUCUUGCACAACUAGCUUGUAAUCAUGACGAGGUGAAGAGAAAGUUCGACAAAAUUCUGUGGGUGUGUGUAUCAGAAACUUUUGAGGAGUUUAGGGUAGCCAAAGCGAUCGUUGAAGUUUUGGAUGGUCGUGAAUCUCAUUUAGCUGAAUUCCAUUCUCUUCUUCAACAUAUUUAUGAAUCAAUUGCAGGGAAGAGCUUUCUUCUUGUCUUAGAUGAUGUGUGGGAUGGAAAUUACUUGAAAUGGGAACCAUUCUACCGUUGUCUAAAGAAUGGUCUCCAUGGAAGUAAAAUUUUAGUUACCACACGCAAAGGGUCAGUCGCAUCCAUGAUGGGAUCCACAGAUAUUAUCUCUGUCAAGGAGUUAGCUGAAGAGGAAUGUUGGUUGUUGUUUAAAAAGAUAGCAUUUUUUGAUCGGUCCAUCGAGGAACGUGAAAAAUUAGAACAAAUUGGGCAAAGAAUUGCAGGCAAGUGCAAAGGUUUACCUCUUGCAGCAAAGACAAUAGGGAGUCUCAUGCGUUCUAAACAAACUGAAGAAGAGUGGAAAAGAAUUUUAAAUAGUGAUUUAUGGAAAGUAGAAGAGAUUGAGAAAGAUGUUUUGUCCUCUUUAUUGUUGAGUUAUAAUGAUUUGCCAUCUAGAGUAAAAAGAUGUUUUUCAUAUUGUGCUGUCUUUCCAAAAGACUACGAUAUAAAAAAAGACGAACUAAUCACAUUAUGGAUGGCUCAAGGUUAUCUUAGUGCAGAACAAGAUGAAGAGAUGGAGACAAUAGGUGAAGAGUAUUUUGGCAUCUUAGCUUCUCGCUCGUUUUUUCAAGAGUUUAAGAAAAGUUAUGAUAAUCGGAUUAUAGCGUGUAAGAUGCAUGAUAUGGUACAUGAUUUUGCCCGAUUUGUAAGUCAAAAUGAAUGUUUUUCGAUGGCAAUUAAUGGUAGUGAAGAACCAAACGCCACAAACUCUCUUGAUGAAAAGGUCUGUCAUUUAAUGUUAAUCUUUAGUAAAGGGGCUUCAUUACCUGUUUCCACUCGUAGAGUUAAAAGAAUGCGUACCCUCUUAAUUAGCGCUAGUGGAUCUGAUCAUUCAUCAUUAAAUGCUGAGAUCGUAGAAGAAUUAUUUAGGGAAUCGACAAGUUUAAGGGCAUUAGAUGUUAGCCAGGUGUCUUUGCCUACAGAGAUUUUAAGAAAUAUAAAAAAGCUGGUACAUUUAAGAUACCUUAAUUUGCGUUUUCCGAAAAUAGUGAAACUACCGGAGACAUUGUGCGAGUUAUAUAAUCUAGAAAAGUUAGAUAUUAGUUAUUGUUUUAAUCUUAAAGAAUUACCUGAAGGGAUUGGGAAGUUAAUAAACAUGAAGCAUUUACUAAAUAGAGGUACUAAUUCUUUAAGGUACAUGCCAGUAGGGAUUGGGAGAUUAACGGGUCUUAGGACCUUGGGUGAGUUCCGCGUGAGUGCAGGAGGAGAUGUUGAUGGUAGGAAAGCAUGUAGGCUUGAAUCUCUUAAAAACUUGGAACACCUUCAAGUAUGUGGUAUACGUAGACUGGGUGAUGUAUCAGAUGUGGGCGAGGCUAAGCGAUUAGAACUUGACAAAAAGAAAUACCUCUCUUGUUUGAGACUUCGGUUUGAUAAGAAGAAAGAAGGAGGAGAAAGGAGGAAGAACGAAGACGAUCAACUACUUCUUGAAGCCCUGCGACCAUCUCUGGAUUUAAAGGAAUUAGAGAUACAGUUCAACCGAGGCAACACUGUUUUCCCCAGCUGGAUGACGUCAUUAACCAACUUAAAGAGUUUAGGUCUCUCUUUGUGCGAAAAUUGCGAGCAGUUGCCUCCUUUGGGAAAAUUGCCAUCCCUCGAACAGCUCUUCAUAUCGUACAUGUCGAGUGUGAAAAGAGUGGGUGAUGAAUUUCUGGGGGUAGAAAGUGAUCGUCAUGACUCAUCGUCAUCUUCAUUAGUUAUUAUUGCCUUCCCCAAAUUGAAAUCACUUAGAAUUGAGGGAUUGAUGGAAUUGGAGGAGUGGGAUUAUGGGAUUACAAGAACGGGAAACACCGUCAUCAACAUCAUGCCCCAUCUUUCUUCCUUGGUAAUUGAUAGUUGCUACGAAUUAAAGGCACUGCCCGAUCACAUUCAUCAAACGACGACAUUGAAGCGAUUGUGGAUUUUGAAUUGUGGGCCUCUGGGAGAACGUUACCGCACGGGGGAAGGAGAAGACUGGCCUAAUAUAUCACACAUUCCCAACAUACAUAUUCGUUAAGAAGGAUUUGCGCAUUUGAGAUUUGGCGUUGACAAGUAAUUUCUUCUCUUACUCUGAUUUGCUUUUGUUGUUGUUUUUAAUCUAGUUAAGAAGUGUAAAUAGCAUUUUGAAUCAAACUCUAUAUCAGAAAUCUGCAAUACAUACUUUCUAAUAUUCUGAUUUUCAUAUCCUAUGAAUAUACGAUUUUUAAUUUGUGAGAUGGGUAACGUUACUGUAAAAGAUUAUUAAUGCAAUAUGAGUAAUUCUUUUGCAGGACAAGUGACCUACAUUUAGUUUGGCUUUGGAGUUGAAUAAUAACCUUUCGAGGUCCCGACAAACAAAAAACGAAGCUUAAUUUGCCACAGAUUGCACGUAUUGCCAUUAUUGACAAUUUUCUGCACAAGUGAUCGAGGGUGAGGUCCUGUCCUGAAUAAAGCUCUCGUGACUGAACUUAGGUUGAUGUCAAAAGAGGUAAAUUAUCGGCAUGCCUGACUAUUUUGACCAUUACAUGAUUCAUAAAUUGAGUGAUUACUUUUCAAGGUUUGCUUACUUAACCGGGUGACCAAUUUCUUGUAACUAAAUGUAUGAUAUGAAAUGAGAAGCUUAUUAGUGGAAGGAUUGCCUGUAACAGAACCCAAAGAAAAUGAAACCAUUUCAAGGCAGCAGCCGGCAGUUGGGAGUGAAUGGAGGGCCUUCACAAAAUUCUCAAGCAGUUGCAAUGCAAUUACGAUCAUCCUCAGCCUCAGGUAAUUUCUUCUCCUGCUUUGUUUUUAUUUGUUACCUAAUUAAGAAGCAUUAUUUGUUUUUAUUUGUUACCUAAUUGAAGGACAAGUGCUGAAGAGUGGGAAUGGUGCUAUAUUGGGGAAUAAUGCAGGAGGAGGUAAAUUAUUGGGAGUUUCUUCAACCUUGUUUUCUUUGAACCAGCGCCUGAUCCACAAGACUCCGUUAAUUUGGCUUUUGAUCGGCUGAUUGAUAAAUUUUCAAUUUCUUUUGUGAUAAAUGUAUAUGUGAAGCAGGCAGCAGGACAUGACUGUGGAAAAGAGAAGAUCUUAGUGAAAGCUGAGACUCAGAUAUUUCUACAAAGUAUGUGUUUUGGCUGAUUUAUCUAAUUCAUGAAAUUUUAUUUCCAUCUGUUACAAGAUCAAACUGAAGCAGAACUCAAAGAAAAGUAUUCUACUUCUUACGGCAAUCUUGCCUUCGUUCAGAUUAUGGAACCAUUUCCAUGCAGCAAAUUCAUCCAAAAGUUUGAAUAAGUUUCAUGGUUGGACACUGUUGGCUUCUUUUUCUUUUGGGGUGCAUUUAGGUGCUAUCAAGUGACAGCCGUAAGUAUGAUUGCACUAAGCUGCUGCUGGGAAAUUCGAGGUUUUGAUGGCUGCCCACGUUAUUGUCAAGAAACUCCUCAUGUAAGAAGUUGUAGUUCUUUUCAUCAGCUUGAACCUAAAACUGUCGCUAUUGAUAACUCAGGUUUUUGUUAUCAACUAUAUCAUCUUUUUCACUGUUUUGAAACUCUUUAAGAUUAAACUUCAGUAAAGUUCUUUCAGUUAUCCACAUAAUCAGGCUGAGGAUACUUUAGUAAAGUUGCUUCAGCUAUUCAAAUGAAAAAUCUCAUUGAUUUGAGACUUCCUUCAUUAUUGUUUUUGAUUAAAAUGCUAAGGGUCCAGAUAAAAUAAUAUUUAAUUGGUGGAAGGUGUCCCUUGGAAGUACAUCAUGAUUAGCUGUUGUGCUAAUCAUGCCAAUGCAUAAUUCGGCCCCUAAUGUGGGUACUCUGUUACAUUGUUCUGCAAAUUCUCCAAAAAAGUUAAAUCAAUAAAUUUUGUAUUAGCUAGAUUAGCUCUAGGUUGUGAGGAGUCUGUCAUAUGGGAGAACCCAUUUCCAGAAAAUAUCUGGUAUUUGUUCCAGUCUUCUAAUGAAUGAAAGUUAUGAUUCCUUUUCAAAAAAAAAAAAGAAUUUUGUAUUAGUUCUAGUGCGUUGACCUAAAUGCUAUUCUAUAUUUUAGUGCCUUAAUUCUAGAACCUUGGCUCCUGCCAGAGCAUGCGGAGAUAAUGGUAGGGAGAGUGUUUGUGUAUUUUAACCAUGAUAAAGCUAAUGUUCCCAAUGAUUUCUGCUGGUGAGACUUGUGAAGAGGGUGAAUGAGGCAACUGCUAAUAUUCCUGGGUGGGAUACAGUAACUAGAGGCUGAGAUCAGGUGGUGGAAUUUUUUGUUUGAUCGAUGAUACCAGAAUUGUCCACAAAAAGUUUGUUGAUACAAAUUACAGGUGAUAGAAAGAGGUAUAGGUGGAGAAGAGAAAUCUGCGAGUCAAAUUAGGGAUAAUUGAUUUGCUGAUGCAAGUUACAUUGAAUAAUAAUAAUAACAAUUGCAUGAAGAUCCCUUAUUAAUCUUGUGUUCUCCUAUCUUUUACAUUCAGCUGGUAUACUUAAGCCUUGCUUGUGGAAUGUUUUAACCUUUAAAUUCACUACCCCUGGAUGUUGGAUUUUCUAGAACUUCAAAAUGAUUAAUGGAGAAAGAUCCCAUUAUCGAUAUCGCUAUAAGAAAUUUUAUUUAUACUUCCAAAGAUACAUUAUAUAUUUAUGUGUAUCUCUUUAUACAUGACAUUUAAGCAUCCAUAAACUGUCAGACAGAGGAAGGGGGUUGAGUGUAAAGAUUCUGUUGACCUAGGGGUUGCCUGCUUAAUGUCACUUGUUAGUGAUCUAUUAUUUAUUUCAUAUUUUGAAGAAUUUAAAGGGCAAUCCUGCUUGUUUGUGUUGUUAUCUCCUUCUAACUUACGGUCGUACCUAAAGAGCAUAGUUUCAUAUGUGUUACCCUGAGAUGUACAGAAUUUCACAUUUGCCUCAGAUUAAGCUUAAUUUCCCACAGAAUAGAGCUGUUGUGACUGAACUUAGGUUGAUGUCAAAAGAGGUAAAUUAUUGGCAUGCCUAGAUAAUUUGACCAUUUCCUAAUUCAUAAGUCUACAUUAAUUUUGAUUUUGAGUUGACUGAUUUCUUUUCAAGGUCUGCUUACUUAACGGAGUGACCAAUGUUUUUCAACUAAAUUUAUCAUAUGAUGCAGGAAGCAGGGCAGGAUAUGAAAUGAGAAGCUCAUUGGUGGAAGUAUUGCCUGUAACAGAACCCAAAGAAAAUGAAACUAUUUCAAGGCAGCAGUUGGCAGUUGCAAGUGAAUGGAGGCCCUUGCCAAAAUUCUCAAGCGGUUGCAAUGCAAUUACGAUCAUCCUCAGCCUCAGGUAAUUUCUUCUCCUGCUUUGUUUUUAUUUGUUCUCUAAUUAGGAAGCAUAAAGUAUCUUGAAUCAUUUUCUGUAUCUGGAAUAUAUGCAAGAGUUUCUAAAAUUUUGAUAUGAGUGUAAUGAUGGUAAUUUCUGUUUUCUGUCUGUCAUCAAAUGUUAGAAAACUUUCAUUGAGACCCUUGAACCGAGUCAUUUUUGACAAGUGAAGUGCUGAAGAGUGAGGAGUAAGAAUGGUGCUAGAUUGGGGAAUAAAGCAAAAGGAGGUAAAUUAUUGGCAGCUUCUUCAGCCUUAUUUUCUUUGGACCAGUGCCUAAUUCACAAGUCUCCGUAAUUUGGCUUUUGACCAGUUGAUAGAUAAAAUUUUAAUUUCAUUGGUGCUAAUGUACCCGUGAAGCAGGCAGAGAAGGACUGUGGAAAAGAGAAGGUUUUUAGUGAAAGCUUAAACUCAGGUAAUUCUAAAAAUUAUAUGUUUUGGCUGAUUUAUCUAAUCAGGAAAUUUUAUUUCCAUCUGUUACAAUAAAACAGAAACAGAACACAAAGAAAAAUAGUCUACCUCUUGUGGCAAUCUUGCCUUCAUUCAGACUAUGAAACCAUUUCCUUUCACCAAUUUCUUCCAAAAGUUUGAACACGUUUCAUGGUUGGACAUAGUUAGCUUCUUUCUCUUUUGGUGCAUUUAGGUGCUAUCAAGUGACAGCCAUAAGUAUGAUUGCAUUAUUGGGAAAUUUUAGGUUUUGAUGGCUCCCCAUGUUAUUGCCAAGAAAUUUUAAGUCCUCAUGUCAGAAGCUGCGUUUCUUUUCAUCAGCCUGAACCCGAACCUGUCACUAUGGAUAACUGAGGUUUUUGUCAUCAACUAUAUCAUCUUUUUCACUGUUUUGAAACUGUUAAGAUUAAACUUCAGUAAAGUUGUUUCAGUUAUCCAUGUAAUCAGGCUAAGGAUAUUUAGCAGCUUAUUUAGGCAACUGCCAGAAUUUAGUUUGUUCGCUCGAAACUUGUAUGGUGACAAGGAUACUGGCAAGGAUAGUGAGAUAGUUUUUUGUGUGAGUGAAUUUUGAAAGCUUGGGUGUUCUGGGAUUUGCAAUUGCAAUCAUCCUCUGCUUUAGGUGAUUUCUUCUCCUGUUCUGUCUUUAUUUUCUCUCUAAUUGAAAGCAUUUCAAUCAAAUUCUGUACCAGGAAUACGAAAAAUUUACUAAUAUUUUAUUUCCAUCUGUUUGCAUUGAUAACUUGGCCGCAUAUGUACUAGUUAAAGAACAAACAGAAGCAGAGUUCAGGAAAAAGUUUCUUCGGCCACCAUAUUUGAAAAUGAAACCAAUUCCAGGAAGCAGUUGGCAGCAAAUUCAUACAAAGUAUAGACAAUGAUGUGCAAAAAGGUGAUUCGCAAUUUCAUUUUUUUAAAAUGAAAUUAUUUGUUAAGUUGGAGCUGAUAUUGUUAGAAGGCCAUUGAGCUAACCUAUGACACUGCUUGCCUAGAUUGCAGGAGGUCAAGGCUCAAAAGAUGCACUGAAUUUUAAAAGGCAUGCAAUAAUUCUUAUGGCCAUUUGUCAAUGGUGGAAUGCUUUUAGCUUCUUUUCCUUUCGUGCAUUUUGGGGUUCUAUCAAGCGACAGCCGUAUGUAUGGAUGGAUAUAGCUGCUGCGUUGAUUUCUAAUGCGGUGGAGUAAUCGUCGUUAGAAUCUGAAUGAUAUGUCUAAGACGUUGCAUGCAUCAAGAAAAUUGCAGAUGAUUAAACCUUGCCAUCUAUGCGUUGUAUGAGGUUAUAGCAACUAUCUAUCUGGUCACCGUUUUAAAAGAAUAAGACAAAGGGAAAAAGAGAAAGAAAAGAAUGAUUCGACAAUGGCAUUAAAGUUCAACAUACCCCAAGAUCUUGUAAUAAUGCCAUUAAUCAUUUCUAGCUAGGCUAGCCUUAGAGAAAAGUGAAACUGUUGCACAGGUAGAAUCACACCCCUCAGAGAUAAUGUGUUUUUAUUCAGCUCUUCGAAUGAAUGAAGUUUAUUUUCUCGUCAAAAAAAAAACUGCUCGUUCCGCUGGUUUCAUACAAUGUCAACUAGAAACAUCAUACUUUCGUAUAAGUUCAUUAUUGUUUCUUGGAAAUAUCAGAAUAUUUCUUAGAGUUUGUAUAAAAUGAAAAGAUUUUAAAAUAUAAAUUUAAUAUUUGUUUAUUACCGUUGUUUGGUCUAAUUUCCUCGGGAGAAUUUUCAGAAUUUAUAGGACAUUAGUUUAUAAUUUGCGCAUUGACAUAUAUCUUAUUUUAUCAUUUUGAAUGAAUUGCACGGCGAGGCUUAUCAACUUUGGAUGAAUCCUCCAAUUGUCGCAGUCCAAGACUGGCUGCAGUGAGUGAAAAUUUACCCAUAUAUAUGCUGGCUAUUUUUAUUGGCGACGAAUUCGUUGUAGUUGGUCCAUCUUGCUAUUCUCGGACAAUAUUAGAGAAAAUAAUCAUAUUAUUUCGCGUGAUGUGACCUUCCAUAACUUAUCAAUUGAAUUACUGUAAAAUUAUUGUGUAAGUUUAGGCCCAAUGGCACUUUAGUUCGAUAGCCUGGAUUUAAAAGGAAAACUAUAUUGCAUUGCUUCAAAAAAAAAAAAUUAAUGUUUUUAAUAUGAAUAUUCUUAACUAUAUUCAGUUAAAAUAAUAUAUUCUUAAUAUUAAUAUUCAUAGAUGAAAUUCUUUUGUGGAUUUAAGAAUAAAAUAUCAAAUAGUUUUAUUUUUCUUUUGUUGUGUAACUUGGACCGAAAAAGAAAAUGAGCUUAACAUGACCCUCCUUCCGGCACUAUGCAUGUUUUUCUUUUAUUGAUGACAGUGCUCUUGGUGCUUCUCAUCUGCUUCUUGCUUUGGUUUCAAACAAGUCUUUCUCCGUCGAGACAUUUAUUGUAAUUUGAUUUGGAGACAUCUGUCGUUCAAAUAUAUUUCAUAUGCAAGCUGUUGAUAAUUCUGCUUGAGAAAGCCUACAAAGCAGCUGUGUGAUGUAAUAGAAGACUAUAUAUGCAAACGGUCAUCAGUUUCUCUUGAAUUCUUUCUUGAGUUUCUUUGAAUUAUUUGUGAAUGAGUUCUUAAUCGGCUGCUGCUCUUCAGGAAAAGGAAAGUGUUGCAAACUGGUGAAGCUGAUCGAUAAAAGCAAUGUACCAUCUUUGCUGGCAUGGAUCGAUGCCAGUGAGUUUUUUUAUUUGUCAACCUUUUUAAUAAUGCAUAUGUUUUUCUUCAACUUGAAGCGGCAUAUAAGACGAAAGAAGUGAUCUUUAAAGCAUUCUAUGGCAUUAUCCUUUCCUAUUAUAUAUAUCCAAUUGCUCCAAAUUAUUUGUAAAUUACUGAACACGAAUGCUGAUGAAUAAACUGAUGGCUCUAUGUAUGUAUGCACAUGCAUGGAGAAAUUUUAAGUCAGACAUUCUCAUAUAUAACUCGUGGGACCAAAUCAUUAAAUAAUCUUGAAAUCAAAGUAAUAAUUAAAUACAAAUAAAUUGCUCGAAUUGUACAUAUAUCUGAAUCAUGUAGUGAAGAAAAUACAACAACAACAACCAAUGGCUCAAAUUCCCCAUCAACUUCUAGUCUCAACACUUUUGAGUGUCAGAAGCAUUACUCUGCUACCAGUUAACAAACAUAUAAUUAGUAAUUUGCCAUUCACUUCCCUUUUAGGCCUAACACAUUUUCUAUAAAGGAGCCACAGAGUGAACUCAGCAGGAAACACUCAAUUUCAACCUACGUAGGACCAGGAAUUUCAACAAAAAAAAAAGUGUGCAAUUGCUUAUCCUAUCCUAUUGCUACUAGAAAGAAAGUGAACAAUUAAUUUCAGUGAAUAAAUUAAAAAAAAUUACUUCUGCAGAUACUCAAGCUAAGAACACAUUAACCCAUUAAAGACUCCAAAUUGCAUCAAACAAAUUGUUGUUAAACAAGUAAAACAAAGAAAGAGAGUUAAGGAAGCUGACCUAGUAGUAGGGGAGCUGAAGAAAGACUGCCAGUGAAUGUAAGAGAAAAUAAAAUGCAAGAAAUGGUGAAGUGCAGCUUUUCAUGUCAACUUGAAAUUGUUUCUUCUGUUUUUUGUAAUCUUUUGGAUUUUUCAAACAAAGAAAAUGAGGAGCAACCAGGGAGAUAAAAAGGGCGCCAAGGCAACUGUGUGUUGGGUUUAGAGCCAAAAAAAAAAAAGAAUAAGACAUCGUGUUCUUGUGGAGACCAGACCUAUUACGUAUAGGGAUGGCAAUGGGGCGGGGUGGGGGUGGGGAUGCCUACCCCAUUCCCCACCCCAUUAAAAAUUUUUGCCUCCAUUCCCCACCCCAUUCCCCAAUAAAUUUAGUGGGUUGGGGAUGGGGAAUCCCCACGUGGGGAAUGAUUCUCCCAUCCCCACCCCAUUCCCCAUUUACAUAUUUUAUAGUAGAUAUAAAAAUAUGAUUUCAGUAAAUUAAAAAUUAGAGACUUAAGAUAAAAUCAUCACAAUAUUAUAAAGUAUUUAAUUUUAAAAAAAAAUCUCUAAAAAUUUGAAACAAUAUCUUAAAAUGAUAUUAAAAGUGAAAAAUAUUUAAAGAAAGCAGCACCUUAAAAGAGAAAAGAAAAUAUAUUAAUGUUUUAAAGUUGAAAAAUAUUGUAGAAUUUUCUUUUAUUCAUAUUCUAUUUAUAUUACAUAAAAAUUAAAAAAAAUUAUUAAUUGACAUUAUAGUUGAUAAAAUAUAAAUUAUUAAAUAAGAAUUAAAAACAUAUUUAUAUAUAAUGGGGAUUGGGGUGGGAGUGGGGUGGGGAGUGCAAUACCAAACCCCACCCCGUUAACAAUUUGGGGAUUAUUUUUUCCCCACUCCCCACCCCAUUCCCCAAAAAUUAUUAAAAAAUUUCCCCAUUUGGGGUGGGGCUCCAUGGGGCCCCAAACCCGUGGAGGAUUUUGCCAUCCCUAAUUACGUAACGUCCCCUUCAAUACCACUUGUUCCGUAUCUGGUUUUUUCUUCGUCUUUUACAUAUUUAUCCUGUGAUUUUACAAUAACUAAAUAAUCCCCGCAUAGUUUGCAAUUUUAUUCAUUUGGGCCCUACAGAUUUCAGUAAUAGGAAUUAUUAAGGGACAAGAGCGCAAAACAGAAACUCUGUCCACUACUGAUGAUAUAACAACGAACCUUUGUAGUUUCUGCCUGUUAAUAUGAAUUGAUCAGGAGUGUUUCCUCACUUACAAAUUACGAAUUUACAAAAUAUGUAUGUAAGUAUGUGUGUACGUACGUGUGUAUGUAUGUACAUAUAUGCAUACACCUAUGUAACAUUUACUUAUACAUUCUUUUGAGUUUAAAUCUUAAUACACAUUUUCAUGAAAUUUUUAUUUUAUUAAGUAUACAACUACAUACAACUACAUUAAUGUAUAUAUUUUUUAUAUAAGACAUGCCGUCCUAUUAUUCAUAAGUAAACAAUGUGUUGUAAAUAGUAUUCUGUGUUUUCUCAAAGUUGACUUUUCGUCUUUUAUUUUCAGACGCAGACGCUAUGUCAUUUUGUAAUCUUCAAAACAUAUGCAGAGCAGAAUUGGUGUUAUAUGAUUUUGUGAUGCAAUAAGAUUUGCACUUCCUGUGCACUCAAUGGAAUCAUUUCUUUGUAACUAAUUGGGUGGUGGAAUGGUGGUCAAAUAUCGAACGAAGACAGAUCUAUCAAACUCCAGAAACAGGGAAACCAUGCCACGCUAGUAGACAAUAUGCUAGUAUGAACAAACUUGUUUGAAUGGCAAAAACGACAUGACCUGCUGUAGUAUUAGUUCUUUCCCGAACCAAAGGGUGAUUUGCUACGUUAGAUCAUGAAAAUUGAAAAAAAAAAUUAACCAAAAUAAAAAUUCUUACGGUAAGAAUAAAAAUUCUUAAGGAAUUAGUUAGUUAAUUGAUUGAUCGAAUUUAAUCUAAAUUGGAAAAUGAUAAGAUAAUUUUGAAUUUUUUAUUAUAAUUAUUAUUUUAAAGUGGGGUGGGUUUAUACAAUUUGAGGCUUUGAGCGGUGUAAAUAUCACUGCUGAAUUAUUAAAUAUACAGUGUAAAAUUUUGACCUUUAAAAUAUUCCUUUUUUUCAUUUAGCACUAUAAGUUUAAAAAUUUAACAUUUUACCUCAAUAAUUAAAUACUUUUAACUUUAAUCUUCAAAUAUUUACCCUACAACAUUCGGACCUAAAUUUUUAAUCCGACUCGGCCCCUGACCCAAGUGGGAAGAAGAUCAGGCUUAUAAGUUAUAACUAUCACCAACAUAACAUCUUCUGGAAAAUAAUAAGAUUACUCACCUGCAAUUAUGUGAUCAAACUAAUGGUAAGCAAAAUAGAACAGCGUUAUUUCAGUCCCCUUUCAGUUUCUUUAUCAUUUUUCUUUUCCUAUUUAUAAGCUUAAUUCGGUCCAAUAUCGGCUAAUUCACUUUGAUUUCACUUUUCUUUCUUUCGGUUCAAAAAAAUUGAACCCAUUGGCUGUCAAUUCAAUUUUGUUGAAAACCAACUUUGCCUGAAUUUGAGUAAUAAUAGAGGAAAAAAAAAGUGUACUUAGCAGAAGAGAUUUCUCAUUUUUUUCUCAUUCAAACUUCUAAAAUAAAGGGAAAAAAAAAACAAGAGUAAUUGUUAAUUAUCAAAAAUUUGUUUAUACUAUUCCACCAAGAAAAUUAUAAAAAAAAAAUUUAAAAAUUGGAGAAGAAAUAUGAGGUGAAAUACGUGGAUGGCUUAGACUAAUAAUGUGAACAAAUUCCUCUCGGAAACAUGUCAUUGUUCAUCCGGACAACACGCGGCAAUGAGAUUCAAGAAUUAAAUGAUAGGAAUCAACUGUAACCUCAUAAACAAAUGGCCUUGGAGUUGUAAACACCAAGCUCGGCAGAUUAAUUAAACAAGAAUAUCCGAAUUUUCUAUGAUAAUCUCUAGGAAACGAUCAGCUAUAAUAUACGAAAUUAAAAUAUUGCAUAUAUUUUUGAACUCAUGCAUUAAUUUCAAAAAUUAUAUCGUAUUAUAAUUUAUUCACAAAAGAAAGAAAAAUUCACUAAUCAAUUGAAUAAAUAUAAGUAUUUCAUCCAGUGUAAUACUUAUAUCAAUUGAAUAAAUAUAAGAAAAAUCACCAAAAUUCACUAAUCAAUUGGAUAAAUAUAAGUAUUUCUUCCAGUGUAAUUUUUGUUUAAUAGAAAAUCUAUUUGAGAUUUUGUGAGAAGAAACUCAACAAUAAAGUGUGAUAGACUUUGUGGGUAUUAAGAGUUUGACAAGUAUUUGAAAUCUGAAGUUUACGAGCAAACAAACUGAAAUCCGAAGUUUACUGAAGUUUACUAUCAAGAGUUUCAAAACAGUGAAAAAGAUGAUAUAGUUGAUGACAAAAACCUGAGUUAUCCAUAGCGACAAGUAACAUACUGAAGUAAGCCGUUGGGAGCUGGCCUGUUCAUGGGCUAUUUUUCUCUGAUGAUCUGCAUUUUUCUUCCUUUUAAGUGAACCUUGACUCGUAUCAAACCUGUCAAAAGAACAGUUCAUCAACUGAGCUGAGAUUUGCUUUCCUUUUUCAAAACCCACCUGAGAUAUUGUAAUUCCCAAAUUUCUCUCUCUCAGCUACACGAGCAAGCAGCCGCUUUUUCACUUCAUCGAAGAAGGUAAGCGAUAUAUCUAUUUCGUCCGAUUGAUUUCUUGUUUCCUUUUCAGUGUUCCGGUAAAUUAUUGGCAUGCCUGACUUUUUGACCAUUACACGAUUCAUAAAUUUAUAUUAAUUUUGAUUUUGAGUUGACCGUUUACUUUUACAGGUUUGCUUACUUUGACUAGGUGACCAAUUUCUUGUAACUAAAUUUAUGACGUGGGCAGGAUAUGAAAUGAGAAUCUUAUUAGUGGAAGGAUUGCCAGUAACAGAACCCAAAGAAAAUGAAACCAUUUCAAGGCAGCAGUUGGCAGUUGGCAGUGAAUGGAGGCCCCUGACAAAACUUCAGUAAACUUCAGAUUUCAGUUUGUUUGCCCGAAAAUUGCAUGGUGACAAGGAUACUGGCAAGGAUAAUGAGAUAGUUUUUGUGUGAAUGAAAUUACGAUCAUCCUCAGCCUCGGGUAAUUUCUUCUCCUGCUUAGUUGUUAUUUGUUACCUAAUUAAGAAGCAUAAAGUAUCUUGAAUCAUUUUCGUUGUCCGGAAUAUAUGCAACAGUUUUUUACGAUCAUCCUGAAUGACUACUAGAGACAGUCAAGCUAAUGACUAUAAAUUAAGCGCUUCUUGGGAGGUAACCCAAGCUUUCUAAACUUUAUUAUUGUCAAUUUUUUUUCAUAUUUUUUUCUUUUCUUUUACUUAUUUUAUUUUGUUUUAUCUAGAUUUUGCACGAGUUCGAGGGUCGAUGAACAUCAACUUUCCACAUGUCUUUCAACGGCUUAGCUACAACUUUACAUCUUCAAGUGCAAAACCGGGGGAGUUUCUCUUUUCCUUUUCUUUUUCUUUACAUUGAGGACAAUGUUUAUUUUAAGUUUGGGGGUGGGAAUAUUUGCUUUUCAUUUUUUUCCCAAAAAAAAAAGAUUUUAAUGCCUAUGAUGAGUUUAUGAUUGAAAAUGAAUAUGGUUCUUAGAAAGGGAUGAAUAUUAUCUUAGUUUAUACUUGAUUCUUGUGUUAGUUUCGUCUUGAUUGAGAUUCUUUAAAGCGAUUCUUUUAGAAUUUUGACUUGAGAUUUGAGAUUGAUACAGCCUAAGUUGAGAAUUUUAGAUUGAGUAAAUGAUUGUUUGCCUCGAUUCUACAUUACUUAAGUUUACCCAGGCACCAUAGUCAGAAAUAGCUACCUACAACCCUUAAGAGUGAAGCUAUCCUCGAGUAAUUUGGGCCUAUGUAUCACCAGUAUGUAGAGGAUAAUCUACCAUGAGAAGAAGGUUACCUUAAGGGGUAGAGUGAAAGCUCCUGACUAUGGACAAAGAAAUGAAAAAAAAAAAGAAAAAAAAAAGAGCACGAGCUUCAAGAAAAAUCAAAAGAAAAUGCUAAUUUAUGCCUGAGAAAAAAAAAAAAAGAUCAAGAUGAUGAGGUUAGUUUGACCUACCCUGUUUAUUAUUCGAGACAAGGGCUGUUGAUGUUGAAGAUCUUGAGAAUGAGUUUUGAUUGAAUUGAUUCACACACAACACAUGAAUCCAAUAUGAGAUGAGGCUGACCAUUGAAUUAAAGUUAGAACUUUGCUAGUAUUUUUAAUUUUCUUUGAGCUAUAUACUUUAUGCAAUCUUUGAGGCAUUUUUUAUGAUGUUUGUGGGUAUCAUCGCUGGAAACCCUCACGAGACUAUAACUCGUCCACUAGGGCCGCCUAGGGGUUUAAAGGCUUGUUGCAUACGCUAAAUGCAAUCGCGAUCACCUGCGAAAGUGGUUUAGUUAGAAUUUUCUUUUCGUAGUUUUUAUUUUAGUUUUUGCUCGAGGACUAGCAAAAUGUUAAGUUUGGGGGUAUUUGAUGUGCUCAUAAUUUAUCUAUUAUUUUAAUGCUUCCAUAACUUAAUUUUAUGUUAAAUUAUAUUUUAUUAUAUUAAUUUUUAUCUUAAUUUUUAUAUUUUGUCAUUGUAGGAAUAUUGAGAAUAUUCAUGAGAAAAGAAGCUUAAAGAGGAAACAAGUUGGAGUAUAAUGGAAAUAAUGUGGAAGCAAGAGGGAAAGAAAUAAAAAGCCAAAUCAAAGAAAAUUUAAUUUAAGCAUCAUGCAUGCAGUCACGUGAUGAAUAAAGGAAGAGAAGAAAAGGUCAAUAGGCUUUUAAUUUCAAGCUAGUUACGUAGAGCCCAUUUGACAAUUUAAAUGGCAAGCUUACAAUAUAUUAAAGGAAGCAAAUAUUUUGGCAUUGUUUGAAAAGGCUAUUCACGUGGAUGGGCUUUGGUUUCAAUUUUGAUUGGCUUAGGAAUGAAAUAGGCGGCUGGGCUUUUGUUUUUAAUUCCUUUCAUAAGAGGAUUUGACAAGCCACAACAUUAUAAAAAGGGAAAAGCCAAGCGGAAGCCAAAAAAAAAAAAAAAAUAAUAGAGCAGCAGCCGCAAGUUUUGAGCAAAACCGAGAGCAGCAUGAAUAAUUUGGAGCAGAAGGAAGACACAUUAAUUCUUGAGUUUUUCUUUCUCUCUUCUCUAUUAUCUUAUUUGAAUGUUUCCCAUUAAAUUCAUGGAUUAUCUUUAUAUUCCCAUGAACUAAUUUAUUUUACUAGAGCUACGAUGUCCUAGUGUUUUAAUCUCUUGGUGAUUUCUAUUACUGCUUGCAUCUUUAUUUGAUUUUUAGUUAUUUUAAUUUUUAAUUUAAAUUCGCUUAUUUGAUUGUUCAAAUAAAUUAGGGUUAGGAUAAUUUCGGUAACUAAUAGGAUAUUCAAUCUCAGUGGGAUGAUACUCUACUCUUCACUAUAUUACUUGUGCCGACUAGUACACUUGCUAAUUUAUGCAAUAGUUGACAGUUGGGAGUGAAUGGAGGCCCUUGACGAAACUUCAGUAAACUUCAGAUUUCAGUUUGUUUGCUCGAAACUUGCAUGGUGACAAGGAUACUGGCAAGGAUAAUGAGAUAGUUUUUGUGUGAAUGAAAUUAUGAUUAUCCUCAGCCUCAGGUAAUUUCUUCUCCUGCUUAGUUGUUAUUUGUUACCUAAUUAAGAAGCAUAAAGUAUCUUGAAUCAUUUUCGUUGUCUGGAAUAUAUGCAACAAUUUUUAAAAUUUUGAUAUGAGUGCAAUGAUUGUAAUUUCUGUUUUCUGUCUGUCAUCGAAUGUAAGACAACUUUAUUAAGAUUCUUGAACCGAGUCAUUUUUGACAAUUGAAGGACAAGUGCUGAAGAGUGGGAAUGCAAAAAGUUUUGUUGUUUUUAGCCUUGUUUUCUUUGAACCAGCGCCUGAUUCACAAGACUCCAUUAAUUUGGCUUUUGAUCAGCUGAUUGAUAAAUGUUCAAUUUCUUUGGUGAUAAAUGUAAUUGUGAAGCAGGCAGCAGGGCAUGACUGUGGAAAAGAGAAGAUUUUAGUGAAAGCCGAGACUCAGAUAAUUCUACGCGUUUUGGUUGAUUUAUAUAAUUCGUGAAAUUUUAUUUCCAUCUGUUACAAGAUCAAACUGCAAUUAGCAAUUUAACAUUCCCUUAAAACCACUAGCUACAUUUCAUCUUUGCACAAUUACACUUAAAAUUCCACUAAAAGAAACUCUUGAGUUGCUCGCAAGCUAUAUAUCAUUAUUCAUUGAAUUCUUACUGUUGAUGCGAGAUUCUGGUUACACUCUUCCGGCUACCAGGAUAUCUGCUCGAUCAACCUCACCUCGACUAGGAUCUCUCCUCGUAUGCUUUCUUCUCCAAGUACUCAUGCGUUCACAGAAACAAGUCAGAGCACGCCGGUUGUUUUCCCGGCGUAAACCCUCCGACGCUCAAGUCAGAUAUGAAGGCUUUGGGAACGCUUGCCACAGAUCUUAUGGCUUUGUAAAUAGUUUUCUCUUCUUUUCAAUUUCCUUAAUCUCUCUUCUAAUCUCGAAAUUGCUAACCCUUUUACCUUCGCUGGCUACCUUUUUAUAGGCCACUUCUGAGCCCAGGCCUUUUUCCCUUUGCGCUCGUCAUCCUCCCACUUCUCGAAAGUGGAUGCUCCAUUUCCGUAGUCGUGGGUGGUUGCGUGGCCCUCGUGCCUAGAUUCUCGGACUGGAAAGCAUGCCACGCCAACUGUCGUUGACCGGGUCUUCUCGAAUCAACCCUUAGCAGGAAUACAGCAGGAAUGGCUUCAGGCUUCUUAUAGGAGAUUGGCCUCGCGGAUGACGUGCUCGUGGACGAGCAGGGUAUUCCUGCUCCUGCUCCUGCUCCCCCGGAUGCCAGGCUCUUACGGGACCCAUCGGCUCGCAGAACUCUACCAUCAGAUAUCUGCUCAUCAUGCCUGGUCUCGUCGACGUAUUUCUCCUAAACACCGGUCCCCCAGUUUCUGGUGUUGGGUAAUGUAGUGGACCAGCAGUAGAAACUCGACAGUACUUGCUCGCGUGGGGUUGGAAAAGGCUUCCAAGAGUCAUGUCGCAUUUAAUUGCGGACGAGGUGAUGUGGCAGAGAUCUAACCCUCCAUUUGAAUUUCAAACCAACGGUUACGAGACCCUUGGGAUUUGGUGCCGUUAAAUGCUGGCAACCCAAGAUUUCGUCCCCAUUAGGAAACCCAAAUCCUUUCGAACGACAAAUUCAUCAUUCACUCCGUCUCCAUCUCUGUCUCUCCGGCAAAGAAGUUCCAGCAUAAAGGCCUCCAUCUCUGUCUUUCACCGACUGAACCAUUACUUCAGGUAUUUCUUCUAUUUCCUUAGUCUCGGAUAGUUGUAGAUAAUUUCUCUUCUCUUUUGCUUGGGUAGUAGUUGGUGGUGGUGUUGUGGUUAGAGCUUAGGGAAUGUCGAAAGGCAAAGAGAAUGUCAUUGAGGUUGACGACGAUGAGUUGGACUUCCUGCCUAGUUUGCUCACCGAUCCUGCUUUUGACCCCGGGAUCCCCUUAGAGCUCAUUAGAUCUAGUGUUGGCACUAGCGCUAGGAGGAUGUCCCCCCAAACAACCUCCACGAGUGGAAGUAGUGGUGAGGAGAGACCCUCUGGCUCGGAAGACACCCUAAGUGAGGAUCAAUGAGGUGACUCUGGGGAGGGGUCUUCACCAGGAACACCGCGACCAGAAGGGUGUAGUACAGUAGGAGGUAGAGCCUUGUCGCGGGAUUAUGCCAUUGAUUACAUGACCUGUACGACCACAUUCAACGAGCUGGAUGACCUCCGGCUCAGGUAUAGCAUUCCUGGUGAAAUUCCUCUCAAGAUCCCAGGAAAGAAGGAUACACCUAGCCGGCCUCCUCGGGGAUACGUUACCCUAUUUUUGGAGAGUUUUAGGCAUGGGCUGAGGUGUCCCUUGCAACCCUACUUUGCCCGGAUUCUUAACGGGCUAAACCUAGCUCCUGGUCAGCUGAACCCCAACGGGUGGAGAGUGCUCUCUGGUCUGUUCAUACUGUGGGACAGAUGUUGUCAAAGCGAGCCCACGGUCGACGAGGUGAAGCACCUGUACCAACUGAAAAGCAGCCCCAAAGACGUCGGCUGGUAUUACUUCCAAUCAAGUACCAAGAUCAGAAAACCCAUAACCGAUCUUCUUACUGGUGAUGGUGGGAAUUGGAAGAGGAAGUUCUUCUUCGCAGGGGGUCCCUUGUUGUUUGCACUUCACUGGUUUGUCUCUAAUCAAAUGUUUGUUUGUGUUGCAGGUUCUUGGGGUGUCCACUUCCCGCUUAAACCUGACCAGCUCAAACGAGUCGAGGCUGUACUAGCCAAUUCCUGCUCGAACCGAGAGCUGUUAACUAUAUACAACUUGCUCGAGUCUCGCUUGAUGCUUCCUGGCCAUAGGAUGGAGGACGCUGUGAUUGGGGCUCUGACCAGGAAACGUUCUCGACCUCCAACCACGAAGAGGGACCAGAGUAAGGACGCCCCUACUGCAAAGCGGGCCAACGUCGUGCAGCAGGUCUCUCCCUUGAAGACUUUACCUCCUGCUCCUGUCAAAGUCGGGGAAACUAGUGGAGCAGCCACAGAUCCUGCUUCCUCUUCUUCUCCUGUCGGCACUCGGUCUCGCUUACCUGACAGCCGAUCAGAACAAUUGGUCCCCUAUCUCAAUGAGUUAUCUAACCUCGUGAGCAAGAAUGACAUGGAGGACUUCGAUGGCUGCACCUUGGGUGAGCUGGUGGGGGCCAUGCAGUAUAGCGCUUUUCACCUCAGCUGCAUGACCACCUAUUACAAGGCCAAGGUUGGGCGCUACGACCGAAAGAUGAAGGAGGACAUUCAAUCGGCGACGACUAGAGCUGGCGUUGCCGAGAAAAAGGCAGGGGAGCUGAAUGUUGAGAACCUCAAGCUGAUGGAGCAGGAAUCUCUUGCUCAAGCAAAAGCCAUUACCCUCGAGGAGGAGCUGACCAAGGUCAAGGGGGAUCUGCAAAGGCAGAAGGCCACGUAUGAGGCUCAGCUCGAAUCCCUCCGCGACUCCCACCGGGCUCACGUCGAGAACUUGGAGAGGGAGGCCAAGAACCAGUAUGACCAGGGACUUCGGCAUUCCUAUCGUUGCAUCAUGGCCGUCCUCGGGAAGCAGCACCCUGAUCUGAAGAUGGAUGAUCUUGCAGUUGGUGUUGCUCAACAUAUGGACGAGGAAGCGGCCAAGGAAGAUGCCGAAGGGGUAGAGCCGAUCGUGAUUGAGGGGGAAAACUCUCCUCCUCGCACAAUCCCUGCUGACGUUGGCGAGGCGAGCACCGCUACUGAUGUUGGCGAGGCGCGCACCCCCCCGGACGCAACUGGUGAUACCCCCCCCCCGCACCUGAGGAGGUCCAGCCAACCAAUGCUGCUCGGCUUACUGAUCCGCCAUCUUCUUGAUAUAUUUCUUGUAUUGUAAUGAACAACGUUGAUGGAGAUUAUCUCCUCUGUUAAUUAUUAACACAUAAAUAAAGAUGUUUUUGAUUAUUUUCGUGUUGUAAUCAUGAGUUAUUUUUCGUUUAAUAAUCUGCCCGUCAUCGUCUGGUUGAGCAGGUUCUGGCCUGGCAUAUGGUUUUACCACAUGCCCUAGAAAAUUCUUCAAUGAUUGAGAUUCUGCUCGCCUUCGCGUGGUCGAGCAGAUCCUGGCACGCUUGGCUUCUGUCUCGCCAUAAACAGGCUUUGAGACUCGACGAGCCUUUGCAUGCCUUAGAAAUAUUUUUUUUUUUCGAUGCUUGGGGGUUCUGCUCGCCUUCGCGUGGUCGAGCAGACCCUGGCACGCUUGGCUUCUGUCUCGCCAUAAACAGGCUUUGAGACUUGACGAGCCUUUGCAUGCCUUAGAGAUUUUUUCGAUGCUUGGGGAUUCUGCUCGCCGUCACGUGGUCGAGCAGAUCUUGGCACGCUUGGCUUCUGUCUCGUCAUAAACAGGCUUUGAGACUUGACGAGCCUUUGCAUGCCUUGGAGAUUUUUUCGAUGCUUGGGGAUUCUGCUCGCCGUCACGUGGUCGAGCAGAUCCUGGCACGCUUGGCUUCUGUCUCGCCAUAAACAGGCUUUGAGACUUGACGAGCCUUUGCAUGCCUUAGAGAUUUUUUCGAUGCUUGGGGAUUCUGCUCGCCGUCACGUGGUCGAGCAGAUCCUGGCACGCUUGGCUUCUGUCUCGCCAUAAACAGGCUUUGAGACUUGACGAGCCUUUGCAUGCCUUGGAGAUUUUUUCGAUGCUUGGGGAUUCUGCUCGCCGUCACGUGGUCGAGCAGAUCCUGGCACGCUUGGCUUCUGUCUCGCCAUAAACAGGCUUUGAGACUUGACGAGCCUUUGCAUGCCUUAGAGAUUUUUUCGAUGCUUGGGGAUUCUGCUCGCCGUCACGUGGUCGAGCAGAUCCUGGCACGCUUGGCUUCUGUCUCGCCAUAAACAGGUUUUGAGACUUGACGAGCCUUUGCAUGCCUUGGAGAUUUUUUCGAUGCUUGGGGAUUCUGCUCGCCGUCACGUGGUCGAGCAGAUCCUGGCACGCUUGGCUUCUGUCUCGCCAUAAACAGGCUUUGAGACUUGACGAGCCUUUGCAUGCCUUGGAGAUUUUUUCGAUGCUUGGGGAUUCUGCUCGCCGUCACGUGGUCGAGCAGAUCCUGGCACGCUUGGCUUCUGUCUCGCCAUAAACAGGCUUUGAGACUUGACGAGCCUUUGCAUGCCUUAGAAAUUUUUCACAGUUUCAAGUGAAUGAAAUUCCUCGACGUUCCAUUAAUUGUAGGAUUCAACUUACAUGAAAAUGUUUGGUCGUAAAAUAAAUAACAGCAAAUACGAACAGAAAGAUCUUGAAAAUAUUAACGACUCUUACUGGAAAUAUUUCCUGAGAUGUGCUGCGUUCCAUGGGCGCUUCACCUCGUGGCCAUCCAUGCGAACCAGCUUGUAAGCUCCUGGUCCCACUAGCUGCUUGACUCUAUAUGGCCCCUCCCAAUUUGGACCGAGCACUCUUUGAGUCGAGUCUUUGGUGUUCUGAUUCACUCUCCUUAACACCCAAUCUCCGACCUUGAACUGCCGUAUGUUCACCUUCUGGUUAUAAUACCGGGCAACCCUCUGCUGGUAAAUGACUGAUCGCUCGGCUGCUUGCUCCCUCUUUUCCGUUAGCAGAUCAAGAUUCAAACAUAUCUGCUCGUCGUUCUCCUGUUCAUUGAAAUGAUAUGUCCGGUGCGUGGUCGUUCCUAUCUCAGUUGGCACGACCGCUUCAUGUCCAAAAGCCAAGGCGAACGGUGUCUCCCCAGUUGCUGUUUUGUGGGUUGUUCUGUAUGCCCAUAGCACACCUGACAGCUCAUCAACCCAUGCACCCUUUUUUGCUCCCAGCCUGGUUUUCAAAAGCCUCUUGAUGGUCUUGUUGGCUGCUUCUACUUGUCCAUUCGAUUGGGGGUGAGCAGGCGAGCAAUACUUCAGCUCUAUUCCGAGGUUCUGGCAGAAAUCCCUGAAGCUGUGAUUAUCGAAUUGUCUGCCAUUAUCCGUUACCAGGGCAUAAGGGAUCCCGUAUCGACAGACCAGGUUUCUCCACACAAAGUCUGUUGUUUUCUUCUCUGUGAUCUUGCUAAGGGCUUCUACCUCUAUCCAUUUCGUGAAGUAGUCUAUAGCAACUAUUGCAUGUGUUGCUGCUCCUCGUCCCUUUGGCAGCGGGCCGAUCAGAUCAAUUCCCCAUUGAGCAAAUGGCCAAGGGGAGGCCAUAGAGGUGAGCUUUUCUGGUGGUUGGUUGGAGAAACUUGCAAAACUCUGGCAACUUACACAGCUCCUGGUCUUCUCCUGUGCAUCCUGGUGCAUUGUCGGCCAGAAAUAUCCCUGCCUUAGAACCUUGUGGGCCAGGGACCUCCCACCAGAAUGAUUCCCGCAAAUUCCUUCAUGUACUUCUCUCAGUACGUAAUCUGCGUCGUCCUCAUCCAAACAUCGGAGGAAAGGUAGUAUAUAUCCUCGCCGAUACAGUACCCCAUCAAUCAUCGUGUAUCUUGAGGCCUGGGCUCUAACCUUCCGAGCUCGCAGCUUAUCUGGUGGUAAUACCCCGUCUCUGAGGUAUGAAAUUAUCGGGUCCAUGCACGAGCAUUUUUGUUCUAUCCGCAACACCCCCAAAUUCUGCUCGAUACUUGGGCUGGACUUCACCUCCAGAGGGACCGACUUUGGCAUUUUUGGGUCGGCUACUGCUGCCAUCCUGGCCAAAGUGUCUGCUCGACUAUUCUGCUCCCUGGGGAUCUGUAUCACCUCCACUGCUUCAAAUUUCCCCAUCAUCUGCCUGACUAUCUUCAGGUACUGCUCCAUCUUCUUCUCUCUUGGUUGGAAUCUUUCGCUGACAUGAUUCGCAACCAGCUGGGAAUAAGUUCUGAUCUUCACUCUGUCUGCUUUCACGGCCUUAGCCAAUUCCAAACCUGCUAUCAAGGCUUCAUACUCUGCCUGGUUAUUUGUGGCUCCAAAUUCCAACUUCACAACAUAAGAGAUCUCCUCCCCCUCCGGGCCUUCCAAGACAAUCCCUGCUCCAGAACCCUGCUCCCCUGAUGACCCAUCCACAUACAUCUGCCAUACUUGAGCUUCGCCACUGUCUGUGACUACAUCUGGUCCAUCUAAACAUACUUCGGGCUCUGUGAAUUCAGCUACGAAAUCGGCCAUUGCCUGAGCCUUUAUCGCUGCUCGGGGUUUGUAGUCUAUGUCGAACUCGCUCAGCUCUAUAGCCCACUUGACGAGCCGACCAGAAGCAUCUGGCUUGUGCACAGUUUGACGCAAUGACUGGUUUGUUAUUACCGAGACCGGGAAUGCUUGGAAAUAUGGCCUCAACUUCCGAGCCGCAACCACAAGGGCAAGUGCCCAUUUCUCCAACGGUGGGUAUCUGGUCUCAGCGUCGAGCAGGGCCUUGCUUGUGUAGUAUAUCGGAUACUGAACUCCUUCUUCCUCUCUCACCAGAACAGAACUGGCGGCCCGAUCCGAUACCGCCAAAUACAGAUAUAACUUGUCCCCAUCCCUCGGUGUGGACAGUAGUGGAGCUUGCUGCAAGUAUUGCUUCAAGUUCUGGAAGGCUUCCUCGCAUUCUGGUGUCCAUUCUGUUUUCUUUCCCCUCCUUAUCACUUAAAAGAAUGGCUGACACUUGUCUGUAACCUUGGAUAUGAAUCUGCUCAACGCAGCCAACCUCCCCGUGAGGCUCUGCAUCUCCUUCAGGUUACGAGGAGACCUCAUCUGCACAAUUGCCUGGAUUUUCUCCGGAUUUGCUUCAAUCCCCCUAUGGCUCACCAUGAAUCCAAGGAAUUUCCCUGACUCGACCCCAAAAGCACACUUCUCCGGGUUGAGCUUCAUCUUAUACUUCCUCAAAAGCCCGAAUGUCUCCUCGAGGUGCCUGACAUGUUCCUUCGAGAUUUUGGAUUUGGUGAUCAUGUCGUCCACGUACACCUCCAUGGUUUUCCCAAUCAACGGCUUAAAGACUUUGUUCACCAGCCUCUGAUAGGUGGCCCCAGCAUUUUUUAGACCAAAUGGUAUUACCCUGUAACAGAACAAACCCUGGUUAGUGAUGAAAGCCGUGCUCUCCUCAUCCUGCUCGUACAUGGGGAUUUGGUUGUAUCCCGAGAACGCGUCCAUGAAACUAAGCAGACCGUGUCCAGCCGUUGAAUCUACUAGUUGAUCGAUCUUUGGUAAAGGGAAGCUGUCUUUUGGGCACGCCUUAUUAAGGUCUGUGAAAUCCACACACAUCCUCCACUUGCCAUUUGCCUUCUUUACCAACACCACAUUCGAUAUCCAUUCAGGGUAAUUGACUUCCCGAAUGAACCCUGCUCUCAAGAGCUUCUCCACCUCGACAUUUAUAGCCUCAUACCUCUCCUGAUUGAAGCACCUCCUCUUCUGCCUUACUGCCCGAGCACCUUUCUUUAUUGCCAGCUUAUGACAUGCUACCUCAGGGUCAAUCCCUGGCAUAUCUUCAUGUGUCCAAGCAAACACAUCUGCAUGAGCCUGUAAGCAUUUCACUAACUCCUGCUUUUGCUCUCCCUUAAGUCUCGACCCGAUUCUGAUUGUUUUUCCCGGAUUCUCUGGUCCCAGGCUUACUGUUUCCAGAUCCUCUACAGGUUCUUGUCUGCCAUUCUUGUUUUCCACUCGGGUAUCGAGGGAUGUUAUCUGCAUUGCUUCCCUUGCUGCUGAGGAGUAGCAGCUUCUUGCGAUCCUCUGAUCUCCUCGUACCACUCCAACUACCCCAUUCACCCGGUACUUCAGAGCCAGAUAAUGGUUGGACAGCAUCGCUUUGCUCAUCCUCAGAAAUGGCCGACCUAGGAUCAUCUGGUAAGGACCUUCCUCAUCCACUACCAUAAAGUCCAGUAUCAUUGUCCUUUCUGUCGGGGAGCUCCCAAUCGUGAUAGGCAGCUCGACCAUGCCCAGAGGGACCAGCCUUCCUCCUCCAAACCCCUUCAAGGAGGUAUUGGUGUAAUCCAACUUCAGGUCUGCUAUUCUCAUCUCCUUCAGGGUUGACUUAAACAACACAUCAACUGAACUCCCUGUGUCAACCAGUAUCCUGUCAAACUUCUUGCUAGCAACAGUGGCCUUGAUGACCAAAGCAUCCUCGUGGGGGUAUAUGAUCCCUUCUUCAUCCUCAUCUGUCCACAUGAUUGGCACUUGCCUGACUCUUGCACGUUUGGCUGCUGGGGUGUUGAAGAAUACCUUUUUGCUGGUCAUGGCGUAUCUAGCAUAAUUUUUCCUCGAUCUGUUAGAAUCUCCGGCCAAUGUUGGGCCCUCAGCUAUAACCCUUACUGCAGGCUGCUCGCGCCUCAAGUUCCUGUCACUCUGCUCCCCUUCACUUGUUGAGGCUACCAUUGGGAAGGUCCCAUCUACGAACUCGUCCAGAUACCGAUUUCUCACUAAAUCUUCAACCUGGGUCUUAAGAUCUCUGCAAUCUGCUGUGGUGUGGCCAUGAGUGCCAUGGAACUUACAAUAGCGUCCCCUAUCCCUCAUGCUGGGUAGCUUGGUUAUUGGAGCAGGGAGGUAUAGCAACCCCCGAUCCUUUAUGGCCUCGUACACCUCGUCCAGGGACAUCUUCAAGGAAGUGUACCGCCCAUAGUCCUAGUUCUGGUCGAUCAGGUGUACUGCUCUUUCUCUGUUUGCUCCGUUCUGGGUUGGGGGCGGUGGCAGUACUUCUGGUCUGCUCCCUCUGCUACCGUGGGAGUGUUGAUGAGCACCAUAUGAUGAAUCAUGCCUUCUCCAAGGCUCCCUAGCUGUGGAACGAGGAGGCUGCGCCCUGCUGCGCUGAUACUGUGGUGGGCUCUGAUGAGGCUGGUAAGCAAUUACCCGACCUCCUGCUCCAUUACCCGAGGCCUGGUGGUCCCUCCUCCUGAUCGGCCCAUUCCCCGGUAAUGCUUUCUUCUCUUUCCUCCCCAACCCUUCUAACUGGUCUAUCUUAAUUCGUGCUGCCUUCUCCUCUUCAAUCUCAAUGUCUCUCUUAGCCUGCUCGUAUGCGGCCGCAUACGUCUGGAUAGCUGGGCUUCUCAAAUUGUACCACAGCCUUCCUAUCUUCACCCUUUCUUUCAAUCCCCUUAACGCCUGAGGGUGGUUGAAGGCUCCCAAGUCGAGGACAGCCCGAUGAAACCUCUUGAUGAAUUCCCGAAGGGUUUCUUGCUCCCCCUGUUUCAUGCUUUUCAGCUCCAUCAUGUCAUCUUCUGGGGCCAUUGCCCCACUAAACUGCUCUGCGAAUUCCUGGCACAUCUGCUCGAAGGUUUUAAUGCUGCCCCGAGGAAGUUUCCUGUACCACUCGCGUGCACGUCCCUCCAGGGAUAGUGGAAACACCCUGCACCUUUGGGGCUGAGAUAAUCCUUGUACCCCCGUUAUGUCAUUGAAGCGUUCUAUGUGCACCAGCGGAUCAGUUCGUCCCGAAUAUCUAAGGUCCGGGAGACGGAAAUCCCUCGGAAUAAUUGCCCUCAUGAUCUCUGCUGCGAGCAGUGAUUCUCCGUCCAGCAUUAUCCUCCAACCAGGAGCUCUGCUCCUUCCUUGCAUAUCGUCAAUUAUCUGCGCUAGUCUGCGCACUUCCUCCUCCAGCUGUACUGCACGACCAGGGUCACGUGCUGCAACUUGAUCCCUCUCUUGCUCUACAUCAUGCAAGUGUUGCCUCAACUCUGUUUCUUCUGCAUUCGCCACCCCGUCGUCCUCGUAAAAAAUCUGUCUUGCCGGGGAUUGCUCUUCUUCUCUAUGAAAUUCUCCCCGUAGAGGUAUGUUACCUCUCUCACCACUAAAUCUCCCGGUGGUUUGACUUCUCCUCGUACCAUCGGGACCUGGUGUCACUCCACCACCUCUCACCAUUUCCUCCUGGGUUACCCUUCGUUCACUCCGCAACUCAUGCAGGAUGGUUGUCAGGGUCUCCAUCUGCUUUUCCAUCCGUUCCAUCCGGUCGAACAUGGCUUUUUCCCGUGCUUCGCUGGCUAUCUCCCUCAGCGUUACAGAAUCGUUAAGCCUCAUAUCACCCCCUUGUGCACUACUUCCUCCUGCCUCCAUUGCUUUUCACUUGCUUCACUCCUCUUCUUGCUAUCAACAGAAGCUUUUUGCUCAGCUCCCCACAGACGGCGCCAAAAUGUUGAUGCGAGAUUCUGGUUACACUCUUCCGGCUACCAGGACAUCUGCUCAAUCAACCUCACCUCGACCAGGAUCUCUCCUCGUAUGCUUUCUUCUCCAAGUACUCCUGCGUUCACAGAAACAAGUCAGAGCACGCCGGUUGUUUUCCCGGCGUAAACCCUCCGACGCUCAAGUCAGAUAUGAAGGCUUUGGGAACGCUUGCCACAGAUCUUAUGGCUUUGGAAAUAGUUUUCUCUUCUUUUCAAUUUCCUUAAUCUCUAUUCUAAUCUCGAAAUUGCUAACCCUUUUACCUUCGCUGGCUACCUUUUUAUAGGCCACUUCUGAGCCCAAGCCUUUUUCCCUUUGCGCUCGUCAUCCUCCCACUUCUCGAAAGUGGAUGCUCCAUUUCUGUAGUCGUGGGUGGUUGCGUGGCCCUCGUGCCUAGAUUCUCAGACUGGAAAGCAUGCCACGCCAACUGUCGUUGACCGGGUCUUCUCGAAUCAACCCUUAGCAGGAAUACAGCAGGAAUGGCUUCAGGCUUCUUACAGGAGAUUGGCCUCGCGGAUGACGUGCUCGUGGACGAGCAGGGUAUUCCUGCUCCUGCUCCUGCUCCCCCGGAUGCCAGGCUCUUACGGGACCCAUCGGCUCGCAGAACUCUACCAUCAGAUAUCUGCUCAUCAUGCCUGGUCUCGUCGACGUAUUUCUCCCAAACACUUACCACAUAUAUGUCACCUUUCAAUCAAUUGUUGAAAAAUUCAAAUUUGGAAUUCAAAUACAUGCAUUCAAAUUUGGAACACUUUGAACGGUCCGAUUCAAAACUUCAUAUUCCAAUUAUAUUCAUAAGACAAAUGGAACACUUUGAACGGCUUGUGUCCGAGCAUUGUAGUUUGAUUUAUUUUGAUGACAUUACCUUUUGACAUUGAGAUUCUUUCAGGAUUUAAACAUUCUUUUUAAAACCAAAUUAUUAAAAAAAAAUAACUAACAUAUAUUAUUUUAUUAGUGCUUUUUAAAUCAAAUAUACAUAGGAGAACUGUAAUUCUUAGCAAUCAAUUUUCCACUAAAUACACCUGCAACAAACUAUUAAUAACAAAGUGAUAGAAAAUACCUGAUUUUUCAUACUUUCUAAUUUCUUUUGGUCCUAAAAUAUGGGCAUUUGUGUAAUAAUAAGCCCAUGUGGAUCUCUAUGCCAUGAGUUUGAUAAAUAGCUAUCAAGGAUCACUUAUUAAGCUAAAAAUAUUUGGAGGACAAAAUUGUAAAACUAAAAGGGUGGAGCAAAUAUGGCUAUCUAGGAUUAAAUAGUAAGUCAACUAUAUUUAAAGGAUAAAAUAUUAAAACUUGAAUUGUGAUAUUAAAAAUAUCUCAACUAUUAUAUUAUUAAACCAUAUGUUCUAAUAGUUUUUUUUUUAAGCUUCAAAAUGUUCAGGAUUUUAGAUUGAAACAUUUUCAAUUGAAAUAAUUUGGUGCAGUCACAAGUUAAGAAAGAAAAAGUUGUCCCAUUGGUCAUUUCACAAAAAUGAAAGCCCUGUAUAACAUGGACGUGAAUGGAAACCCAAUUGUUUGUGUUUGAUUAAUUGAUUUCAAGCUUUAUCUAACCUUUGGACCUGGAUACUUUACUGCGGCCUCUAAGCGCUAUAAAUUUUUUUGGGGAUAAACGGCGCUUCAAUGAGGGCAUCUCCAAUGCUUAACACCAUUUUGGUGUAACACCAACAUUAAAAAUAUACAUUUUUCACACUAAAUUACUAUUUCAUCUCCAACCCAUUUACACCAAAUUUUACACCAAAAAUAAUAUUUUUUUUAUUCUUUUAAUUCUCAAGAAUUAAUUCAAUUAACACAAUAAAUACUACUAUUAACAUAGAUAAUUAAGUAAUAAGUAAUUUUAUCAAUUAACAAAAAAAAUAGAAAAUUAUUAAAUUUGCAUUUAAUUAACUAAAUUAGUACAUUAUGAAAAUUAAACAUUACAUUAAUAUAGAAAAAUACAAUAAAAAUAAUAAUAAUUUUAUAUCUAAUAUUUUGAUGAUAUUGGAGGAUCUAAUAAUGAUCUUCCAGAUUAUUAAAUAAUUGUUCUAAUUUAUACUAGUAGUAGUAGCUUUUUUAAUUUGUGUUAAUUUAAUUUUGUAAUAUGUAAUAUAGUAAUUAAUGUUAUUGGCAUUUUAUUUUUAUUAUUAAUUUUUGUGUUGAAUUUUUUUAUUUAAAAUAUUAGUAUAAUAUUAAAAAAUUAAAAAUGAAAUAAAUAAUAACAAAAAUAAUAAUAAUAACUUAAAAUAUUAUAUAAAAAAGGACAUAUAUGUAAAUAAGAAAAAGUAAUAAAGAUAUUUAGGACUCUUUUUUCCUAGCACCAAAUGAAUAGUGUUACACCAUAUUUGGUGCAAUACUAUUCAUAACACCAAUUUGCUGUUCGUUUUGAUGUUACAUUGGAGAAGCAUUUUACACAAAAAAUGGUGUAAAAGGUAGUUUGGUGUUAGUUUUGGUGUCACAUUGGAGAUGGCCUGGAAAAACACUUGAAAACUUUGGAUUUUUGGUUCGUCCAGUUACGGUGUUAUGCUAAUGGGGUUAAAAGUUCCGAUCCAAUGAGUUAGGAUGGAAUAUGAAUAUAUAAAUUCCAUAGCAUGUAAGGACUAGGAUUUGUUUGUUCAUAUCAAGAAAAAAAAGAUCCGAAAAUUUGAUGAUCAGAAGAUGAAGACACGUUUAUUACAGAGAAACAAACGACAACAUGAUACUAGUAGUAGUUAUUCUUUUCAUCCGAUAUAUUACAUGGUAAUAUCACUACUCGUUCCACUGGUUUCAUAUACACCAUCGAUCAGCAACAUGAUAAUUUUGUGUCAGUUCAUUUUGUUUGUAGGAAAGAGCAGUGUAUUUCUUAGAGCUUGAAAAUAAUAAAAAGAUUUUAAAAUAUAAAUUGCAUAUUUGUUUAUUACAGUUGUUUGGUCUAAUUUCUUAUGUAGAAUUGCUUGUCAUUCUUUGGACGUUAUUGAUUAUAUUUUUGUCAGACUUGGCGUAUAUAUUCACACAUACGUUUUAUUUUGUCAUUUUGUAGAACAUUUUUACACGCCAUAUUAUCACGACUCUUCUCUGUCUGAAUAAGAAGAAAGCAUAAUGCGACCCUCCAAUAGCUUAAUCUAUGGAAUUAUCGUGUUUUGUAAGUUGAGGUCCAAUGGCGUUUUGGCACAUCAUAUGAUAGCCCACUAUAUUGCGUUGCUUUACAAAAGAUUAAUAUUUUGAAAAUUAUUAGGUAAGUUUAGGCUCAGUGGCACUUUAACUCAUGAUAUGAUUGUCCAGGUUUUCGAGGACCACUAUAUUCUAUUGAUUUAAAAAAAAUUAAUAUUUUUUAAUAUUAAUAUUCUAAAUUAUAUUCAGUUCAAAUAUUAAAUAUUAAAUACAUUCUUAAUAUUAAUAUUCUUAGAUGAAAUUCUUUUGCUGACUUAAGAAUAAAAUAUUAAAUAAUUUUAUUUUUCUUUUAUUCUGUAACGUGGACCCAAUAAAAAAAGGAAAUGAAUUUAAUAAAACCUUCAUUCAAAAUCUUCAUUCCGCCACCAUGCAUGUUAAUUGUUUCCAAAUUCCAACCUCCGUACUCUCUUGAGGAGUUUCCCAUUCAUCAAUUAUUAUUUUUUAUAAUCCAUACCAUCCUGAUAUAAUUAAACACCAUUAAUAAUGUACCAACCUUUAAAUAGUAAUUAAUUUAUUUAUCUAAUUCACCAAAUGUUUUUUCCGGUACAUAUCUCCAUUGGUAUCAAGAAGAAGCAGAACCCAAAGAAAUGUUUCUUGCAUCUUCAUAUUUGUGCGAAUUCAUCCUUUCAUUGAGAAUAACCAUUUCCAGGCAGCAGUUGGCAAUCAAUUCAUGCGCACGUCGAUGCUAUUCAUAGAUACUAAAGACAAUGAUGAACCAAAGGUGAUAAAUCAUAAAUGCAUAAUUACCAAACCUCCAUCCUUCUCUCAUUAUGAUUUGAUUUUAAAUGAAUUAUUGCUUGGUAACAUUAUUUCCAACCAUUGCAAGACCUUUUUUUUGGAGAAAUUUCAAUUGAAAGUGAAACCUUUAGACAUUUACCUAAUGAAGUUAGUUAAUCGGGAGGGUCGGAAAAAAAAAGUUGACGCAAGUCAAUACACAAUAAUCAAUUAAAUCCGGAGUGACUAAAACAGAGCCACUACUUUUUAAAAAAUAUCUGCAUUAAUCACUUUCUCCAGCAACUAGUCAGCUACACACGAAUCAAUUUCUCUCCUCGUUUGUCAUCCAAAAUUAUUCACCAAUACCAUGGCUGAUGCAAUCGUUUCCACUAUCUUGGAGCAGCUGAUUUCCUUCGCUGCUGAAGAGAUAAAACAACAGGUGAUCGAAGUUUCACCCCUCAUAUUACAAAUACUUCCAAUGAUUUUAAUUGGCUUUGUUUUUAUCAAAAACAUUAUAUAUUUUUGCUUUUUUUUUAUUUAUCUGAUAAUUUUAUAUUUUGAAAUUUGAAUUGAAUUUAAUUAAAAGGUGAUGUAGUAACCACUCAUUUUUAUUUUAUUUCAUUUCUAUUCUCGAUAACUAACCAUAUUUUGGUAACUUAAUAUGACUCUCGUACAUAAGAAAUGAUCAAAACCCACAAUUUUAACUAUGUAUAAAUAUUCAACGUUGAGCUAAGGUUUUGCAGAACAUUCAAGUUUAUCAAAUAGUCAUUAAUUUAAUGUUUUAGUAAAACCUCAACUCAUCACUGAAUCCCAUAGCUAUUACUUAGACUCUAUGAAAAAUUUCAUAGUUUUCUUACAUUCUUUCAGUUUGGUAAGUGAUUUCAUAUAAUUUCUGUUCAAUAUAAAUUUUAAUUUGGUUUCUUAUAUACUCUCUUUGCUGAAUUUGUAUCUUUUAUGAUUCUUAGAUUUUGGGCUCUAACAUUUUAGGAUUUGAUAGUCACAUUUUAUGCCAUGCUUAGAUUGAUUUUCAUGAUUUUUACUACCCAUUAAGUGACUUAGAAUUUGACAAAAGUUUGAAAGGAAAUCUGCUUCAGGAUUCUGUUUUAAUUGACCUUUUAGUGGAAAUAGGAUGCUUAUAACUUAAUGUGGAUGGUUCGUAAAAUCAUGAAAUUUGGAUAGAAUUAACUAGAAAUAUGUACAAGACUCUCCAUGAAGUCUCAUAAUUUUUCAUUCGGUCUGGGGUGGUACAGGUGAAACUUGUGGUUGGUGUUGAAAAAGAAGUGAAAAGCCUUACCAGCCAUCUUCAAGCCAUUCAAGUUGUGCUCGAUGAUGCAGAGGAAAAGCAAGUGAAGGAAAAAGCUGUUAGUCUUUGGCUGGGUAGGCUCAAGUAUGCAUCCUACGACAUUGAAGAUGUGUUGGAUGAGUGGAUCACAACAAGACGCAAAUUGCAAAUUGAGGGUGGCAUUGGUGAAAAUGCUCUUGUUGUUCCUCAUAAGAAAAAGAAGGUAUGUCUCUGCUUUCCCGGCUCUUGUUUUGGAUUCAAACAAGAAGAAUUUGGUUUCAAACAAGUCUUUCUCCGUCAUGACAUUGCCGACAAGAUCAAAGAAAUCAAUGAAGAGCUACAUGAUAUUGCCGCUCAAAAAGACAUGUUUGAUCUUGUUAAGAGUGGCAAUAAAAGUAGUGAAAGACCAAGGCGUGUACAGAGUACCUUCUUGAUUGAUGAGGAAGAGAUUUGUGGCAGAGUUGGUGAGAGGAAUGAACUCUUAAGCAAGCUGUUGUGUGAGAGUAGCGAGCAACAAAAAGGCCUUCAUAUCAUCUCAAUCGUUGGUAUGGGAGGCAUAGGGAAAACAACUCUUGCACAACUAGCUUGUAAUCAUGACGAGGUGAAGAGAAAGUUCGACAAAAUUCUGUGGGUGUGUGUAUCAGAAACUUUUGAGGAGUUUAGGGUUGCCAAAGCGAUCGUUGAAGUUUUGGAUGGUCGUGAAUCUCAUUUAGCUGAAUUCCAUUCUCUUCUUCAACAUAUUUAUGAAUCCAUUGCAGGGAAGAGCUUUCUUCUUGUCUUAGAUGACGUGUGGGAUGGAAAUUACUUGAAAUGGGAACCAUUCUACCGUUGUCUAAAGAAUGGUCUCCAUGGAAGUAAAAUUUUAGUUACCACACGUAAAGGGUCAGUCGCAUCCAUGAUGGGAUCCAUAGAUAUUAUCUCCGUUAAGGAGUUAGCUGAAGAGGAAUGUUGGUUGUUGUUUAACAAGAUAGCAUUUUUUGAUCGGUCCAUCGAGGAACGUGAAAAAUUAGAACAAAUUGGGCAAAGAAUUGCAGGCAAGUGCAAAGGUUUACCUCUUGCAGCAAAGACAAUAGGGAGUCUCAUGCGUUCUAAACAAACUGAAGAAGAGUGGAAAAGAAUUUUAAAUAGUGAUUUAUGGAAAGUAGAAGAGAUUGAGAAAGAUGUUUUGUCCUCUUUAUUGUUGAGUUAUAAUGAUUUGCCAUCUAGAGUAAAAAGAUGUUUUUCAUAUUGUGCUGUCUUUCCAAAAGACUACAAUAUAGAAAAAGACAAACUAAUCACGUUAUGGAUGGCUCAAGGUUAUCUUAGUGCAGAAGAAGAUGAAGAGAUGGAGACAGUAGGUGAAGAGUAUUUUGGCAUCUUAGCUUCUCGCUCAUUUUUUCAAGAGUUUAAGAAAAGUUAUGAUAAUCGGAUUAUAGAGUGUAAGAUGCAUGAUAUGGUACAUGAUUUUGCCCGAUUUGUAAGUCAAAAUGAAUGUUUUUCGAUGGCAAUCAAUGGUAGUGAAGAACCAAACGCCACAAACUCUCUUGAUGAGAAGGUCCGUCAUUUAAUGUUAAUCUUUAGUAUAGAGGCUUCAUUACCUGUUUCCACUUGUAGAGUUAAAAGAAUUCGUAGCCUCUUAAUUAACGAUAGUAGAUCUGAUCAUUCAUUAUUAAAUGGUGAGAUCCUAGAAGAAUUAUUUAGGGAAUUGACAAGUUUAAGGGCAUUAGAUUUUUGCAAAUCGUAUAACGCAAGUUGGUCUUCGACUCUGGAGAUUCCGAGAAACAUAGAAAAGCUGGUACAUUUAAGAUACCUUAAUUUGUCUUAUCAGGGAAUAAAGAAACUACCGGAGACAUUAUGCGAGUUGUAUAAUCUAGAAAAGUUAGAUAUUAGUUAUUGUUAUAAGCUAGAAGAAUUACCUGAAGGGAUUGGGAAGUUAAUAAACAUGAAGCAUUUACGAAAUAGAGGUACUAGUUCUUUAAGGUACAUGCCAGUAGGGAUUGGGAGAUUAACGGGUCUUAGGACCUUGGGUGAGUUCCACGUGAGUGCAGGAGGAGGUGUUGAUGGUAGGAAAGCAUGUAGGCUUGAAUCUCUUAAAAACUUGGAACACCUUCAAGUAUGUGGUAUAUGUAGACUGGGUGAUGUAUCAGAUGUGGGCGAGGCUAAGCGAUUAGAACUUGACAAAAAGAAAUACCUCUUCAGUUUGACCCUCGAGUUUGAUAAGACGGAAAGAGGAGGAGAAAGGAGGAAGAACGAGGACGAUCAACUUCUUCUUGAAGCCUUGCGACCACCCCUGGAUUUAAAGGAAUUAGAGAUACGGUACUACCGAGGCAACACUGUUUUCCCCAGCUGGAUGGCGUCAUUAACCAACUUAAAGAGUUUACAUCUCCAUAGGUGCGAAAAUUGCGAGCAGCUGCCUCCUUUGGGAAAAUUGCCGUCCCUUGAAAAUCUCUACAUAUGGCGCAUGGAGAGUGUGAAGAGAGUGGGUGAUGAAUUUUUGGGGAUAGAAAGUGAUCAUCAUGACUCAUCGUCAUCUUCAUCAGUUACUAUUGCCUUCCCCAAAUUGAAAUCACUCACAAUUUAUUCGAUGCUGGAAUUGGAGGAGUGGGAUUAUGAGAUUACAAGAACAGGAAACACCGUCAUCAACAUCAUGCCACGUCUUUCUUCCUUGACAAUUGUUGAUUGCACCACAUUAAAGGCACUGCCCGACCACAUUCAUCAAACGACAACGUUGAAGGAAUUGAGCAUUUUUAUGUGUUGGCUUCUGAACAAACGUUACCGCAAGGGGAAAGGAGAAGACUGGCCUAAAAUAUCACACAUUCCCAACCUCCGUAUUGGGCUUUGACAAGUAAUUUCUUCUCUCACUCUGAUUUGCUUUGUUGUUGUUUUUAAUCUAAUUAAGAAGCGAAAAUAGCAUUUUGAAUCAAACUCUAUAUCAGAAAUCUGCAAUACUUACUUUCUAAUAUUCUGAUUUUCAUAUCCUAUGAAUAUACGAUUUUUAAUUUGUGAGAUGGGUAACGUUACUGUAAAAGAUUAUUAAUGCAAUAUGAGUAAUUCUUUUGCAGGACAAGUGACCUACAUUUAGUUUGGCUUUGGAGUUGAAUAAUAACCUUUCGUGGUCCCGACAACCAAAAAACAAAGCUUAAUUUGCCACAGAUUGAACGUAUUGCCAUUAUUGACAAUUUUCUGCACAAGCGUGACUGAACUUAGGUUGAUGUCAAAAGAGGUAAAUUAUUGGCAUGCCUGACUAUUUUGACCAUUACAUGAUUCAUAAGUUUACAUUAAUUUUGAUUUUGAGUUGAGUGAUUAGUUUUCUAGGUUUGCUUACUUUAACUGGGUGACCAAUUUCUUGUAACUAAAUGUAUGAUGUGAUGCAGGAAGCAGGGCAGGAUAUGAAAAGAGAAGCUUAUUAGAGGAAGGAUUGCCAGUAACAGAAUCCAAAGAAAAAGAAACCAUUUCGAGGCAGCUGUUGGCAGUUGGCAGUGAAUGGAGCCCCUUGAAAAAAUUCCCAGGCCGUUGCACUGCAAUUACGAUCAUCCUCGGCCUCAGGUAAUUUCUUCUCCUGCAUUUUUGUUAUUUGCUAUCAAGUGACUAUUUUAAGUAUGAUUGCAUUAAGCUUCUGCUGGGAAAUUUGAGGUUUUGAUGACUGCCCAUGCUAUUGUCAGAAGCUGCGGUUCUUUUCAUCAGCCUGAACCUGGACCUGCCGCUAUGGAUAACUCAGGUUUUUUUUUUUUUUUUAAUCAACUGCCAUCUUUUCCACUGUUUAGAAACUCUUAAGAUUAAACUUUAGUAAAGUUGUUUUAGUUAUCCAUGUAAUCAGGCUGAGGAUACUUAGCUGCCUAUUUAGGCAAAUGUCAGAAUUUAGUUUGUUCGCUGGGAACUGGUGUGGACUGGCAAAGGAUGAUGAGAUAGUUUUUUGAGUGAGUAAAUUUUGGGAGCUUGAGUGUAUUGGGAUUUGCAAUUACAAUCAUCGUCUGCCUCAGGUGAUUUCUUCUCCUGCUCUGUCAUUGUUUGUUCUCUAAUUCAAAAGCAUAAAAUAUUUCAAUCAAUUUUUAUGCCAGGAAUAUGCAAAAGUUUCUAAUAUUUUAUUUCCAUCUGUUACAAGAUCAAACUGAAGCAGAACUCAAACAAAAGUAUGCUACUUCUUGCGGAAAUCUUGCCUUUGUUCAGAUUAUGAAACCAUUUCCAUGCAGCAAAUUCAUCCAAAAGUUUGAAUAAGUUUCAUGGUUGGACACUGUUGGCUUCUUUUUCUUCUGGGGUGCAUUUAGGUGCUAUCAAGUGACAGCUGUAAGUAUGAUUGCACUAAGCUGCCGCUGGGAAAUUUGAGGUUUUGAUGGCUGCCCAUGUUAUUUUCAAGAAACUAUUGAUGUAAGAAGCUGUGGUUCUUUUCAUCAGCUUGAACCUGAAACUGUCGCUAUGGAUAACUCAGGUUUUUGUUAUCAACUAUAUCAUCUUUUUCACUAUUUUGAAACUCUUAAGAUUAAACUUUAGUAAAGUUGUUUCAGCUAUUCAAAUGAAAAACUCAUUGAUUUGAGACUUCCUUCAUUAUUGUUUCUAAUUACAAUGCUAACGAUCCAGAUAAAAUAAUAUUUAAUCGGCGAAGGUGUCCCUUGGAAGUACAUCCUUCUUUUUCUUUUAUUAUAUAAAUUCUUGCAAUGAGCUUAGUGAAGCUGUUGUGCUAAUCAUGCCACUGCAUAAUUUGGCCCCUAAUGUGGGUACUCUGUUACAUUGUUCUGCAAAUUCUCCAGAAGUUAAAAUCAAUAAAUUUUCUAUUAGCUCUAGUGCUUUGACCUAAAUGCCAUUCUAUAUUUUGAUUACAAUGUUUUAACCUUUAAAUUAACUACCCCUAGAUGUUGGAUUUUCUAGAACUUCAAAAUGAUUAAUGGAGAAAGAUCCCAUUAUCGUUAUUGCUAUAAGAAAUUGAUUUAUGCAUCCAAAGAUACAUUAUAUAUUUCUGUGUCUCUAUUUGUAGAUGACAUUUAAGCAUCCAUAAACCGUCAGACAGAGGAAGGGGGUUCAGUGCAAAGAUUCUGUUGACCUAGGGUUGACUGCAUAAUGUCACUUGUUCGCAAUCUAUUAUUUAUUUUAUAUUUUGAAGAAUUUAAUGGGUAAUCCUAAUUGUUUGUUUUGGCAGGUAUGUGUUGUUAUCUCCUUCUAUCUAACAGUCGUACCUAAAUAGCAUAGUUUCAUCUGUGUUACCAUGUGAUGUACAUAAUUUCACAUUUGCCUCAGAUUAAGCUUAAUUUCCCACAGAAUAGAGCUGUCGCGACUGGACUUAGGUUGAUGUCCAAAGAGGUAAAUUAUUGGCAUGCCUAGAUAAUUUGGCCAUUUCCUAAUUCAUAAGUCUACAUUAAUUUUGAUUUUGAGUUGACUGAUUUCUUUUCAAGGUCUGCUUCCUUAACGGAGUGACCAAUGUUUUUCAACUAAAUUUAUCAUAUGAUGCAGGAAGCAGGGCAGGAUAUGAAAUGAGAAGCUCAUUGGUGGAAGUAUUGCCAGUAACAGAACCCAAAGAAAAUGAAACUAUUUCAAGGCAGCAGUUGGCAGUUGCAAGUGAAUGGAGGCCCUGACAAAAUUCUCAAGCGGUUGCAAUGCAAUUACGAUCAUCCUCAGCCUCAGGUAAUUUCUUCUCCUGCUCUGUUUUUAUUUGUUAUCUAAUUAAAAAGCAUAAAGUAUCUUGAAUCACUUUCUGUAUCUGGAACAUAUGCAGCAGUUUCUAAAAUCUUCAUAUGAGUGUAAUGAUGGUAAUUUCUGUUUUUUGUCUGUCAUUGAAUGUUAGACAACUUUCAGUGAGACUCUUGAACCGAGACAUUUUUGACAAAUGAAGGACAAUUGCUGAAGAGUGGGAAUGGUGCUAGAUUGGGGAAUAAAGACAAAGGAGGUAAAUUAUUUGCAGUUUAUUCAGCAUUAUUUGCUUUGGACCAGCGCCUGAUUCACAAGUCUCCAUAAUUUGGCUUUUGACCAGUUGUUAAUAAAUUUUUUAUUCCAUUGGUGCUAAAUGUACACGUGAAGCAGGCAGAGCAGGACUGUGGAAAUGAGAAGGUUUUUAGUGAAAGCUUAAACUCAGGUAAUUCUAAAAAGUACAUGUUUUUGCUGAUUUAUCUAAAUCAGGAAAUUUUAUUUCCAUCUGUUACAAGAUAAAACAGAAACAGAACACAAAGAAAAAUAUUCUACUUCUUGUGGCAAUCUUGCCUUCAUUCAGACAAUGAAACCAUUUCCUUUCACCAAUUUCUUCCAAAAGUUUGAAUAAGUUUCAUGGUUGGACAUAGUUAGCUUCUUUUUCUUUUGGUGCAUUUAGGUCCUAUCAAGUGACAGCCAUAAGUAUGAUUGCAUUAUUGGGAAAUUUUAGGUUUUGAUGGCUCCCCACGUUAUUGCCAAGAAAGUCCUCAUGUCAAAAGCUGCGGUUCUUUUCAUCAGCCUGAACCCGAACCUGUCGUUAUGGAUAACUCAGGUUUUUGUCAUCAACUAUAUCAUCUUUUUUACUGUUUUGAAACUCUUAAGAUUAAACUUCAGUAAAGUUGUUUCAGUUAUCCAUGUAAUCAGGCCAAGGAUAUUUAGCAGCUUAUUUAGGCAACUGCCAGAAUUCAGUUUGUUUGCUCGAAACUUGUAUGGUGACAAGGAUACUGGCAAGGAUAGUGAGAUAGUUUUUUGUGUGAGUGAAAUUUGAAAGCUUGGGUGUUCUGGGAUUUGCAAUUGCAAUCAUCCUCUGAGUCAGGUGAUUUCUUCUCCUGCUCUGUCUUGAUUUUCUCUCUAAUUGAAAGCAUAAAGUAUUUCAAUCAAAUUCUGUACCAGGAGUACAUAAAAGUUACUAAUAUUUUAUUUCCAUCUGUUUGCAUUGAUAACUCGGCAUAUGUUCUAGUUAAAGAACAAACAGAAACAGAGUUCAGGAAAAAGUUUCUUCGGCCACCAUAUUUGAAAAUGAAACCAUUUCCAGGAAGCAGUUGGCAGCAAAUUCAUAUGGAGUGUAGACAAUGAUGAGCAAAAAGGUGAUUCGCAAUUUCUUUUUUUUUUAAGUGAAAUUAUUUGUUAGAUUGAAGCUGAUAUUGUAAGAAGGCCAUUGAGCUAACCUAUGUCGUCACUUGCCUAGAUUGCAGGGGGUCAAGACUCAAAAGAAGCACUGAAAUUUAAAAAGCAUGGAAUAGUUCUUUUGCCAUGUGUCAAUUAAUGCAAGUUUGAAUAAGUUUAUUGGCUGAACGAUGUUAGCUUCUUUUCCUUUCGUGCACUUUGGUAUGCUAUCAAGUGACAGCCGUAUGUAUGGCUUGCAUAUAGCUGCUGCUGGGAAAAUUGACGAUUUCAUGGCUGGCCGUGUUAUUGUCUUAAAUUAGUUGUGAUAAGCUGUUGCUUGGAGAUUCUGUUGCCAAGACUUUGCUCACAUCAGAAGCUGUGGAAUCUGAACCCUUCGUUAUGUAUCAUCUUUUUCAUUGUUUUAAAACUCUCAGGAUUAAACUUGAGCGAAUUUGUUCGGUUGUCUAUAUAAUCAUGUAUUGAGUAAACUCUCAGGAUACUGAGGGUGAGAGAAAUUAGAGGGUGUAUAGGGAUUUGGAUUUGUUAGGAAGUUAUCAUUUUUAUUUUUAUUUUUAUUUUUUUCCCAGAAAAUCUUCUGGUGGUGCUAUAUUUUCAAACGACAGUCCGAUUCAAAACUUGAUAUUCCAAUUAUAUUCAUAAGCUUCUACAGUUAUCUUCAAAAAGACAAAUGGAAGGCUUUGAACGGCUUGGGUCUGAGUAUUGUAGUUUGAUUUAUUUUGAUGAAAGUACCUUUUGACAUUGAGAUUCUUUCAUGAGUUAAACAUUCUUUUUAAAACCAACUUAUUAAAAAAAAAAAGUAACUAACAUAUAUUAUUUUGUUAGUGCUUUUUAAAUCAAAUAUAAAAAAGAGAACUGUAAUUCUUAGCAACCAAUUUUUCACUGAGUACACCUACAACAAACUAUUAAAAAAUAAAGUGAUAGAAAAUGCCUGAUUUUUCGUACUUUCUAAUUACUUUUGGUCCUAAAAUAUGGCAAUUUGUGUAAUAAUAAGCCCAUGUAUAUCUUUAUGCCAUUAGUUUGAUAAAUAGCUAUCAAGGAUAACUUAUUAAGCUAAAAAUAUUUGAAGGAUAAAUUGAUUUAUGCAUCCAAAGAUACAUUAUAUAUUUCUGUGUCUCUAUUUAUAGAUGACAUUUAAGCAUCCAUAAACCGUCAGACAGAGGAAGGGGGUUCAGUGCAAAGAUUCUGUUGACCUAGGGUUGACUGCAUAAUGUCACUUGUUCGCAAUCUAUUAUUUAUUUUAUAUUUUGAAGAAUUUAAUGGGUAAUCCUAAUUGUUUGUUUUGGCAGGUAUGUGUUGUUAUCUCCUUCUAUCUAACAGUCGUACCUAAAUAGCAUAGUUUCAUCUGUGUUACCAUGUGAUGUACAUAAUUUCACAUUUGCCUCAGAUUAAGCUUAAUUUCCCACAGAAUAGAGCUGUCGUGACUGGAC